UCCAGAUAAUUUUCUAUAUAAAAACUGUUUUAAAUAUCAAACAAAUCUAUUUUUCAAGUUUACAAUAAUUAUAACUAAUCAUAUGUUAAUUGUUUUUUCAUUUUACGUGAUCUUACUACAACAUCAUUGUUUCACCUAUUCUUAUACUUAUUUGUAUCGCUUAUUGUAAAUAAAAAAUAAUCUAUAGCAUGUUCUUAACGGUAAAAGGCAAAUGUUAUAAAAUACUAUUUAUAAGUGUGUUAAUCUUCGUCUUCAUCUGACCAAGUUCAAAUGGGACCUGUGUCUCGCGGUUUCGUGGUACUAGUUAAGAUCCUACACGGAGCAUUCGGUGCAUAUAUAGUGACUUGGUAGUCAUAUCAUGUGGGUGAGAUUUCUCCGUGGAAUUACGUGAUCUACCACAGGACUUUAAGUGAGUAGUUGUGUGUGUGGGGUAUGAGAUUGCGUUGCACCGUCCAUGAGCUCAAGGCUGCACCAUAGGUCAAGAGUUUGAAUUCUGUUCCUACCUGAAUGUGAAAUAGAAGGAUAAAAAGAGCAGGUUUGUACAUUUUCUCAAAGAAAUUGUCAGGUUUUCGAUCACUUGGAAAAUACCAUAAAAUUAAUGGCUAGGAUUACUCGAGAUUCGUGGAUACAAUAACUUUAUCCCCUCAUAUUCUUCCCCGCAAGCUCGUCCGCUCGUUCUCAUUUCAUUUGACGCCUUACAGAUUGAAGCGCUUGCCGUCGUCUCCCCUGCCCGACUGCAACGCCCCUCCCCGGUCUCACCGACUAACCGAAAAGCGUGAAAGUUAUUAGUAAGGCCCAACGCACCAGUCGGCCUCCUCCCUUUCCUCCUCUCUCCUUCUCGUCCUCCCUAAGUUGGGUGGCGACACUAUUCCCCACCCCUGCCUUGCCUCACCUCCUUUGAGCUGGAUACAUCGUCAACCCCACCCACCGCUAUCCUUCAUCCAUGUGACUUCAGUGACACCCCCCGUCCACUGCCGUCACCCAAAGCCAUCCCUCUAAACCCCAGGGAAUCCCCUCCCACCUCUGCCCCCACCCCAGCGCUAAACUCUAACCUCAUAGCCAUCUCAUUAUUGUCAUCGAAGAAGAGCACAUCAUCGCCGGGAAGUCACCAUCACAAGUGGGUCGUAUUUUUUCUCCCCACCCUACCCCAGCACACAAAUCAACUCUUGAAGACAACUCCCUAUCGGUCAGGGAGCAUGUGAGGUCUCACCUUAUAACUAGCAAAUCGCUUUGUCAAAUUACAUCUUACAUUUUACAUUUUAUAUAGAGGAAAGGCACAUACCUGACUGUUUUUAUAUAGAGGAAAGGCACAUACAUGACUGUGUUUCCUAAAUUCUGAUCAUUUUUAUAUCAACUAUAGAUAGACAAUUUUACUCCAAUUAAUUUGUCUUGUCCAAUGAACAUGGACACUUGUUCAGGUUCUUAUCCAGGUUCAUUGUUUUAGUGUUUUAGGACAUGUCACAUUCUAUCCAGUUUUUUUUUAACCGAGGAGUAAUUUAAACGUAACUUGUGCAGUGAAGCAAGCGGUCAGUGCUGCAAUCGGCUGAGCAGCAGGUCUCUUCCCUGAUAGCACGAAUUUCAAAGCAUAUCGGAUGGCAAAAAAAAUAAAAAAAAUCUAGCCCUAUUUACAGUAGGUACAAUAGCAGACUAUAAGCCAUCUAUAAAUAAAUUUCGAGGAGAUAAAAGAAAAGAGUGAAGAGCAGCGAGCGAGCUACAAAUUUGUAGCCAGCUGUAGCACGGACUCCAAGAUGCAAUGUGUAUAUGACAGGUGAGAGUAGAUAUCUAUUAACUUAUUAAAGGAAUAGAAAAAUGAGCCUCUACGUUCGCUCUCACGGCCUAGAAAUUAUCAUAUUAAUCGGAAAAAAAGAAAAAUAGAGUCCAUAUAGAAAUACAAUUUAGAAAUAGUUGAAAUUCGGAAUUAAAAAAUAAAGAAUAUUGGAAGAGGUGACUACAGUCCAUAUAGAAAUACAAUUUAGAAAUAACUGAAAUUCGGAAUUAAAAAAAAAGAAUAUUAGAAGAAGAGUAUAGAGUCCAUAUAGAAAUACAAUUAAGAAAUAAUAGAAAUUCGGAAUUAAAAAUAAUGAAUAUUAGAAGUAGAGUAUAGAGUACAUAUAGGAAUAUAAAACUAACUAAAAUUCAUAAUAAACAUAAUAAAAUUAAAAGUAGAGUUUAGAGUCCGUAUAAAAAUGCAAUUUACAAAUAAAUAAAAUUCAAAAUAAAAAAACAUGGGAAGAAGAGUUUAAAAUCAAUAUAGGAAUAGUAACUAGAAUUUGAAAUCAAAAAUUAAAGAAUAUUGAAAGAUAAGUUUAGAGUUAACUUAGAAAUACAAUUAAAAAUAAUAAAAAUUUAGAAUUAAAAAUAAGUAAUAUUGGAAGAAGAGCCUAGAGUCUAUAUAGAAAUACAAUUCACAGAUAACAAAAAUUCGGAAUUAAAAAAAAGAAAUAUUGAAAGAAAAGUCUAGAGUCCAUAUAGGAAUAUAAUUUAGAAAUAAAUAAAAUUUUAUAUUAAAAAUAAUUAAUAACUAACACGUAUAUAAAAUACAAUAUAAACAUUACACAUUAAUAGUUUCGUAAAGUUAGUACAAAAUUUUAAAUUAUGUUAUAAUUUUAAUAUAUUUUAAUAAUAAAUUCAGAAAACAUAUAUGCUAUUAUAUGAGAUAAAAUAUAAUUAUAUUAGCUGCGCAAUCUACGCGGCCACUAUGCUAGUUAAUAGUGUAGUAUAUGUUUAUAGGUAACUAUCAUAUAAAUUGGCCAUUAAUUUGUCUAUAGAUAAUUUGAAGCUAGUAGCGAGCUAUACUAUUAAACUUGCACUUAGGUUGUGUUUAGAUCCAAGGUUGAAAAUUUUUACUGUGUCACAUCGGAUAUACGGACAUACAUUGUCUAAUAACAAAAUAAAUUACAGAAUUCAUCAAUAAACCGCGAGACGAAUUUAUUAAGCCUAAUUAAUCUAUCAUUAGCAAAUAUUUACUGCAACACCACAUUGUCAAAUUAUAGAGCAAUUAGGCUUAAAAGAUUCGUCUCGCAAAUUAGUCACAAUUUGUGUAAUUAGUUAUUUUUAGCCAAUAUUUAAUAUUUAAUGCAGAUGUUCUGUGACAGGGUGGAAAAUUUUAGGGUGGAUCUAAAACAGGGUUUUAUUCUCGACGGUACAAUACCAAAUCCGUCUAUUAUAUUCGCGCGAAUAUGCUCGGCCAGUCCACCUGUCACGCGAGGCAUGAGAAGGGCGACCGAGCCGGGUGGAGCUGAGCGAGUGGUGGUGCUGCUGCAGCCGCCGCCGCCGCCGCCUGCAGGCGUGCUGAAAACAAGUCCAUGCCAUGGUGGACGAGAACACUGUGGACGUGGUCAGCCAUGGAUGGUGGCGAUUUGGACAGCCUCGCGACCACGACAUAUACUAGUAGUACUCACAUAUAUACGACGACUAGCCAAAGGUGAUUGCUUUAAUCAAACACCGGCGAUGUUCGCGUUCCUCUGGAAGUUGGUGCAGUUUCUCUCCUCCUCCUCCUCUUCUUUUUUAAUUUUUCGUCCCUAAAGAACAGAAGAAGUCUCAUGUCUAAAGUGAUACUCUUCGAGUCUUGACGGCCAGAAUUGUCAGACUGUGUGAUCCAGAAGCAAGCUAAAGAAAGGGAGUAUACGGUCCAGAAACACGUUAAUAAAGGGAAAGGAAAAGGGUUGUCUAUUCUUGCUUCAGUCUGACUGUGCUUGCCGUGUCCGUCGCAUUGCCGUCGUGGUCAAACAAACGCCCCAAUGGAAGCUGUAAACCUCAUUCAGUCAACAAAUAAUGUGAGAUCAGAACUGGCUCACCUGAUUCGGGAGAUAUGAGUUGAUCUCAGGAAACAGGGAAAUAACUAUUAAGAAAGUGUUGCAAUGCCAGAAUACUGUUAGUCACUUCCUAGCUAAUAGGGGUCGGACUGUGUCUCGAUCUGAGUUUUGGCCAGACAACACUUGUAACCUCAUAACACACCUUGUGUGUGAGGAUUCUUUGAUUGAUUAAUGAAAUUUCCCUUUUUCCCCGGAAAAAAAAAACAAACGCCCCAAUGGAAACAUCUCCCGUUGCUAACGCGUGAAUAGACAUGUGUUCCCAACUCUCAAGUUUUCCAGGUAGGACCUGCUCUCUAUGGUUCGGGGCCAUAUAUCGCCUUUUGAUCGAUAACCACGAAAUCUGUGAAUUUCAGGCAGAUUAAUUAUUUAUCCAAAAUAAAAUAAAAUAAAAUUUAGUAUGAUUUUUUAUGAAUUUAGUGAAAUUAUUAAAUGGCUUUCGAUGUGUAAGCACUAUGACAGUGUUUCUCUCCACUUGUCUGCCACUCCGUCUAAAAAAACAUAACCUUAGUGAGUUUUUUUUUUUUCGAAUGGAGUACUUUCAUUACUUGGUCAUCGAGCGGGCAAAAAUGCAAACUACUCCAAAUUCCAAAAUGGGAGUGGCAGCCGAUACAAAGACAAGCGGUGGACUUGUGGGCCUGUGGCUUGUGGGUGAUCAGCCCGGAUGGCUUGCUUUUCUGUUAGUGGGCUGGGAGGUGAAGGCGAUAAGCUUAGGUGGGCUGGCUUGCUGCUACGCUCGACAGAAAGCGGGCUGGGCAAGAUGGGGAGGCAGGCCGUGGCUAACGCUUGAUCUCUUUUUGUGGCCUCUUGCCUCAUGGGUGGCUUUUAGUGUGAGAAAUGAACAAGGCUACGAAGCAGUACUUUGUUGCCCUCUUUAGCCGAUCCUUCCAUCGAUUUCAACUGUCAAUAGUGUCAUUCGCUACAGAUCUCGACGCCAAACCAAAAAAAAAUAAAGUUUCGAGCCAAUGUUGGAACCUCUGGAAGGUAGACUUUUCGAAAUGGAGGACGAUCAGAUGCGUAAUGGAAGGGGAAAACAGAGUAUAAGAUCGCACCACUGAGCAGUGAGCAUGAGGGUUCGGCUUUCCGUGACAGGUACUAUUGGUGCACGCGUUGGAGGGGACGAGAGUUGCAAAAUGCCGGAUGAAAGAGCUUCACGACUUCACGUGUGGUUUGGUUUUUAUUUACUCGACGGGUCCCUACACGAUGCUACUGCUACACAUGAACGUGAUGCGCGUGUCAUCCGCCUCGUACAGUCGUACCUCCAAUGUACCGCCAGGCGGUGCGCGCGCCGGCAAAAUCCUUUCGGUCACAGGAUCACGGCCGGUAACACUCGUACACGGUCACACGGAUACGUACAUCUCGGAACAAUUUGAUGCGUUCGGGUCAUCUGAAAUUAAUAAGUGCAGUGCUUCAUCCUCGUUGUAACUUGUAACCCAUAAUUGUGCUUCUUACUAGUGUUUUUUGUUCCCUUCCUGGAGCAACAAUGCCCAUCAGAGAGAGGGGAGACUGCAGUUCACAGCCGUGCGCCAGACAUUCCCAGUGUCCCAGCACCGUGUACCCUCUUUCUCGUUAACGAUCGAUUGAGCAAAAUUAAUGGGACUCGGUGUUGGGCUGGAGACUGGAAGACAGGCACUUCCAAGUAUGUAAACGUAACACUUAUCAAAGCAUCCUGCUUUAAGCUAGCCUCUAACCCGGCCUCAUUAAGUUAGCCCAAUUUCCUGGCCCAUGUACGCAGAUAGGCUAGAUCUAUUAUAUUAUUAAGACAGCUCGAAAAGAAGACAUCACGUUUACCGUGGAGGCUAGAAAUUCUCACGUUAAUCGAAGAAAAUAUAAAUUAUUUACACCGUUGGAUUGUAAGAGGCAUAGAUUUCAAUGUCUGAGAUUUAACACAAACUUAGCAUGUUAACUGAAUUAGAAUCAAUCUCUAACUAGGAUCUUUACAUGCAAACGGACUCAAAAUAGUUUUGUCCGAUUUUCUAAACUUAAGUUAGGUUCUAGAAUAGUUAGGCUAUAAUGUAUAGUAGCAACGGAAAUCCACAGCAGCAGGUCGAGCCGCGCGGCUGCACGAUGAGCAAGAAUUGGACGAUGCACGUCAACAAACAGAAGGAACGAUGGCAUGUGCACAGCAGCUAGCCAGGUGCACACCUUAAGCGAUACAAUUAAAAAGUUUUCCUUUGAAAAUAUAGGUUCCAAAAUAAACUUAAAAAUAAAAUUUGGAAUAAAAAUAUAAUACCAAUAAUAAAUAUGUAAAUAUUCUUUGCCAAAUAUGUACAUUUAUCUAUAUAUAUAUUAUUAAGAUAGCUUUAGAAAAAUCAUCAGAGACAUAAAAAAAACGUAGAAAUCUUUAUUAUUAAGACAACUCGAAAAGAAUGUGCCAUAUUUAUUCUAAAAGAUAUAAAUUAUCACAUUAAUCGAAGAAUAAAUUCCAAGCCAUUAGACUGUGGUAGAACCAAAUUAGAACGGUGAAGAUUGAUAACAGAAAUAUAUGUAAUAUAAUUAUAUCUUUAGAACUAAACAAUGGUAUAUAGAAGAGUACAGUGACAGCAUUUGAUGAGACUUCUAAAUAUUAUAAAAAUGAAACGAAACAAGAUAAUAAACUCUAAAAAGUACAAGGUCCAAUUUUUAAAGGUUCGGGACUUUUAAAAAGUAAAAAGAACAAUGAAAAUAAUGUUCCAAUUUAAAAUCUCAAUGAAAUAAAGAGAGGAGGGAGCAUGCGAGCCAUAGAAUAGUACAAUGGCAAAGCCGAUAAUUGUUUGGUGGGACUUUUAGAAAGUAAAAAAAUGAACUCAAACAAUAAUUAUGUUUGAUUUUUAGAAUCCCAAUGACAAUAAAGAGAGGAGGCAGCAGACGGGUUAUAGAAGAGUAUAGUGGUAGUGUUUGAUGAGACUUCUAAAAAUAUAAAAAUGAAACUCAACGAAAAUAAACUCUAAAAAUUACCAGGUCCUAUUUUUAAAGAUUCGGAACUUCUAAAAAGUAAAAAAAAUGAUAAUAAUGUUCGAUUUUAAAAUCUCAACGACAAUAAAGAGGGGAGGCAGCGGACGGGCCGUAGAAGAGUACAGUGGCAAAGCCGCUAACGGUUUGGCGGGAGUUCUAUAAAGUAAAAAAUAAACCCAAACAAUAAUUAUGUUCGAUUUUAAAAAUCCCAAUAACAAUAAAGAAAUGAGGCAACGGAUGGGCAAUAUAGGAGUAGAGUGGCAGUGUUUGAUGGGAUUUCUAAAAAUUAUAAAAACGAAACCCUAAGAGACAAUAAACUCUAAAAAUUAUAAGAUCAAAAUUUUAAAGUUUCCAAGGAGAAUGAAUAGGAAUAGUGAUAGAUCGAGCAAGCAAAUAAAAAAUAGGGUAACUUUUAAAAACUAUAAAAUUAAACACGAGGAUGAUAUGGUUUGAUUUUUAAAAGUUUUAAAAUAAUGAGAUAACUAUUUAUUCAAUAAAAUUUAAGUAAAAUCAUAUUAAAAAUAGAUAAUUUUAUAUGGAUGCUAGCCGCGCAAUUGCGCGGGCCACCCAGCUAGUUCUUAUUAUCCCAGACAGGCAGCAUCAUGCAGAAAGUGGGGUAUCCUACCACUUUACAGUAGAUCCACAGUACACGGUAUACUGAGUUGAGUUCAAAAAGGAGGUGUACCCAGUUAGCGCUCGCAAGUACGAGUACAAGAACGAAAGGCAAAUUAUAUCAAACACUUAUCAUUUCGAUGAUACAUUAGGGCGAUCCAUAACGUACAUUCACAAUACACACACUUGCAUCAUCAUCAUCAUCGUACUCCAUACACGGUACACGUACGCACACGUACACACGGCUCCCUCGUUUCGUACAAUCUGAAGGAGAGUCGACCACGCACGCGUGCAGGCACUCUACCUUGGUUACAAUUUGUACUAACGUAAACCCGCCCAGUACCCUGCACGGCUGCACCCGUCGUACCGUGUACUACACGGCCACGUCCCCGUACGCGAAAAAACACCAAACACGUAUACCGUUACGCACCCCGGGCUCCACCUUACGUGGCAGCAUCAGCUCGCCGGCGGUGAUGGAUGGAUGGAUGCUCACGAUUGGUGGCACCCGCCGAGCGGGGCGCCGCCGGCGCACUGGUUGUGCUCGUACGGCUUGCAGCCGUGGCGGAUGACGCCGUGCAGCCUCGGGAGCGGGCCGCAGAGGCGGUUGUAGCUGAGGUCCAGCGUCUGCAGCGUGGAGAGCGCGGCGAGGGAGCGUGGCACGGUGCCCCUGAUGCGGUUGUGGCUGAGGUCCAGGUAGGUGAGCUCCGGCGGGAAGACGAGCUUGCUGAGGUCGAAGUCGAGGUCGUUCCACGAGAGGUCCACCUUGCCGAUGGGCCGGCCGGCGGCGAAGAGGAAGGAGGCGUCGCCGGUGAGGCGGUUGUGCGAGAGGUCGACGGUGUUGAUCUCGUCCUGCGCGUCGUCGCGCGGGAUCGGGCCGGUGAGCUGGUUGUAGGAGAGGAUCAGCGACCUGAACUGCCCCUGCACGAGCCCCGCCGGGAUGCAACCCGUCAGCUUGUUGCUGCGGAGGUCAAGCGACCGGAGGUUCGGGAGGUCGGAGAAGGAGUUCGGGAUGGGGCCGGUCAGGCUGUUGUGGGAGAGGUCGACGGAGUCGAGGCUGCGGAUCCGCGCGAGCGAGUCCGGGAUGACGCCGGAGACGUUGGUGUGGGAGAUGGUGAGGAACUGGAGGUUGGAGAGCGCGGUGAGGCACGCCGGGAUGGGGCCGGAGAGGCCCGGGAGGCGGAACAGCGACAGCGACAUGAGCGCCGUCAGCCCCGCCACGGCGGACGGGAUCUGGCCGCGGACGUCGUUGGCGCCGUCGAUGAAGACGUUGUUCACGCGCCCGGCCUCGUCGCACCGGACGUGGUCCCACUCGCAGCAGUCCGCCGACGCCAGGGACCACGUCGACAGCGUCGCCGGGUUUCCCAGCGACUGCUUCACUCUCAUCAGCGCCUGCUUGUCGCUCGGCGGGCAUCGCACCGCCCUCGCCGGCGCCGCCGCGACGGCCACCGCCAGCAAGACGGCGAGCAUGAAAGAGGCGGUGGACGCCAUUGUAUCUACCUGAACUAGGCUCGUGUGGCUGGAGCUGGCUUGAGUGUGUGUGAGUGAGUGCGGGAGUGAUGAGCUCUCGAGGGUGGUAUAAAAAGAGCCGCGCGUGGAGGCGUCAGGAUCAGUGUGCAUGCAUGAUGGGAUAAACGAUACAUUUUCCUCCCAUUUUUUUUCUCUCUCCCUCUCAUAUCCUUUUUUUGACCACCCAUCGAACCGGGACAUGCUUGGGCUCGGGGCCUCGGACACCGAGACGGCCAGCGGUGCGGUGGUACUACGAGCGGACACGAGAAGGAUUCGCGGUGAAUGAUGAGUGAAAACGAAUCAAUCCCUGACACCGCAACAUGCCAAACGCACACACACGCACAGGCACAGAGAUAGGUGGUGCCGUGGUGGUGAUAACCGGGAAGCAUCGCCGUGGGUUCGGCCACGGCCGGCGCGUGAUUGGUGCGUGCAUGAUUAGCAAUGGCAUGUGGGAUGGGAACGAACUGGGGCUUUCGCCCGCUCCGUGCUCCGGCCAGCGCCCACAUUGCUGGGUGCAGAAGCAGAAAGCAGAAGCCGCUCGCUCCGCCCGCCCGGCCGGCCGGGCGGCACGGCACGCACUCGUAUUAACUCGCGGACAUGUGCGCUCGGAUCUCCCGGAGCCUCAAGACGGGGGCGUCGCGUAGCUAAGCUAGCACCUGUUCUGGAUACGCUUGUCUCGGUUAUGAUCGGCAAAGGGCCGCAAAUGGACGGGAAGACAGCUCGUUUUCCGUGUAAGUCAACAUGAUAGGAGUACUAGCAAUGAGGAGGUUAUUUAAAUCCACAUGAAACAAUUAUACGCAGUUUGCAAAUUGCAGCCCCCUCUGAUUGAAUUCGCAUAUAAUGAGUAUCCCGCACUAAUUAUUUCGGAUGAGAAAAGGUCGAAGUGCAUGUUCUACUGUUCGAUUUCGUAGAGAUAUGCAUUGCAUUAUCGUGUCGCAGGGAUUAGAUCGAUCACAUAUAGCACAGGCCCACGAGAGACAAUCAAGGAGACGUCGUCACGUCGCUCGCACUGUCGCAGGCGGUGGUGCAUGCAUGAAUGCAAACUGAGUAGCUGACCAGGUCCAUCACUCCACCAGCCCGUGAAAAAACGUACUAGUAGCAGGAGGACGGACACAGCAGCAGCGAGAGCCACCGUCGCCGCGCCACGUACUCGCACAAGCCGCGGCCCACCACACCGCCACCCAUGCACGCGACGUCUCUGUCCGAUCCCCUGAACUGAAACGCUGUCACGCUGGAGCGCGCACAAGCCAAAGGUGCUCCCUGUCCGACUCGGCGCGCGCUUGCCCGUAUCACGUCUUCAGCGAGCGAGACGAGAGGAGGAGGCACGCAGCGGCGGCCAUGUGGGGGCUAAAUAAUGCGGCAUGGACGUGGUCCGACAGGGUUCAGGCCGGCACGAGAGCGCAUGUGGAGGCUUGGGCGGCGAGGGGAAAAGAAAGGAUUCUUUCGGCUUUCUGGGCUGGCUGCCCGGGCCGCUUGCAGCUUUGCGUUAAACCUCCCCCUUGUAGAAAAUGCAGUAGAGAUUUCGGAGGUUUGGAAUCUCAUUAUGAUGCUUUAGAACCAAGAAAUGACUCCCCUAUCAUGUUUCACAUAUUUAUGUAGAUCUAGUUUAUAUAGGAUUUAACAAAGAUAAUUCAAUCUUGCGUUGCAAUUUGCAGAGCUGCCUUGACGCUUGACGCUUUUGCUCUGUGCUCUGCGGUUCGGCCUGGCCGUCCAGCUACGCACCCACAUGCAUCGACCGAACUGGAGAUAGAUGUACCCCGCCUGGGCGCUGCUCUGUCCAGUCUCUGCCUCUGCUCGCACCGGGCACACCAGUUUCACCAGCGAGCGUGCGGUACGCCAGCACCACCAGACCAGAUAGCACCGUCGUCUCUGCGAUUUCUUUACGCGAAAAGCAGGGCGGGUUGGUUGGAUCGCGAAACCGAUCAGCCGAGGCGACGCCGCGACGGAGAGAUUGUGCCAGCGUCAAGUUGCAUGCCGACGUAACACACUUGAUUUUCUUUAGUACUGAGAUUUGUGCGAGGUACUAGUAGUAGUCGUAGCUUUGGCUCUCCAUGCGAUUCUUGGCUGCCAAAGCGGUGGCUGAUGCCUCCGUGGUUUGUUUUGGUGCGUCGUGGUGUUCAUCGCAGGAUCUCUCACGUGUUGACUGAAAAUUGUUGUAUUAGGUGUAGUCUCCAGGUUGCAGCUUUUUAACGACGGGGAAUUAUAAUCAGCCUAUAUGGGUGGUGUAUCCUUUUGAAUUUUAGUACGUACGAGCACAUCACACGACAAAUACUCUAUUACUGCUACAGUCACCAGCGCAAACAUUUCUUAACAGAGAUAUUAUUGUACUAUCGGCCAGCUAGCACUUGUAUACUUUUCAUUUUGGAUCGGUUCCGCCCUGAACGGCAUUCAUCUCUCUCUUUUUCUCAGUGUAUACUACAGACCGAGUGAAAAAUAGUUGCACCGUGCGCGUGGGACAGCUCGCAGUAAUUCUUCUUCAAAACUAGUACUGCUGUUCAUUCAUCAGAUGACAAAAUGACAACCAGCAACUAGCUGGCGGCCUGGCGCUGCAGCACUUGGUGGCACACCCAUCACGUGCCUGUAACGAGAAGAAAAAAAAACUUACUACUACCACAGUACUAUUCUCUCUAAAAAGAAUCCAAUUGGUGGCUAGGAUUGAGUUUUCUUAGACGAAGAGGUUAGCUGGCUGCUACUCCUUCCGUCCUAUAAUAUAAAGGAUUUUGAUAUUUUACUUGUACUGUUUGACUAUUCAUCUUAUUAAAAAAAAUUUAGAAUUAUUAUUUAUUUUUUGUGUGACUUACUUUAUUAUCUAAAGUACUAUAAGCAUAACUUUUUGUUUUUUAUAUUUACAUAAAUUUUUUAAAUAAGAUAAGUAAUUAAACAGUACAUGUAAAAUAUUAAAAUCUCUUGUAUUAGAGGACAGAGGGAGUAGUAGUUAUAGUACUCCACGCUCCACAGGCAACAACAGUGAAUACUCUCCCUCACGCAUGGAUAAGUUCAAUCGCUAACGUUCGUAGCCCUCUGCCCCCUCCCGUCCCUAGCUGCCCUACCCGGCCAGAAUAACCAGAUGACAGCCAAGCCGUGGAGGGCGAUCCGUCCUUUGCCCAGUUGCCCCCGUGCGAUCAUUACCUCCCCAGAUCCGAGCUGCUCCCACCCUCCCACCGUGUCACGAUCGAAGAACUGCAUGCACCAUGCAUCCGCGACCGCGACGGCGCGGCGGCACCGCAACCGGCCGCGGCCCAUGCAUAUCCCCCACGCGCGGUUUUGACGAGCCGCACGCAAGCCACGCGCACCGGCAGGUUGCCGGCUACCGACGAGCGCUCCCUCGCGGUCGCGGGCGGGCGGGGCGCGGUGUGCCGGUGUCGCGGCGGAGGCAUGGGCACUUGUCGCGGAUGGGAUGCGCAUGCGCGGAUCUGGGGAGACGCACAUGCCGCGGCGGGGAGAGGAGAGACGUGACGCGCGGUGCGGGUUUCUUGGGGGGCGGAAAUGAAUUGGGGGAGGACGUGGACGCUGCCCAAGAUCUGCGUAGCACGCCUGAAGUGCCGUUCCCAUCGGCGAAACGCGAAAUGAUCGUUCGUUUCUUCUCAUCGCCGCGUCAGCGCUUCGAUGAGAAAUACUUCUACAAUACUGGCAUGCUGCUGCUACGACUAACCUAGGCUCGAUUCGGCAAGGCUAUGUAGGAGAUGAUAUUUUGUGGUGGUAUGAACGAGCCACUCGCUCGGGUCACGGCACAUGAGGUGUAUGGUUGUUGGACUGCAGCUCUGCACGCAUCGAGGAGAGAAAAAAAAGGCUGAGAGCAUGUUCUUCGCUCAGAUAAACUAAUCUCUUUAUGUACGAGACUCGCUCUUAAAAAAGGGAUACGAUCCACAUGCGAACAGAAUAAGCAACGGGGAAUUAAUGAUCUAGCAUAAAAAGACCAAGUAAAGACGGGAAAUACAUGGGUGGGGUUUGACGUCGGGUCAAAGAUCGAUCAACCUGUCCGUGUACCACAUGUGCUAAAUCAGGGUUCCUUGUUUAUCACCCUGACGAAACAGGACACAAACCAAAAUGCACUAUAACUACGACUCAGAAAUCAGAAUCCUGCUCAGGGGAAAACGAAAGCGAAUGAUAAAGCUGGACGACGUGUCGACGUUUACGGGAACUUCAAAAGAGAGAGAGAUAGAGAACGCUAACUUUACAGAUCUGAACGAGAUAAUCCAAAGCGGCGAGAAAAAGAAAGCGAAAAAAAAAACAGAAGAGCCAAAUAAACAGACAAGCUGAAAAGGCUAAACCAGUACAGUACUCCAUUAGCGACACAGUAGAAGAUCGUAGAGCUCUGGACCGCUACCACACCAGAGCAGCUCUGUGCUGCUUCUCUUCUCCCCUCUCACACGGCCAUUGUCGACAGCGCAUUCAAGCUCUGCGUUUAUGACACCCAGGAUGUUUACUGCAUACAGUGGCACUUCAGAAUUCCUAUCCUUCAGAGGGAAAGUAGAGUGCAUUUACAGCCGACCUUAUCAUCAUCUCCUGAUAUAUGCAUCUGUACAUCUGCUGUAUUUGAUGUGUGGUCCAGGGUUGCCAAUGUUCAAUUUUCUUACAUGUGCCGUGUUUGAUCACCAAGAUGCCCAAGUCUCUGACCAAAAUGUAUUUUGAUAAAAAAAGAGGAGAAAUUUUCACCCUUUCUGCUAAAAGCUAGGCAGAAACUGGAUACACCUGCAAGUCCCAUACAGCCAUAACCUUCCAGGAGAUAGCGUCAAAAGACCAUACAGGCAUGUGCAAAACGUCCUACUAUUAUUGAAUUCCCAGAGCCAACAAAAUGAUUCAUUUAGAACGUAUGGGUGCUAAAUACAAAAAGAAGAUAUGGUUGAAUACACAUGAAUCAUGAUCUAUUUUACUAGCAUAUCAUAUCACUUCUUGCUAUAACAAAUUUAUAUGCCUAGUCUAGAAGCUACUUGAAUUGCUGGUCUGCUGGAUUAACCAUAGGCACCCUCUCAAUUCUUACAGGCUGAUCGACGCCGUCCACGGAAGGUUUGAUGUAAAGAUUGAACACAACGUUGGUGAAUAUCGUGAGGAUAACAAGUGCAAGUGUUGAGAAUGUUACAUACGUUGGAGAAAAUUCAGGAAGUUCAUCUUUUGAUCCCCGCCCAGUUAUCAUAUCUCGGUCCAUGUAAGGGUCUGUUUCAAGCAAAUCACAGUUAGAUCGGAGUCCAUCUCACUGUGAUGUUAACAUUGUUAAGAACAACUGAUCAAUAAACCAUGAUGCUGAUGCAACGUGGUAGCUCUCCUAAAGACAACUGGAUGGGUUUUCAGAGCAAUAGAGACUCAAGAUGCAAACAUUAUUACUGUGUUUCAAAGCUCUGUCUGCCACUUUUGGAUGGCUUCAUCCCCACUGAACUGUUGCUGUUGUCCUUAGGUUCUUCAUAAAUGACAAUAUGGCAUGUUGUGCUACUGCAUACAGAAGCAAUGAAGCAUUUGUCCAAGUCAUGGGUGAGGCCCCUAUAAACGUUGCAUACUUGCAUAAUGUCAGAGGUUUCAUUAAUUGAGUAGUUUCAGUACAGAGGACUGAUCCAUCUCCACCAAACACUUUAUAAAAAAUAUUUAUAUUUGUUGCUGAGAGAUCUGUCCUGCCGACCUUUUAAAGCUCUUGAUCUGAUCAUUGACAAAGUUAGUAUGAGUGAGCCUAGUAUGUUGCAUAAUGCAUUGAGGUCUCCACGAACAGUUUCAGCCGAUUGAAUGAUCCAUCUCUUCUAUUUUAAACAUAUAUUCCAUCUCCAAAUAUAUAGGUCAUUGCAGGAUAACUAUGGACAACAUCUUAAAACUUUGAUCAAUAGUAUAUGUAAAAGUAGAACACUAUACAUAUAAUUUUGACUACUUAAUCAAUCAUAAUCUCAUUAGAUUUUUUGGGUUAACGAGCUUGAGAAAACGAAGAUGCUUGCACGCACAAACUAGUGUAAGUUUACCACUAAAAGUUUUCAGUUGAUAUCAAUUACUGACCCUGAUGAACAUAGUGAAUUGUUGAUGAAAUGGACACAGCGCACAUGUAAACUGGAAAAGCAAUUUGCCAUGAGCCCAUGAGAGGAGGGACGAGGUAGGCAAAAGCCCAACGGGACGUACCCGGUGGAAGAGGCGGCGCCGGCGGCCGUUCCCUGGGCUCGGAAAGCCCCUCCAGCUGCGAGUCGAGCUCCGCCAGCCGCCGCAGCGCCUCCUCAGCCCGCGGCUCGCGCUCCUCCCCCGACCCCGGCCCCGGCCCCUUCUCCGACGACGAGAAGGCGACCACGUCGGAGCACCGCCUCCUCCCGCUUCCGCCCACUGCACGUGUGUUAUCGGCGAGGAAUCUCAAGCUCGCUCCGCCGACGGCGAUCGCCGGGAACGGGACGAAGCGGAGAUGCAUCCUCGCCGCCGCGCACAGCCGCGAUGUGGAUAACGUACUGAAGGAUUUCUUUUCGAUUUUAGCGAGAUAAUAACUGGGCUGGAUCUAAGCCCAAUAAGGCCCAUUAUUAUCUCACGAUGGGCUUAGCCCAAAAUGGGCCCAGUUUUAGCGGUCGGCGUGGGGGCCCAUAAGAUGGGAUCUCGUGUUCCCCACCGGCCACGGCCAUCAGAUUCGUCGUGUGUAGCGAAGCACUCGACGGAAUCCGGAAGCGAAGCGAGCGGAGAACGCCGACGAGCACACCACCGCCGCCGCCGCCGGCUCACGGUCUACCCACGCGCGUGGAAGCGGGGCGAUGGAGGCGUCGGGAUCCGAGCCGGGGCGGCCAUGGACGGUGUCCGCCACCUGGGCUCCGGCUGGCGGCGCGGCCGUGGAGGACGCCGUCUCGUUCGAGACGUCCGCCGACGACGCGGAGGCCGUCCCCUCCGCCGUCUUCCUUGAACGCCCUUCCCCUGAUGGCGACGGCGACGCUCCUCCCUGCGAGGUCACUGGUGAGUCGUCGUUUUUGACUUGGGGGGUAGCUUAGCUCUCUGGGCUUGUCAGAAUUUUGCGAGUUUGCCGCGGGAUCGCGGUGUUUGCGUUGGUCCGAUCGGAUGCAGGUGCACUCACUGUUGUGAAUUUUAGUUUUGCAGCAUCUAGUCUAGCUUAUGGUCGGAUAAACCCUAGUAGGCUGGUAGAACCAACCGAACCUAGUAGGCUGGUAGAAUCAACCGAAGUGGUUAUCGCUGUUCGAGUUCUAGUGCGUGAAUCAUUCAUAGUUAUCGUUAAAAUGUUCUAAUGCGUAGAGUCCAUGGAUUGGAGGUAUCUGUUUUAGAGAUCCUUUCGUAACUUGAGGAAUCGUUUCGACUUUCGACUAAUACCUUAAGAUAAAAAUUAUGACAGGUUAGUAUGUCAUAUAACGGAUUCAUUUGCUACUGUCUACUGGUUAUUGUUUGCGUGAUACUCUUAAACUUAAGCUUCUUAUGCUUCCAUGACCAGAGCAUUCUUAAUUGAUAACUGAUAGUUUGCGUUACUAUUUAGGAAAAUAUCUGGCUAAGUUUUUACUACUUUAGAUUUGAUUUUUCCAUCAGUGGUAAGCGGUAAGUGUAGAUACCUAGUCUUGUAGUGAAGCUGUUGCACUGUGAACAGUCCAAGCAUCAUCGAUCAUACUGAAGUCUCAAUGAUGUAUUUGUUCAAUUCCUUUGUACUGUCAAUUUGCAGAAAUUGGAGCUACCUGAUAUUAGGAAUUCAAACAAUUUAUUGAAUUGGUGGCAUUUCUUUUUGGAAGAUGAGGAUUGGGUGAUAUUACCACAGAAAGCUCUAAGCACUGUAUACUUGCAGAAAUUGUAGAGUUGCUAAUAUUAGGAAAGUAUCUGUACUAUAGUUUCGUCAUCCUCAUCAAACUACUACUAGUAUUUCUUUUAUGAAAGUAAAAGGAACUGGCAGUAUUCCAUUGAAAGUUGAAACCUUUACAUGGAAUUCUGUAUAAACUACAAAGCCCAUCGUGCCGAAUUUAGAGUCGAUUUUCUUUUCAUUGAUUCAUUGUAUAAAUUUCAAGUCAGUGUCUCACAUCUCAUAGCAUAUACAGCACAGUACCUAGCAUGAUGAAAAUCUAAGCUAUUUUUCCAUUUCAGUAUGCAUAUAUCUGAUUCACAGCUGUUCAUCAGUUCAUUUCAGGGGAAAGUAUGAGAUUCACAGGGUGUAUGUGCGAAGCACAGCUCGGAUUUAUGAAAUAUACUAUACAACUGACCCCAAGGAUAGCUCUAAGGAUUAUCUAUGCACUGUGCGUUGUGGACCUGCAGUUAAAGAGCCACUCCCCUCUGCUGAAGAAAGUAUGCCCCAAUGGAGUAGUGAUGCCUCAACUAGUGAAAAGCAUGAGCAUGAAACCAAAAGCGUAAGCAGUAGUAUUGAUGAAGAUAGCUGGGUUGAUGUCAAAAUCCCAGAGUUACAUGUGGAAAAGAACAGAUCUAAAUCUCAAGAACCUAAUGCAAUUGGAGUCAAACAGGAAACCACUCUGGUAAAGCCUUAUUUCUUGGUUUGUAUCAUGAAAGAUUGUUAAAUACUCAACCAUAAACUUCUGCUGGGAGUGCUCCUAUUGUGAUAUUAGCUUCUAAAAUUUUUCUGUAACUUUGUUUCGCUAUGUGGAAUGCAGGCACACUAUGAAGCAACUGCUGAGAUAACUGAUGCAAGCCCAUGUGUAUCUCUAACUGUUCGCCUCCUUUCACUUCAGUCAAAAACAUCAGUGCACAUCGAGGAGAUUUACAUAUUUGCUGAUCCUGUUGAGCCAACCAAUGAUGAAUCAGAAACACGUCCUGGAAACAUGGGAGGUAGUUCUUUGUUGGCUAUGCUUGUCCCUAGCCUCAUGCAAAUGUCCAAAUCAAGGAACCAGAAAACGGACAAUAAAUAUUUUUCUGAUGCCUCAAGGACUCAGCUUUCCCAAGGUUGUGCAAUGGCAGUGAAUAAUAGUCCAUGUGAAAAUGUAGUGCGAGAUGCAGAGCCGUGUAGCACAGAUGAUUUAAAUUUCAAGUCAGCAGGGAUGGAAAGCAAACUAAAUGCUAUAGAUGGCGAUACAAUAACUUAUGAAAAAGGCAACCAUUAUGAGCUAAAGGAUUCCAAGUCUAUUCUAUUGCCUAUACAAACAACAGAAAAUACACAAGCUCCUUUGACAAAGAACCAGAGUGUGUCAAAUACAGAUCAGCCUGUUACUCCUCUCAUGGAUGAAAAUCCAAAUCCUUACAGUCGCAUUGAGGGAAAGCUGGAUACUCUUCUCUCUAAGAUGGAGAAGAUGGAACUAUACUGCUCCAGGUUUGACGAUGGUAUGAUGAGGCCUAUCUGUAGCAUCGAGUCAAGGCUUCAGCGAUUGGAACAACAGUUUGAUGUGUUCUCUAUGGAGAUUAAGACUUUACAAGCUUCUUCUGCAAGAAUGACAGCCCCAGAUGGUUUAUCUGAUAUGAUUAAUCCACAGGAUAAAACAGAUAAUGAUGGUAAGGCUGAAAAUUCUGCUUCCACAACCAACAGGCAGCCAGGUCUGGUUGUCAGAGCACCAGAGUUUUCUUUAGAAGAAUCCUUCAGUUGCGAUAAGUCCAAUGAAAAUGCAGUUACCUUACGUGGACCGAGCAUGGUGCCAAGGCUUCUUGUUAAGGCUCCUGAUUUUGUUUCUGAAUCUGAGUUUGCUUGUGAGAAGCUUCAUGAUGGGUCUUUCUCACCAGUUGAUUUUGCUCUGUCUUCUGAGAAAGAACCUAAAACUUCCCCAGGUUUAGUUGUCAAGGUUCCAGAAUUUCCAAAUGAUUCAGAUGAUGAAUUGGAGGAAGAGAAAGAAACAGAAGUUGGUGAUCAUGAUGAUGGUCAUACAAAAUCUGAUGCUGCUUUGAGUGAAAGCACUGUUGACAGCUUCAAAAGCAAAUCUCAUGUAUCUGUCGAUGGUGCUCUAGCAUCAGCCUUGGAGGCACUUCUUGGUUCAACCAAGAAAACACCAUCUUCGCAAUCUGCUGCUUGCCCUGCCAGUAAUUCAACUGCUGAAAAUACUACUGAUUCUUCUACCUGCCCAUUUUCUUCUGAACAAGUUGAUGAGACAUCCACUAAUGAUGGCUCGGCUGGCCAAUUAUCUGGUACAUUCGUUGAUGCAAAUAAGGUCAAUACCUUCAUAUCUUGUGAGGAAGCAGAUGCAGUUCCACAAACUUAUAUCUCUAAGGCAAACUUGAAGGCUGAGGUAAACGAUCUGAAUAAUGUUCUCGAUUUGAACAUGAUGGCAUUUGCUGAAAGCACAGAACCCUUGUGUGUUCCACAGCUUCACACAGUUGAGGAAUCUAAAGAUGUUGGAAGCCAAGCAAAUCUAAAGAAUAAUGGCUCUAGUUCAUACAUGAUGCAAUCCAUUGCAAACACUGAGCACAUCAUCGCUCCUUCUCAGCUUCCUACUGUCUUGGAAUCUAUUAAUGAUGGACAACAGUUGAAUGGCAACAGAUCUACCUUGUCCUUGGCAGAGUUUCUUGUGGCAAGAAAUGCUAACUUUAGUAAGAAUGUGAUUUCUGAAGCAUUAUCUAGUAAUGGUGGUGCUGAAAUGCAUACCUUCAAGAGAACAUCGAUGGAAUCUGCUAAGAAUAUAAAGGAUAUCAAUCAACUUCUGCUGCAGAAAGCUCUAGAGGUUAAUGAGGAUGACAGUGCUAAGUUUUCUGUUUCUGGUGGGAUGAACUCUUGUUGUCUUAGAGCCUUUACUGAUUCCAAGAAAAGAUGCAUUGAGAGCAGCGGCUUGGAGGCAAGCCUCAAUGAUAGCUUUACAAAAUCAGAGGUAGAGCACUCCUUGUCAGAUUUGUGUAGUAUGGAAUCAUUUAGUGCAGAACCUGCUAGAGAAGCUGUCGGCUCAGGUGGUGUCACAGCUGGAAAUUGUGUUGAUGAUCCUUUUACAGGUAGUUCUACUGUAAACCCAACUGCAGGCGAAGAGCUGCAAAAGGUGUGUGACUUGCUUUACGAGUACAAUGAUGAUGUUUUAGGCAUGGCUUUCGUGGCAAAGAAAACAAGUAAGAGCAGCCCUUCUCUCGAAGUCCUACUUGCUGAAUCAUCUGAUUCGGAAGCGGAAAUUUCUGAUGCGAAGGACACUGACAAUGAUGCUGGCUUAAGUUCAGCUAGGUUGUUUAGUACAUUCUCGUCUUCAGAUGAUGAAGCUCCUCGCACUGAUGAACCUAUAAUUGAUGUAGUUGAUCUGCCAACACCAUUGGAUGCAUAUGCUUCUUCCAAGAACGAGCUGGUUGAUGAUGAGUCUUUGCUUGAUAUGGAUGAUCCGCCAAUUCCUCCAGAGUCGUAUGCUUCUGUCCUAAGCGACAUGCAUCAUGCAUGUCUAAAUGAUCAAUCAAAACCUUCAGGGACAUUCGCUGGAGAGGGCAAUGGAGAGUAUCCUGACAGCCUUAUAUAGGUUCAAUCAACAUUGUCCCACUUGUUAGAAAUAAGUCGAACAUACUCAAAAAGCCUCAGCUGCACUACUUUUUUUGUUGGUUUUACUGUACAUAUAUCAACGUUUGCUUCCACGCCCAUGCGGUUUUCUGUACAUAUAAGACUUACUGUGAGUAAACAAUUUACCUUUUGGUAUUACCUGUGUACACUUAUCACCUGUCCUUUCACAGUUUCACUGCUGGCCAUUCAACCUUAAGCAGUCAGCAAGUAAGCAUCACAAGAAAAGGCUGAAAAGCGCCCAGAUUUCCACUCUAUACAGUUACCAUCUUGUGACUUCGUCUUUUCACGUGGUUGACGAAUAUCCUGAACUACCAGAGACCGACUCAUCAUUCCAAACCAGGUAUGACUUAUUAUGAGGUAAAUUAUGUUCACCACCGUAGAGUUGGAUUGCCCGAUUUACUGCAACUGUUUCAUUCAUACCUUCUCUGAUCCACUGUAACUGCUAGGAAAUUUCUUUCUUUCUUUCUCUAAUCAUGCAACCAGGUAUGUCUAAUGUUCACCGUAGAGUUGGAUUGCACGAUUUACUCGAUUGUUUCAUACCUUCUCUGAUCCUUGUGAUCCACUGUAACUGUUAGGAUCUUUCUUUCUUUUUUUCCCCUCUAAUCAUGCAUUCAUGCAGCCACUUAUUUCUAGCAGGUCAGUUUCUGGAACACGCCAUGUUACGUGAUGAAACACAAGAACAGGGCUACAUAAUGUACACAUGUGAGCUUGCUUGGCGCCCCAGCGGUCUGCACCACAUGGACUAAUCCUUAAUUCCUCAUGCCAUGGGCCAGGUGAAAUCGUCGUCCCACACGGUACAGCUACAGCAUUAACACUGCAGCCGGCCAGCCUUCGCCAUGGCGUCCAAGUUCAAGGAAAGCAUGGAUUCGUAUCAAUUUGCGGCUCAACUGAAAAGGCGCGGACGUACAGAAAUUUCAGGUAUGGUCGGAUCCAAACUUAUUAGGAUUGGUCGCUUUCUUAUUGGAUGAUACUGUGCGAGAUUUUCCCACAAGAAUCUGUGCGUAUACGGACUUUGGAAUAGAGUCAAUGCACCGCGAUCACACCAUCACUUGUCUAGGAGCACUUUCACUGUGUGACCAUAUCCAAUCUAAACAGAAAUAUAGCCACAAGAAAAUGUAGGGGGGUGCUGUUUGUCGGAAAACACCCUUAUCAAAAACAUUGGUAUUAUCAAACUUUGGUACGAUAACAAAUUGAACAAUGAAACAGCUCCAACUAUCAUAGCGCUACCAAAAUUUGAUAAUUUUUGGAACCUUACACUAAAUCUGGUAAGACCUCAAACCAAACAUCACCAUCCCUAUCGUUACCUUACCAAGUAAAGCAAAACUUGUUAAGAUUAUUUUGGCAUUUCUGCCCUUUCGUCCGUCGCUCUUCUCAUGCGGCAUAUUCGACUCUUAAUUACUCGGCCCAGACCCAACGCUGGCCUUACAAAUCUCUCGUUUAUCAACCAUCAUCAAUAACCUUAUCAAAUUUGGAUAAUUAUAGAACUUUGCAUUCUACAUCAAAAUCUGAUAAGGCCUCGAACCAGAUGUCACCAUCACAUCUUUAACAUAUUAAAAUUUGGUAAGGUUUAUUUUUAUUACAAACCAAACAUGCGCAUAAAUCUCAUCACUCUCUUCACUGUGCCCAAUUUAAACGGAAUAUUUUAGUAAGAAGAAACAUCUUAAUCUUACCGCACAAUGGAAUCUGAAUACGGCUUCAGUUUAACUAAGUUAUCUGAAUACGGCUUCAGUUUAACUAAGUUAAAAAAAAACUCGAAUACUCCAUAUUAAAAACUGCUAUAAAAAUCCAGAGAUCAGUUUUUUUUUUAAAAAAGCAGAGAUGCAGAUGAUGGGAUAAUCCAACUGUCGACUGGAUUGCAAAUGGCACUUUCAGAUAUACUGGUACCAUAAUAGUACUGUUUAAUAACUGCAGUUCCUCUCGAAGUCUCACCUUUGUUAGUGUGAGAGCGAGCUGAUGUGACAUUUGACAAACAACUCAAUCCUCAAUUCAGGCACUUUGUCCUCGAUGUGUUAUUUACAGCUACGCAGUAAACUCGUCAGGACAAUAUGAAAGAUCAACACACGUUCUAAUGCUCAAACUCAAUUAUUCAAAGUGAAACCGCCAAACCGGUGGGUCACAUGCCGGAAUCAAGGCGGUAGGGUUCAGUACUCUAUGCUCAAGUCCUCUUCCUAAAUGGUGCAUUCAUGUCCUUUUGUCAAAAUAUUGUUAAGCACUUAUGAAGCCAUAAAAGAAGCAGGACAAGGUGCCGGACUGCAGAGAAACUUCACUCGUACUCCUACAUAGAAUGAAGUGAAGGAAGCCACUGAAAUGGUGGUCAAGCAAUUACACAAAACAGGUAGCUCCAUAUCUUGUUCAUAUUGACAUACACAAUCCUUGAUGAUGACAAAAAACAAAUUACAGGCAGCUCUUGUCCCCCUCACCAUAAGCUAUAAGGGGCAGAGCACCAUCCAACUUAUGCUAUUUACUUGUUCUGUCUGUCCCUCCCAACUUUGCAAUACCCUUAUCAAGCACAAGAAAGUAAAGAGAACAAGAAAAAAAGAAAAAAAAGAGAGGAUAUGAUGACAGUACAUCAUACAUGUGGAUACAACACUAAAACGAGAGUUCCACACAGCAACCACAUCACAGCACUGAUCCCUGCGUGUGAAGCGAAGCGGUGAACGAUCAGCCGCCGGCGCCGGCGACGACGACGACGGCGACGGCGGCGAGCAAAGCAGAGAGGAGGAGGAGGAGGGGAAGAGGGUGGCGCGGUCGCUCAGAAGAAGGAGCGCUUGGAUGGCGCCCUCCCCACGGCCCUCAUGAAGUUGGCGAGCUCCAGCACGCGCGCCACCUUGGUGCCCCUCUUCGCCUCCGCCGACGCCCGCUUCUCCUCCGCCUUCCGCCGCGCCUUCGCCACCUCGUUCUGCGCCUUCUCCAUCGCCUUGGCCCUCUUCUCCUCCAGCUUCCUCUGCAACACACCCCCAAUUCCAUCAGAAUCCAGAGCUCGAUUGGUAGAAAUCAAUGGCGAUUAGAUGAUGGAUUUCGUUUUGGUUUCUUGUUUUACCUCGUACUUCUUGAGCCAGGCGUUGGCCUUCUCGACCUGGUCGCCCUCCCAGCCAUUGAUGACGACCUCCUCGCGCUUGAAGCGGUUGUUGACCUUGGCGACCUCGGCGAUCUGCCACGCGGCGAUCUUGGACUCCACCUCCUCCUUCUUCACCUGCCCCACCGACACCUCGUCGCCGUGGCCGCCGCCCGCCGACGACACGUCGCCGGGGGCGGGGAGCGCGAGGUGGGCGCGGCGAGGGGACGGGAUGGGGUUGCUGUCCGGGACGAUGGCGAGCGGGUUCGUCUCCUCGAGCUCAUCCUCCCCGAUCCUCCCCAGCGCGUCGUCCACCCCGGCGCGGCUGGAGUCGCCGCCGUUCGCGGCUGCGGCGGCGGCGGCGUUGGCGUUGGCUGCUGCGGCGACCAUGGCCGAGAACUCCCUGCUCAUAGUAGGGAAGAGCUCACUUGGGGCGGUGUCGCUCCCCACGGAGCGGAUCGACGUGUGCCUGCUCCCCGCCGCGGACUCCCACGACUCCCUCCUCCGCCGGUGGUACGACGACGACGGCUGGCUCGGCGUCGGCGUCGGCGGCGGGCUCAGCGCGUGGAUGUCCCUGAACUCCGGCUCCUCGAGCUCCUCCUCCACCACCACCUCCUCCUCCCUCUCCUCACCCCCGCUGCUUCUGACGACGAUCUCCCGGCCGGUGCUGAUGACAAUCUCCCGGUCGUCGGCGCCGCGGCUGCUGCUGCUGCUACCACUAGCCGCCGUUUGUUCACUCAACAUGUGUCGCCGCCGUGGGUGAGGUCGUCGUCGCCGUCGCCGCCGCCGCCGCCGCUAGUGCUCAGCCACUAGCACACACGCGUAACCAUCGGCGUCUUGCUCUUCUUCCUCCUCUUCGCUUCUCCGAGCUGAGCUGUGGUGGUGAGUGGUGAGUAGGAUCGGAUGCCUAGCUUGGUUAAAUAGGCGGGAGAAGAGGGGGAGGUGGGCCCGGGCGUGUCAGUGUCGCUGAGCCAGUGCCCGCCAUUGGAGGGGCAGUUUGGGUAUUUCCGUUUCGAUCCCCAUUUCGUGUGCCUUUUGGGCGGCUUCGUCUCGCUUUCUGAUUUUGGAGGGGUCUGUGUGUGUGUGUUUAUUUUUGGGGGGUAAGGUUUAGAGGUUAGAGUGUGCAAAGUGCGCUGACUCACACAAUCAUAUAGUUUUAACAUUAACAAGCGCCGUAUGAUUAUUUUUUCCCUUUGAUUAGUAGUACAGGUUUGGAUUGGAUACGUCACCCAUUUUUUAGGGCAAAGAGCGUGAAGGUUCUAGCCUUCUCUCUUCCUACAUGUUUAGUUACGUACUUCCACUGUACGAUCAUGCGUCGCCGUAAAAUAUUUUAAAAUGGAUCGAUAAAUAUUACUCACUCCGUCCCAAUAAAAAUCAGGAAAUCAAUCUAUGUUGAUUUUUAUUAGGACGCUAAGUUACUUUUUAUCGAGACGGAGGGAUUAGUUGUUUUUUAAUGGACUAGAUUGAUGUUCUAAAUAGAUUAAUUAAUAUAAUACUCCAUUUAGGGGCGGGACAUACGAUAGAUUAUCUAAUUUUGUGAUGAUAAUCGACUAUACAAACGAAUGAAUUAAUUGUGAAAAAAUAGAUAAGUUGUUCUAAAAUAUUAUUCUAAACAGUUUAUAUAUAGAAAGUUUUUAAAAUACCAUGUUUCUAAACUUGUAAAACGUGUCUACGAUAAUCUAUAAUUUAUUGAGGAAAAGAACCAGCCUCAAACCAAUUGCUACAUGCUAUAGUGGUUUGGGUCAGGCGGUGAUGAGGACAUCCUCCACUAUUAUCCGCUGGCAGAGACGCUAAAGUCGGGCGGCGACCGUGUGAGCCUCUGAAUAAUCCCACCUUGCUUAGCUAAUCCCACCUUACUUAGCUUAGAAGGAGGAAGCCACCUUAAAAAGGAGAGCCACCCUUCCCCUACCGGACUAGUCUUUUAGGGAGAUUGGGCCUUUCCCUGAGUGGGUGUGCUAAAGAACUGUUGGGGUCCGGACAACCUUAAGUUAUUGGGCCUCGGCCGACCCCACCUGGGCCGGAUUGUUAUCAGGCGGCCGCAAUGACCUUACACAAAAUAUAUGGUUAAAUGAAUAUAACAUCAUUGGCUUCGACAUAAAUGGUACUCCGUUUCAGGUCAUAAGAUGUCUCCGUUUCAGGUUAUAAGAUGUUUUGACUUUAGUUAAAAUUAAAUUGCUCUAAGUUUGGCUAAGUUUAUAAAAAAUAAUAUUUUUUACAAAGAUAAAUUUAUUAUAAAAAUAUAUUUAAUUAUUAAUUUAAUAAAACUAAUUUGGUAAUAUAAAUAUUACUAUAUUUACCUAUAAGGGCCCCUUUGAAUCGCAGGGUAGAAAAAACGGAGGAAUAGAAAAAACGCAGGAUUCUGAUAGGAAUUGAAGUGUAAAACAGAGGAUUGCAAAACACAGGAAAAACACAGGAAUGGUCGUUUGAUUGGAGCGCAGGAAAAACGCAGGAAUCGGAUGAGAAAGAUAGACUCAAAGGAAAUUUUCCAAGAGGUUGGAGCUCUUGCUAAAUUUUCUUCAAAAUCCACAUGCAAUGUGCCAUUCCAUAGGAAUUUCAUAGGAUUUGGAAAGUUUCAAUCCUUUGAAUCAAAGGGCCAAAUAGAAAAAUUUCCUAUAGGAUUUGAAUCCUAUGAAAUUCCUACAUAAAUCCUUUAAUUCAAAGGGGCCCUAAACCUAGUUAAACUUAAAGCUGUUUAACUUUGAUUAAAAUUAAAACAUCUUAUAACCUGAAAGCCACGGAGUACUACUCAUAUGAUGUCAGCGACUCAGCGUAUCAAAUAUACACAUAUAUACCCACCCCUACCGAACGAACUACAAGUCGGUAUAACCGGCGAACCUUCGAGUGAUUCUGCCGCCGCAUGCAAACGAAGGGCCUGUUUAGAUGGGAUUAAAACUUUUAAGUCCCUAUCACAUCGGAUGUUUGAAUAUUAAUUAUAAAUAUUAAACGUAUACUAUUAAUAAAACCCAUCCAUAAUCUUGGACUAAUUCGCGAGACGAAUCUAUUGAGCCUAACUAAUCUAUGAUUAGCCUAUAUGAUGCUACAGUAAACAUUCUCUAAUUAUGGAUUAAUUAGGCUUAAAAAAUUUGUCUCGUGAAUUAGCUUUCAUUUAUAUAAUUAGUUUUGUAAGUAGUCUAUAUUUAAUACUCUAAAUUAGUGUAUAAAGACAGGGACUAAAGUUAAAUCUCUGGAUCCAAACACCACCGAAGUCUCGUGCACUCCUGUCCCGAGAGAGUUCAGUCAAACGCAUUCCCAGCGGAUAAAAUAAAUGAAGAUUUGGUGAUUAGGCCGUGUCAACUUCACCCCCCCCCCCCACCCCCACCAAAAAAAAAGAAGAUUUACGAUUCAAAUGUCAUCACCGAAUUGUUUACUGGUUACUUCGCGAGCAGGGAGGCGGUGAGUUACCUACGUAGUACGUGUGUGCUGGUUUAGAGCAACGUUGACAGCGACGUUUUAUUAAUUCUUACACACACGUAAGAGGUACUACUACCACGUCUCAUAAUAAUUCUUACACUGUUUGACCACUCGUUUUAUUUAAGAAAAUUUAGAAUUAUUAUUUAUUAUUUAUUGACUUACUUUAUUAUCCAAAGUAUUUUAAGCAUAAUUUUUUAUUUUUUUAUAUUUGCAUAAAUGUUUUUGAAUAAGAUAAGUGAUCAAACAGUGCAAACAAAAACUCAAAAUUUCUCAUAUUACUCCAAUUUAACAGAAGGAGUAGUAAUUAUCAUCGUUUGCAUGGAGGCGAUGGGUAAUCAAAAGACGUGGUCGGCCGCGGUUAACCCCGUCUCGCUGUCACGGAGUUAAAGCGGGUGUGUGUUAGCGAAAGGGGGUUAGGAUUAUUUUGAGGCCGUUGCGAAUUAGCGGCGGAGCCGUGUGGGGCCCAGCCCGCUUGCAUUAUCCUACUACUCUAUUAUACACCGGGUUAGGCGCAGACAAGGUGGGCCCGGGGGUGUCUCCGCGGGUGGGCCCCACGGGUGGAGAUCGACGGCGGAGAUGCGUUUGGUGUGGUGCCUGUCAGAGAUCAGAACGAACAAACCCGUCAGGUGAGGCGUUGGCCGUUGGCCCGACUAGAUAGAUAGGGGGUGUGCCACUAUGGGGGUGUUUGGGAGAGAGGGGCUAAACUUUAGCCCCUCUCUCAAAACCAUAAGUCUCUAGGAGAGGGACUUAUGGUUUUGAGAGAGGGGCUAAAGUUUAGCCCCUCUCUCCCAAACACCCCCUAUAUCUACCAGUAUGCCGGUAUGGUCGUCUACUCGUCUCAUGUUUCAUGCUGCGAGCCUGCAAAAAUAGUAGUGGCCUUUUUUACUAGCACGUUUCUACAUCGACGACACACCACGUGGCCAUGCCUGCAACAGUGCUUAGAUGGAGAUUAGCCAUGAUCAUUGUUACUAUGGUGUUCAAGUGAAUAGGGGCAGGGGUGAAAACGAGAGGGGGAAACACCGGAGCAAGUUACCGAAUGUUACUAGUUACUACUUACUAUUUCCUCCGUUUCACAAUGUAAGUCAUUCUAGCAUUUCUCACAUUCGUAUUGAUGUUAAUGAAUCUAGACACGAAUGUGAAAAAUACUAGAAUGACUUACAUUGUGAAACGGAGGGAGUACUCGUGUAUUACUUUCGUCCACAAAUAUUUUUUUAGCUACAUACAUUCACAAAGUAACGAGAGCUACAUUAGGUUUCAUGUGGUGAAACCUAUUCAUCUAAGUUAAAGUUCUAAAUUUAAUAUAGACAAGAAAAAACUACCCAUACGUUACAAUAAGUGAAGGCUAUUUUAAUAUAUUAUUGUUAGAAUUUUUGUCUAAAAAAUAUAUGGGAUUUUUAUUUUGAUAGUAUUGAUAUCUAAUUUGGAACCCUUAUUAAGAUGAUGGUCAUAUCAUGUACGCCUGACGAGAAUUCUAAAGCAAUUAAGAAUCAGACUCCCAUCCUAGGUUUGCAUGUGAGUUUUUUUAAAAAAGAUUUCUUAUAUGACUCCUUAUAUAUUUUCAAAAGCGAACAAACUUAGAAACCAAGUCAAAUACGAAUAACAUGCUAAAGUAUCAGCGAAAAUAUUUUUAAUUUUUAUAAUAAUGGAGAAGAGAUAGAGAUACCAAUACCGAAAGAGAAAAUGAGGGGAAAAGAGAAGAGAUUGAAAGAAGAGGGAGAGAAUUAGGAUUAUCGGGAAAAAGAAAAAGAGAAAAGAGUAAAAAAAAAGACAGUCAAGGGAAGAGCACAUGACUUCGAGUGGAUGCACGCGGGAUGGUACGGGUCGAUUGGGUUGUGUUGGGCUAGGAGAGGGAUGGGUGGGAUUAGGCUGGGGAGGAGGUGUACAGUACUCCAUCCAUCUACUUUUGAUAGGUAUAUUUCCAAAUCUGAAAAAUUUACUUUUGAAAUGCAUAUUUUAAUCCAACCACCUAUCAUCUUAAUGACUUUCUCGGAUUUAAUGCGUGACUUUCCAUUCUUUCACAUAAGACUGGUUACAUGGGCAUCAAGAAAUAUAAAUAUUAAUGAAUCGAUUGUUUACGAUGAAUAACUAGUAACAUGUUUAAAUGGAUGAUAAGUAGAAUUACUUAUCCUUGGUCAUUGUGUGAAAUAUGACUAUAAAAAGUAGAUGGAUGGAGUAGUUAUUUUAGGCUCGAGCUGAACUGGAUGCGGACGACGUACAACCUAGACACCGAUAACGAAAUAAAAUUCCGACAAAAACAUCUUCAAAUUUUAUAAUAGUAGAUAUAUGAUAUGCUCUCAUUUACACAUAAACUUUUAAGUAAUUUUAAGUUUAGAUAACAUAUCUGUUAAUAUCUGUUAACAGUGAGGUGUUUAUGGUAAUUUCGUCAAAUUUAAAAUAUAUCCAUUUAGUUUCUUACAAGUGCUAAUAAUGUGUCCCUGUAUUCACAGGGGAUUAGUAUGCACACAUGUAUAUGAAUUUGAAUAUCUAUUGUAUUGUGCUUGUAUGAGAAAAAGACGCAUGGUCGUGUCGCUUGUAUGAGUAUACGUCUUUUACCCUUUCCACGCGCGGAGCUUCGCUAGCUGUAUUCCGGCUGUACAACGUUGGACGCACGGCCAGGGGAAGAAGAGUGUAGAACACGCGGUGCAUGCGAUGCGAUGCGAUGAGCUCACUCGAACCGCGACCGAUCGAAACGACCGCGCGCAUGACGAUGACGUGCACGCACGUAGCAAUCAGUCAAACACAGCCACCAAAAAAAAUCACAGCAUAAUCCAAAAUUCGUCUUGCUUAAUUUAUGCCUCUACUUUGCAUUACUUUACAGCCUGUGAAAGUGAGAACGAAUGUUUUUGUCACCUGCAUGCCGCUGAUAUUUGACGCGGCCAAAACACACCCGUCUGCCAAAAUAAAACCACACGUUUUUCCCUCUACGAAAUACUACAACCGUCCAAAAAUACUCAACUUAAAAGAGGAUGUAACCUCUUCUGAUACAAUGUAUUUAGACAAAAAGCUAUCCAGAUUCAUUAUACUAAGAGCAAGUUUAAUAGUAUAGCCAACUAAUAGCUCCAAUUUAUCUAUAGCUAAUCUAGUAGCUCAUUUAUACAAUAGUUACGUACUACACUAUUAAUACCUGGUCUCACCUGUCAUACACAUAUUGCGUCUCGAAGUCCGUGCUAUAGCUGGCUACAAAUGUAUAGCCCGCUGCUCUUCUCUCUCCUUAUUUAUCUUAUUAAAAUAUGUUUGCAGCUGGUUUAUAAUCUGCUAUUGUACCUGCUUAAAAGACGUGGUUGAGUUUUUUUAAGAACGAAAAGAGUACUAAUCAGGAAAUUUGAAUUUGGUUGUGACAAGAAAAGGAUCUUGUUAUCAAGGGUAGACGUCAUGAGAUUGAGAAGGAUCACGACAUGUAAACUCCAUGUCAGUGACUCGGUCGCAAUUUCGCAGUGCUUAGGUGGUCUUUGAAUUUAGGGAUUUAACUUUAGUUUUUUAUUUAGACACUAAUUUAGAGUAUUAAAUAUAGACUAUUUAGAGAACUAAUUACAUAAAUGAAAGCUAAUUUGGGAGACAAAUUUUUUAAGUCUAAUUAAUUCAUAAUUAGAGAAUGUUUUACUGUAGCAUUAUAUUCUAAUCAUGGAUUAAUUAGGCUUAAUAGAUUCGUCUCGCGAAUUAGUCCAAAAUUAUGGAUGGGUUUUAUUAAUAGUCUAUGUUAAUAUUUAUAAUUAGUGUCCAAACAUUUGAUGUGAUAGGAACUUAAAAGUUUAUAGUCCCAUCUAAACAGGGUUAGACUAUAGAUUUUGCAGGGGGCCAGUGCUGGAUACAACGGAGGAAACAAACAAAGGGAAGAGAUGGCAGGAGGUAGUAGUAGCAAGGAUCCUCUGUAACAACCAUAUCUACAACGAUCGUUGCAGAUUCGACUAUAAUUUGACUGGCCCCAGCAGGCAAUGGAUGCUCCGAGUGGAGGAGCAGGGAGUUGCAAUCAUGACUAAGAGAAAGCUAAUAGGAUUUGUCAAGUUUGAAGAUUUUCGAAAGAGAUGUCAAGUAUAUAUGAAAGGCAAUACUGCAAAAAUCUAAAAAUGUGCCAAAUUAAGGUGGUACAUUCUCUCAUACAAUUUAUGCAAUAUCUGAUCAAAUAAAGCUCGAACUCUAAGUAGCCGAUGUAUUAGAAGAUUGGAACCCUUGAUGGAUUUCCCUUUCGAUAUAAUUUGGUUAACAGAAUUUAGGUCGAAUGUCCAUAAUCUCCUAACCUUAGAGCAUCUGUAGUGUGAACAAAAAAUCGAUUUUACGACAGGAGAACCAAAUCAUGCACAUUGUAGCUGUCGAACCGUAGGUGUCAAACAACAAAUCGAACUCCACAUUGGAGUCGAACUGAAAGAGUAAAUUAAUAUACUGUGCAUGCAUGCAGGUACGGUUCCAGUGAUUGGCUCAUUCCCUUUUUACAGAUCCCACAAAACAAUUUUAACAUUAUAGCUAUCAAACUGAAAUUUUGUUUGGCUCUUCUAUUAGAUUGAUCAAACCAAACACUACAGAUGCCCCCAGUGCCUUUGCCAACUGUUAGAUAAGUGUAGAAUUUUGCUUUCACUUUUGAAAUGGAAGUACACUAAUAUAUUUGGGAAAUACAAAGCAUAACUUUUAAAAAGGCCAAAUGCGUUUUACACUAAACUUAGCUGGUGCUCUGCUCCGCUCACAGAAGGUGGGUACGCAGAAGAUCAUUGCGGCAGGGAAGUAGUAGUAGGUCAUGGUCAACCUUAACCAUACCCUACCAUGACAGCAGCAGCCCAGGCCCAUCAAUCGCCCACAGCCCCUGCAGGCCCGGGCCCACUCGAGCAGAGGGGCACUGUGAAAAAGGCCCAGUCGGCCCCACCACGUCAUGGGGCGCCAUGCACGCACCGGUCAGACGACGCGGUUGUCGGCCUGGCCGGGGUGCCCAGCCACGUGGGCAGCCCGCGCGCUACCGACAGCGGCCGUGACCCGCGGGGCCCGGCGGCGCGCGCUCUCGCGCGCGCGCGACGUCGUCGAGACCGCGACGCCGACCGAUGGCGAGCGCGCCCGCGCCCCCGCCCCGCGCGCGCGCCGCGCCAGCCACCAUGCGACGACGUCGUACACGCACAGCGCGCCGCGGGCGCGAGCGCGCGCGCUCUGCAGCGUCGCCGCCGCCGAACGCCAUGCCGAUCGAUGCCGCCGGGCGCGCACGCGCGCGCGCGUCACCAUUGUGAUCAUGGCGCGCGCGACGUGACGGCGACACAAGCCAAUCCAUCGCUAGCGACUCGCUUAGUACUAUUAAUUACUCCACUAACUAGCGGCAUGUACAAGAAGCGGUAGGAGAAAUAUCGUGUUUCUGUCUAAUCUUUUCUGUGGUUGUACGCUUGUUUAAUCCUCCUUUUCGUAGGAGUUAAUGACGAUAGGGCUCGAUCAGAGAAUAAAAAUUGGGUUGGUGCGCUGAUCACUUUCGCGGCGAGUGUUGCUGACUUGCAGCAACGCGCGCCACUUGCCGCCGUUCGGUUGGCCUCCGCGGCGGGGGAUGAUAAUAAUGGAUAAUGCUUUAUGCGAGAUACGGCUCUGUUGGUUUUGCAUUUCUUUUUCGUUAGGGUGGUGAGUGCACCGGAGCCAAUAAACAGGUUUAGGUGGAGGACUCGUGUUUUUUUUUAAAGCUCAGCCAUACGCCCAUACGAUAAUUAUUUCAUUUGUUCUUUUAGAUGUGCCUACUAGUUCGUGCUAGUAAUCUAUAGAGCACUUCAGGACUAGAUAGCGAGAAAUCUGUUUUAAGAGAUCAACACGACACCCCUUUGCAUGCGACCUUGGGCGAGUGGCUAGCUAAGCUUGGACUGGUUCCUAAGAUUGCCACUAAAAACAUGUGUCAAAUGGUUGACUGAAUAUAUAUGUAAGGUGUCAGACUUGUCUCAAGAUAUAAUGGUGAUGAGAUCCUUUUGGGACGCACCUGAUCGAUUCUAUGAAUGGACUACAACUCUUUUGAAGUAGCAGAUCAUACUAGUGAGCAAACGCUUAAUAAUGUCACUCAUUCCCUCCGUCUCAGAAAAUACAAUCUAAGAUAGGAACUGUUAUAUAUCCUCGGACAACCAAUCAAGACAAGCACUUAAUCCAGAUUCGUUGUUCUUGAAUGCGUCACAUUCUAUUCUAAGUUAGGUUUUUUUUAUGGAGAAAGUACUUUAGAUUAUAAACAAAACGUAUAUAAUGAUUGAGACAGCUAUGUAAUAUCAUUUAUGUACACAGCCACAUCAACUAAGAACAAAUAAAAAUGGCAUGUACAAGAGACAAUAUGAUAUCUAAUGUCACUCCUCUCAACUGUUUCCUUGUACCCUAUAUUAUCUGAGAUGCCUCUUUGCAAAGAUACAUCUCCUUUCUCUUCUUUCUUUAUCCAUCGACACUUCAUUAAUUAAUUGCAAUGAGUCAUAUGGGGUGGGGGGUGGGGGGGGGAUGGAGGAACUAAGACCAAUUAAGGACUAAAAAUAUCUAGCAGUAGCUGGUCUAGAGCUGAUUACUGGUUACCAAACGAUGAAUUCAGAUUUUAAAAAUUCGACUAUUAUGGAUAACCUAUUCGAUUUUUAUAUUACUGCAAUGUUUUCCCUCCAACUCGUAAUUCAUAAAUAGUAGGGCUGGCCAGCCAGUUGGCAAUUGGGAGUCCAACUCAGAAGACAAUAUUGUGCAUAAUUCAGUUGGCAAUUGUCCGGUUAAUUUUAUUAGUAGGACAAAUUCGUUAUGCCAGUGGCACCUAGUUCGGUAACAAAUUUUGGUGUUAUUGUAGAGGUUGGAUAUAGCGUUUUCAUAUCAAACACUCAAAAGUAGUUUAGAGGUUUUCCCCUGUGUGGAUAUUAUGGGUACCCCAUACCCAUACGGCAUGGUUAUCCGACCAGUCAUAGGGGAUAACUUAUAUCUAUAGAAUAUGUAAUAGAUCAUGACUCGGGUAUUACGUUUCCUUAUAUAUUACGGAACAGCCUAAAGUCCUGGUUUGAUAAUAUUGUAAAGUAGAUUUAGGAAACCGAUACCGUAUUGGUUAAGGUUUCUAUCUUGUAAUCCUGCCCCCCACCCUAUAUAAGGUGGGCAGGAGGCCCUCUAGGGGGCAUGAGACAACCUGAUCGUCAGAUCUAUAAUACACCCGGCGGAUUCAAAUCCCCAAACAGGAGUAGGGUAUUACCUCUCAUUGAGAGGGCCCGAACCUGUCUAAAUCCUUUGUCUCCACAUCCAUCCACUUUUAGGUCUCGUGCGCUACCCCGUUUUAUUAUUGCCGAAAUCAUGUUUCGACAGUUGGCGCGCCAGGUAGGGGUUGCGUCGAGUUUCCUAUCAACGAGCGCGAUGGAAUCAAUUUCAUGAGUCGCCGACUUCGCUUUCGCUUUGGGAGUUUUCACUUCCUUUCCGUCGACCACUUCUUCAAGCUCCUCUUCUCUGACUUGAUCCAAAUCAGUCAGGGGGAAACUCAAUCUGAUUUUUAUCAUUAUUUAUCAUAUUGAUUUUUAAUCUCAGAUUAAUUUCUUGCUAUUUUUUGUUGUUGUUCGCAUAUAACUACGCGGCACUAUUGAGGCGAUUGAUGCUGGUCAUGGACUCGAGGCGUCUCAGCUUUCCGGUCGAUCGGCCGCGAGUCCACUCCGCCGGCUUGUCCUCGCCACCGCCAUUGCUGAUAGCAACAACGACUUCACCGCCGGCCUGCCUCCGUCGCCGCCGACUGGUGUCAUCGCCUAUACGGUUGGUCGGUCACACCACCGUUCAUGGGCGUCCAUGUCUUCACCGACCGGCUGGCCUUCGCCGCCGCCGACUGGUGUUUCCGCCUACACGGCUGGCCUAUUAUGCCGCCGCUGUUGGGCGUCUACGACUUCACCGCCGGCCUGCCUCCGUCGCCGCCGAUUGGUGCCUCCGCCUACACGGCUGGCCUAUUAUGCCGCCGCUGUUGGGCGUCUACGACUUCACCGCCGGCCUGCCUCCGUCGCCGCCGAGUGGUGCCUCCGCCUACACGGCUGGCCUAUUAUGCCGCCGCUGUUGGGCGUCUACGACUUCACCGCCGGCCUGCCUCCGUCGCCGCCGAUUGGUGCCUCCGCCUACACGGCUGGCCUAUUAUGCCGCCGCUGUUGGGCGUCUACGACUUCACCGCCGGCCUGCCUCCGUCGCCGCCGAGUGGUGCCUCCGCCUACACGGCUGGCCUAUUAUGCCGCCGCUGUUGGGCGUCUACGACUUCACCGCCGGCCUGCCUCCGUCGCCGCCGAUUGGUGCCUCCGCCUACACGGCUGGCCUAUUAUGCCGCCGCUGUUGGGCGUCUACGACUUCACCACCGGCCUGCCUCCGUCGCCGCCGACUGGUGUCCCCGCCUAUACGGUCGGUUGGUCACACCACCGUUGAUGGGCAUCGUCAUCUACACCGCCGGCCUGCCUCCGUCGCCGCCGACUGGUGUCCCCGCCUAUACGGUCGGUUGGUCACACCACCGUUGAUGGGCAUCGUCAUCUACACCGCCGGCCUGCCUCCGUCGCCGCCGAGUGGUGCCUCCGCCUACACGGCUGGCCUAUUAUGCCGCCGCUGUUGGGCGUCUACGACUUCACCGCCGGCCUGCCUCCGUCGCCGCCGAGUGGUGCCUCCGCCUACACGGCUGGCCUAUUAUGCCGCUGCUGUUGGGCGUCUACGACUUCACCGCCGGCCCGCCUCCGUCGCCGCCGAGUGGUGCCUCCGCCUACACGGCUGGCCUAUUAUGUCGCCGCUGUUGGGCGUCUACGACUUCACCGCCGGCCCGCCUCCGUCGCCGCCGAUUGGUGCCUCCGCCUACACGGCUGGCCUAUUAUGCCGCCGCUGUUGGGCGUCUACGACUUCACCGCCGGCCUGCCUCCGUCGCCGCCGAUUGGUGCCUCCGCCUACACGGCUGGCCUAUUAUGCCGCCGCUGUUGGGCGUCUACGACUUCACCACCGGCCUGCCUCCGUCGCCGCCGACUGGUGUCCCCGCCUAUACGGUCGGUUGGUCACACCACCGUUGAUGGGCAUCGUCAUCUACACCGCCGGCCUGCCUCCGUCGCCGCCGACUGGUGUCCCCGCCUAUACGGUCGGUUGGUCACACCACCGUUGAUGGGCAUCGUCAUCUACACCGCCGGCCUGCCUCCGUCGCCGCCGAGUGGUGCCUCCGCCUACACGGCUGACCUAUUAUGCCGCCGCUGUUGGGCGUCUACGACUUCACCGCCGGCCUGCCUCCGUCGCCGCCGAGUGGUGCCUCCGCCUACACGGCUGGCCUAUUAUGCCGCUGCUGUUGGGCGUCUACGACUUCACCGCCGGCCCGCCUCCGUCGCCGCCGAGUGGUGCCUCCGCCUACACGGCUGGCCUAUUAUGCCGCCGCUGUUGGGCGUCUACGACUUCACCGCCGGCCCGCCUCCGUCGCCGCCGAUUGGUGCCUCCGCCUACACGGCUGGCCUAUUAUGCCGCCGCUGUUGGGCGUCUACGACUUCACCGCCGGCCUGCCUCCGUCGCCGCCGAGUGGUGCCUCCGCCUACACGGCUGGCCUAUUAUGCCGCCGCUGUUGGGCGUCUACGACUUCACCGCCGGCCUGCCUCCGUCGCCGCCGAGUGGUGUCCCCGCCUAUACGGUCGGUUGGUCACACCACCGUUGAUGGGCAUCGUCAUCUUCACCGCCGGCCUGCCUCCGUCGCCGCCGAUUGGUGCCUCCGCCUACACGGCUGGCCUAUUAUGCCGCCGUUGUUGGAUGUCUACAUCCUCACCGUUGGCUCACCUUCGUUGCCGUCGACUGGUGUUUCCGCUUACACGGCUGACCUAUUAUACCGCCAUUAGUGGGCAUCUUCGCUUUCACCGUCGACCGCCUUCGUCGCCGCCGACUGGUGUCUUCAUUAUUAUUGAUGGACGACUUUGUUCCCACAUUGGCCACUUCUGCCAUCACCAAGGGGAAUAUUACAAAGCUAAGUCAUCAUUUAUUUUAUUCUUUAUAUGAUAUUUUUCCUUUUCCUCUGCCUCACUACACCAAUUGGUCUUCCAUUGAGUAGUGAGUCGGGGGCUACAGAUGUUAUAUCAUAUUUUUUAUAAUAUUUAUCUUGAUUGCUUGCGACAUAAUCUGAGUACAAAAGUACCUAUCGAGUUAUGGAGUUCUAUCUUCCUAUGCUUUCCGUUUGGUUUGCCAAUGGAUGGUUGCCUUUGGGCCGAUUCCUAACACCCGGGGGCUCGUUGGAUGGACCGAGUAACGCAAGGUGCUAAGUAUUACUCGGAAGAAAUCAAAAGCAUAGAGAUAAUAUAAUUUAUUUUCUGCUCUUAAUAAUUGCAAAAGUACCUGAGUAGUAAAUUCUGAUCCGUGAAACUUUGUUCCAUUAAUGACGAACUCAUGUCACUCAUAUGCAUGUUUGGGAAAUGCCUAGGCCGACUCCCGAUGCUUGGGGGCUAUGACUAGUCGGACAGAGUGUUUAAACGUACAGAGUCAUCUGCUCGGGGAAAUCAAAAUUGACAAGAGGAGAAAUACAUAUUUAUAAAUAUUUUAAAAUACUUGAUUUUUUCUCGAGUAUUAUAUUUAUAUCAGAUACUACUCAUCCUAUAUGUUUGUUCUGCAGGAUCCAGAUCCAGAUAUGCAUAAAAGGGAUUCAUGGCUUUAAGCUUAUCUCUUACGCUCCAGGAAUGGAUCAGUCAGAACACCACCACCGGCUCGCCUCGACCGCCGCCGACUGGUGUUUCCGCCUGCACGGCUGGCUUAUUAUGCCGCCGUUGUUGGGCGUCUACGUCUUCACCGACCGGCUUGCCUUCGCCGCCGCCGACUGGUGUUUCCGCCUGCACGGCUGGCCUUUAUGCCGCCGUUGUUGGGCGUCUACGUCUUCACCGACCGGCUUGCCUUCGCCGCCGCCGACUGGUGUUUCCGCCUGCACGGCUGGCCUUUAUGCCGCCGUUGUUGGGUGUCUACGUCUUCACCGACCGGCUUGCCUUUGCCGCCGCCGACUGGUGUUUCUGCCUGCACGGCUGGCCUUUAUGCCGCCGUUGUUGGGCGUCUACGUCUUCACCGACCGGCCGCCUCGUCCGCCGCCGACUGGUGUUUCCGCCUGCACGGCUGGCCUAUUAUGCUGCCGUUGUUGGGCGUCUACGUCUUCACCGACCGGCUUGCCUUCGCCGCCGCCGACUGGUGCUUCCGCCUGCACGGCUGGCCUUUAUGCCGCCGUUGUUGGGUGUCUACGUCUUCACCGACCGGCUUGCCUUUGCCGCCGCCGACUGGUGUUUCUGCCUGCACGGCUGGCCUUUAUGCCGCCGUUGUUGGGCGUCUACGUCUUCACCGACCGGCCGCCUCGUCCGCCGCCGACUGGUGUUUCCGCCUGCACGGCUGGCCUAUUAUGCUGCCGUUGUUGGGCGUCUACGUCUUCACCGACCGGCUUGCCUUCGCCGCCGCCGACUGGUGUUUCCGCCUGCACGGCUGGCCUUUAUGCCGCCGUUGUUGGGCGUUUACGUCUUCACCGACCGGCUUGCCUUCGCCGCCGCCGACUGGUGUUUCCGCCUGCACGGCUGACUUAUUAUGCCGCCGUUGUUGGGCGUCUACGUCUUCACCGACCGGCUGCCUCGACCGCCGCCGACUGGUGUUUCCGCCUGCACGGCUGACUUAUUAUGCCGCCGUUGUUGGGCGUCUACGUCUUCACCGACCGGCUGCCUCGACCGCCGCCGACUGGUGUUUCCGCCUGCACGGCUGACUUAUUAUGCUGCCGUUGUUGGGCGUCUACGUCUUCACCGACCGGUCGCCGCAUCCGCCGCUGACUGGUGUCACCGCCUGCACGGCUGGCCUGUUAUAACGCCAACUGAUGCUAUCUUCUUCACGGCUGGCUACAUCGCUGUCACUACUAAUAGGCAUCAGUAUCUUCAACACAAGCUGCCUACGUUUGCCAUGGCUGCCGACUGGUUUCUUCACUUCCAUGGCUGCAUGAUUCUGCCAGUGUUGAUUGGCCUUAUCUUCUUCACCGCCGGUCGUCUCGUCUGCUGCUGACUAGUGCCCUCACCUCUACGUCUGGUUUAUACAGCUACCACUACUGAUGGACAUCAUCGUCUUCCGUUGCCGACUGGUUAUGCCGCCGCCGACUAGUGCUUUUAUCUUCACAACUGCGCGUCUUCGCUACCAGUUUGCUUCUGUUGCCGCCGACUCAUGUUCACUUCAUCACGGCGAUGCAACUUUGUCAUCAUAGUGGAGCGACUUCAUCUUUAUUAUCUUCGGCACUGGCAAACUCUAUUGCUGCUACUUCGCAAGUUUUACUACUUCACCAACCACGACGUCUUUGUGAACCUCGACAUCUCGGCAUGCAAUGCCAUGAUAUUUUACUACAACAAGUGACUCUCCAAUAUUCAGGAUUUCUACUUGGACACCUUCAACACAUAUCUUCAAUCAAGCAAUGACUACUCGACGACAAGAAGCUAUAAUUCUCGACUCUAUGUUCAGUUGUUUCCCAACUAACCAAAGAGUCGGGGGCUACACAAAUAUAAGGCUCAAAAUUUGACAAAUUUUAUGUCAAGCUGAAGAAAUCAAUUAAUCAGCCAAUGAGUCAACUCCAGGAGUCAUUAUCUUCAUCUUUGCUUCGGAACAGACAUUCUACUUCAACAACUUCAAAUAUUUCGGUUUAGACGAGUUGGGCAACAACAUCAACUCUCCUCCAAUUAUUUGUCUUCACGGUUGGCCUACUACGCAACUGCCGAUAGAGGAUCUCAUCGUUAUCAUCGGCUGCUACAUCGCUAUUGACUGGAUCACCGACAUCGUCAUCUUCAUCAACAUCUUGUCAAGCCUCAUCAACAUAGCCUACUCUGCUGCCGUUGAUGGGAAACUUCGUCAUCAUAGUCGGCUAUCUCUGUUGCCGCUAAUCAUCAUUACCGUCGGAUGCGUUUGUCGCCGCCGAUUAUUUUCUUCAUCUUCAUGAUUGGUGGAUUUCGCCAUCACCGUUGAUGCGCGUCUACGUCUUCAUCGUCGGUUUGCUUUUGUCACCACCGACUGAUCUUUCGUUGUUGUUGGGCGCCUACAUCUUCACUGCUAGCUGACCUGACUGUUGCCGACUGGUUUCUUCGCUUCCAUGGUUAUGCAACUUCAUUACAUUUGAUUGGUGGCAUCUUUACUACCACUGACAUCUUCCGUUACUUCUGAUGAGCAAUUUCGUCUUCAUGUUGGUCAUUUCAUCUCCAUGCCGACUGCGUCAGCUAUUGCCAAUAGACAAUUUUGACUAUGACAGAAGGACAAGCUAUAUGCUCAGGGGCUCAUCAGCUCAAGCGUGAGGAUUAUAUCUCCAAUUUGGACUUGUUCCGGAUACAUUCCACAUGGAUUCAUAGUCAUGAGUCUAUUUUCUAUGCUCAAAGACUGGACCAAUUAUUAUUCCCCGUAAGGGCUAUCAACCGAAUACUUGCGCCAGUCGGGAUUCAAUUAUUAUAUUUAUUUUGGAGUAUCCCAUAAGGGAUAAUCAUUCAGAUCAGAAGCUAUUCAUAUGAGCUACACUUGGUCUAUAUUACCCAGAAGAUUUAUUACUCGGGAGCAUGUUACAUGCGUCAUCCUUUAAAGGGUGUCGAAGGCAUAUUUUUUGGCCUAGGCCUAAUAUGUCUGCAGCCCAUAUUUUCAGGUGUGGCCUGUCACGUUCUUUUAGGGACUUAGGCACUUUUUGCUUAGGCCAAAGUGCGCGUGAUCAAGUGCCCAAUACCUUAAAAUCCUUUUAUACCGCAGUUACUUAACUUUUUAGGAGUUGGUACAAUGCAUCUUAAAAGGUGUCAAACAGUAAAGCUUUAUAUAGCUGUCCCGCUGACUUUUUUAUAUAUAAGUCAAGGUGCUGUUUGGGUUUUUAAGCAAUUGAUUAGAUACAAUAUCAUUGCUUUUCGCCACGUAAGUGUGCAUUUUUAUUGACCAAUGUUAUGGCUUAGGCUGAUUAUAUAUUGUGGUCAUUUUCUAGGCGGUUGGUAAAUCCUUUAUGAGUUUAUUUACUCAGAUUUUACACCACAUAUGCCAUAUAUUUCCAGGUGUGGUGAAACCAUGUGUCUUCUAGGGACUUAAGCACAUCUGUUAAAGCAGUGUGCGCAUGGCGUAUGCCCAAUACUUUGGAAAUUUCUUUAUUCACAAUAUACAAGCUUCUUUAUAGCUAUUUUGCUAUAUCACUCAUCAUAUUUUACAAAGCAGUUGGUAUAUCACUCGGAUCAUGUUAUUUGGAGGAUUCACACCGCAUAUGCUAUAUAUUGAUAUCAAGUCACUUGGUUGAUUACGAUUAUCAAAACCACUCGGUUGGUUGGAUUAUUUAUUCCUUGACUAUAUGCUUGGUUUGUUCAAUUAACCACAUUGUCGGGGGCUACACCUAUUAGGUGCAUCUAGUCGGUGCACCUGACUUUAUUUUCCAGCCCUCCACAGUCUUCAGAUUUGGUAAAAGUACUCGGGAGACCAUGACAAAGAUGAUUGAAGCACUCGGCUUUGGAGUAAUCUGGUUCGAGAGAAGAUUAUCUUUUCGACUGCGAAGGUCUCAGGGGCUACUGUGGAUAUUAUGGGUACCCCAUACCCAUACGGCAUGGUUAUCCGACCAGUCAUAGGGGAUAACUUAUAUCUAUAGAAUAUGUAAUAGAUCAUGACUCGGGUAUUACGUUUCCUUAUAUAUUACGGAACAGCCUAAAGUCCUGGUUUGAUAAUAUUGUAAAGUAGAUUUAGGAAACCGAUACCGUAUUGGUUAAGGUUUCUAUCUUGUAAUCCUGCCCCCCACCCUAUAUAAGGUGGGCAGGAGGCCCUCUAGGGGGCAUGAGACAACCUGAUCGUCAGAUCUAUAAUACACCCGGCGGAUUCAAAUCCCCAAACAGGAGUAGGGUAUUACCUCUCAUUGAGAGGGCCCGAACCUGUCUAAAUCCUUUGUCUCCACAUCCAUCCACUUUUAGGUCUCGUGCGCUACCCCGUUUUAUUAUUGCCGAAAUCAUGUUUCGACACCCUGGUUCUUCUAAAUGUCCUUUUUCCCCAUUACCGCUAUGAUCCGGUGUAACUGCACAACAGUUUUAAAAUUAAACAUUUACCAAUAUUGUGUCUGAAAGAAGUGCGCGAGACUUAACAUGGAUUUGAAUCAGAUGUGAUAGUGUGACUGCAAUUUAUGCAAUCUAUGACCGCUUAUUAGAUUGGGUCCAAUGGUCAAUAUGCACCCUGGUAGUGUAGAUCACUGUGGCAAAAAUUGUUUACUUUUGUGUUGGCACUGUAGCCAAUAAUCUGGUUCAUUCAUCAACAAAAUGGAUAUAGUCGCAAUUGCGUGCCAUAGCUUAACUUGUAGGCGGCUCUAUUAAUUCAAAUUGUGCCUUAACGUAGCAUAGAGGUGGACAAAAAGCGCAAAGCUCAUGGCUUAGAUCAGCUUGUAGCGAUCUCGACUCAGAUAGGCUCGAACUCGUAAUCUUAAUGAGUCAGGCCAGGUUAGAUUUUUAACUCAUAACCUUAACGAGCUAACUCGCGAGCUCCUCGUUUAGCUUGUUAGUACAAGAUAUCACCACAUCUUUAUAUACUUAGUACUUCUUAACUAGUGCUUAGAUUUUUAAUUACAUCAAAAUUAUUCGUAUUUAGUGAGUUCUUCAUUAGUUUGUGUUUAUUAUUAUGUUAAUAUAUGAUAAAUUUGAAAUUAUCGAUAUGAUAUAAAUGAGAUAGAGCUUGUUAACGAGCCUAAUGAGCUUAACAGCUCACGACCCGAACCGAGCUAGUCUUUUAGCUCAAUGUUAAUGAGCCGAGAUGACUCGUACUAAGAUAACGAGUUUUAACGAAUUGAGCCUUAACGAGUCUAGCUGGUUCGUUAUCCAGCCCUAUUUAGUGGUGGCUAACGAGCCAACUCGGCUCGACUUGUAAAAACUCGUUAAGUUAGCGAGCUAGCUCGGGUUGACUUGUUAACAUAAUGAGUUAAAAAUGGAAAGCGACUCGACUUGUUAAAAUAACAAGUUAAAAAUGAAAGCAACUCGACUUGUUAAAAAGCCCAAGUCGACUCAUUAAACUCGUUACAUCGAAAUACAUGGUUUAAAAUUCAUAUACAUGGGGCAAAGCGAAGUUUGUCCCUCGCGUCGACCUCGCGCGGCGGCUCGGGGGCGAAACCCUAGCCGCCACCGCCCCUCCUCCUCCCUCCUCCCUGCUUCGCCGCCGCCGGAGCUCGUCGCCGGCAAAGCCGGGCGACGCGCUGGGAUGGCGGCGGCGGGGUAAUCUCCCUCGACUCCAUCUCGCCCCGGCGCGGGUGUGGCGACGAUGGCGGCGGGACGGCGAGGUCGCGGCGGCGGGACGGCGAGGUCGCGGCGAUGGCGUGGUGGUGGGGCUCCCCGCGGCGAUGGCAGCGCGGCGGUGGGGCUCUGCGCGGCUCCGUUGAGGGCGUCGCCAGAUCUGGUAGCCCCGCCAGAUCUGGCCGGGGUACGACGGCGGCGCGGCGGCGGGUCUCGGCGUGGCCGGCGACGGUCUCGGUCGACGCCGGCGCCCUCGGACGUAGCAGGUGGCCAGCAGCUUCGGCGCGGUUUCAUCGGCGACGACAGCACCGGGUCGGCGGCGGUGCUCCGGCGCCGGCUGCCGCGUGGUCCUGGCCAGGGGCUGCCGGCCUGCUGCGGCUUUUGCCGGCGACGGGGAAGGCGCCUCCAUCUCCCUCCCUCCUGGUCCUCCAGAUCCGGUUCUCCCCUUCUUCAGUGGUGUUUCUUCCGGUGCUCUCUGACGGUGCGGCGUCCGCUCCCCUCUUCUUAGGUGCUCCUCCCUUCUUAGGCUAGGCUGCUUCCAGUCGAUGCCGGGGAGUUCCGUGGUUCGGUAGGGGUGGCGUGCGGAGUUGUUUCGGCAUCCUGUUCGCUGGUCGUCGGCCGCGCCGUUGUUUCCCUGCAGCUGGGUUCCUGGGUGUGAGGUGGUCUCUGGUCGAGCUGCAGGGUUGGCUGUUGAGGUGGAGUUGGAGCUGCUUGUCUUGCAAGCUCGGCAACGAUGACCCUCAACGAACGUCCCGGCAACGCGACGAGGGUUUUGAGGUGGAGCAGUUCGAGAGAGCCUUAGGUGAAAACCUUGCCUAGUGUCGUAGGCUCUCCAGACCUUCCAUUAUAUUUGAGAGAUGAAGUGAAUAAUUCAAGUCAUCAAACAAGCAUAAUGAAACAUCCGACGCCUCGAGAGAGGAAUUUUGGAGACAUUGCUGGGCCCUUAGCCUGCCAGUCAACUUCAGCCUGAGAUGUGCCCGUCAAACCACUCAAAGGCGGCGACCAGAUGUGUUACACAUUCAGGAGACUUGACAAAAAUGGCUAAAGAUCUACAACCUCUCAAAUAUUCCUAACUCAUACUCAUGUGAAUCUAGUUCCCAGGAUGUGCACUAGAUUCACACUUUCAUCUUAAGCAUGAUUAUACAUAGCAAACACAACUAAGAUGAAAGAAACUUAAGACUUACAACAACUUAAUAAUUACAUAGGCCAACCGGCCAAAUAGACUUAUUAGAGAACAGCGGAAGCUUGACUACCCAAUCACAAGCACACCGACUAGGGGUUUACCCUAUUAAGUUCUCAUCCUAGAAGAAGCAAUCGGAACCCGCAUCACUCAAAGACUAAGACUAAACCUGCAAACAAAAGGUUAUAUCAACAGCAAGAGUCAGUACAUUAAACAAGUUAAUGUACUGGCAAGCACAAGUCAAUCCUACUAUACUACAUGUAAGGCAUAUAUUCAAAGGAAGGCAAUAUGUAGUUCAAUUUCAGCAUAUAGCAAGUUUUGUUUUGCAAUUCUUUUGUAAAGGAGGUGAUGCUUCAAUUAACAAAGACAAGUUUUAAGUUUCAUUAUUAACUUCUUCAUAAUUCCAUCAUAAACAAUCUCUUAUUGCCAUACUUAACAAUAAGUCAUAAUGUAUCACCACAUACACAACUCAACACAUUUAUCAAUUUCAAACCAAUGUCACAUGAUCACAUUUUUAAAACAUAGUCUAUACUCAUGACACAUCACCAAAGCGCUCAUGACCGUGAGCACGGCUAAUCGAUUAGUUUAAAGAACUCUGCAGAGUUUGUACAGCUUUACCCACAUGAUAUGAACUCUCUAGUUUGUUUUGAGUUUGCAAGACUCCACCACACUCUUCAUGUUGAAUGUGAUCUAGAGGUCAUAACGAAGCCUUUACACUACUUAGAGCCUAGCCUUGCACCAGCACGAUACGUGUUCCUCCAUCCUAGGCAUACUUGGAAUAUACCUGGAACCGUUAAGUGGCGGGCCCACGCCUUAAACUUAACGCCGUGGUAGCGGACACGACGGGAACCCACCACGUGGCACAAUACCGUUGUAUUGGACACGCUUAGUCACCUAAACUACCACGUCGGGGUAAAUAGGAAGCUCCUCUGAAUUAUACGAACUCAUACACACCGGCCUACCAGAAUGCAAGGCUAGUCCUAAAUAGAUUAAUCAGCUUAGGCCAUCCCAUACUAGCACAUGUGGAUGUACGAAUAACUUUAAAUGGGUGACACAAGUUCGGUCCUUAUGGACUUGGGCAAACACUCCCCCUAUCGGUAUGCAACUAACACUAUAUGCACACCACUUGCUGCCCAAGUGUAAAAUCACAUUUUACACAUUUUAGUUCGCAAAUACCCAUCAUAUUCAUUUUAUUCCAGCAAAGGUUCAAGUAUCAAAACCACAUUUUAAUUAUAGAUGGAAUGAGCAUUUGCAUAUUUCUAAGCAUGGCUAAGCAAGUAAUUGCACAUAGAGCAUAUAUAAACCCAUAUGAGCACAAAGAGUGUACUCUAACCAUUUCUAGGGUUCAAACAGCAAGAGGAUCAAUUAUUCAAGGUGGGUUAUGCAGCAAAUAGGUCAUAACUACCUUAACCCAGUUUCAAAUACCGAUAUAGUCUAAGUUCACAUGCAACUUUGCAAACAAAUAUUUUCAUUCCUCAAAUCAUGGGAUCCAAUGUGUUCAAAGGAUGGGAGGAGAAAACUUGCCUUGAUCAGAGAAUUGUUAGCACCUAAUCCACUUCUUCACCGAUUAUGCAAUUAUCUAGAUAAAGGACACGACAUGCAAUUAAACACCGAAAGAGCUGAAAAUCCAAAAUGCUCUAAAAUGCAUGAUUUAUGCACAGUGGGUUGGAAAUGAUCUAAAAUGAAUUUAGGUGAAAUAAUUCCUAUUUUAUUUUAUUCCAUUUGGGAGUUAUGAAUUUUAGAAGUUUUAUCGGUUUACAAUAGUAUAGUCUUAGGUAGUGUUAUGAAAUACUUUUGUAAAAUGAUUUUUAUUAGAUUAGACUUCACAGGGGUGUGGAGAUGUGUUUUCUAAGACUAACACAUUUGGUUUCACAAUUUUUGGAAUUAUAAUGAAUUCUUUAUGCAUUUUACAAGUUAUAACGUGUUUUAGACAUAUAGUGUUUUAUAUGUUCAUGACUUUUGAGUUAUAGGUUCAGAACAUGCUACUUCCUGUUUAAGUUGAAUAAAAGGAAUAAUUUGGUUAACUAAAACAUUUUUAUCUCACAUGUUUAUGGUCUUUACUACUAUGGUUCAUAUUUUAUAAAGUAGAGAUGCUUUAAUCUAAACUAGCAAUAUAUUAUAUUAACCUAGAAAUUGUUAUAUGAGCUAAGUUCUUCUAAUUUUAGUGGAUGGAAAUGGAACUAUGGCUUCACUGGUCAAUCAAGUUUUUAUUUAGGUUUAAUUAGACCUAAAGUGUAUAUAUAUACUUAUACAUGUUUAUGUAUUACUUAAACAACACUAUGUGUUUAAAUUCUUAUUUCACUAAGUUAAGGUUUUGAUCAAUGUUCUCUACAAAAGGUGACAAAUUUUAUUUUACUAUGUUGAAGAUAACUAUUUGCUGGUUCUAUAGAAACUUUGUUCAUUUCAUUUGGACUAAAAAUAAAUUUUCUACAAGUUUUACAAAUUAAUGGCUGCUCUAUGUUAGUAAAUCCUUAUAUGAAUAUUUAGAGACUUUUACUACACAGCAAGUAUAUAAUCUUAUUUCAUAACAUGGAAAUACAUGUUUUAGUGAUCCUACAUAACUUAAGUUUAUUCAAAUUGAAGCUAAAUUGGGUUCUACAUGAAUUUCUAAAGUUUAGCUUAUCUAAAACUAAUCAUUAUAGAGAUAAUAGUUUUAGAGGCAUUUGAUGCAAAGUAAGUAAUUACUUUUAUUUCACUUAAUCAGAGACUGUAUGAUGAUGAAUCUGUAGAAUUUGAUUUUGUUUCAAAAUGAGUUGAAAUGAAUUUUCUAUGUAUUUUAUAAGUUUGUACAUGUUUUAUGUAUAACCUAUCUUAGAUAAAUUUUAGAGACAUUAUUUGUACAGUGAGUGUCAAGUUUUAUAUUCCUGGAAUAAAGUUCAUAACUUCAAGAAUCUACAGCAACUGGAAUAACUUCAAAAUGAGCUAUAUUUGAUUUUAUAUAGAUUUUACAACUUUGUGCAUUUUUCUGCUAAACAUAUAUUUGUUUGGGCAUUUUCCUAAUUUUUCUUCAGAUUUUAAAGGAUGGGUCCACAUGGCUGUGAGGGACCAAUAUGCACAAAGGCCCUUGAGGUUUCUAGGAAUCAACCCGCAGUCCUAGGCCCAUAUGUCAGUGUGUUUCUACAAUUGUAAACAGAUCCCUGCACUUAAUCUAAUUCACGGAAGUCAUCCCUCUGCUCUAGGCAGAGCAGAGCUAGCCAUGGCUGAGCUCGAUCUGGAGCUCGCCGGCAGCAAACGGUGGCUCGUUUGAGGUUGAGGUCAAAAGAUAAAAUGAAGAGCAAGCUCUCGCGAUUCCAUUCCUCUAGUUUUCUUGGUUAGAGGACAUCGGAGUAGCGCCGAUGGCGAGUGUGAGCGGCGGUGGUUUUGGGGUGAAAGUGCAUGUGUGCAUGGAAGUCGAUUACGAAUGAAAAGGAUGCAUGCAUGUGGUCUUCUAGACUUCAGGAUGCUCACCGUGGGUCGAGCUAGGGUUGUCGAGGUCUUGGCGGCAGCGGUGACUUGUGGAACGGCUCGGCGACGGCGCUCCUCCUCGGGUGAACGACGACGGCUCGAACGGGACAAUGAGCUGCUUCAAGCAAGCAUGCACGAGGGUUGUGAGGUCAAGGAGAUGGUGUAUGUGCAAGGAAUCGAACAAUGGCUCACCGAGGCAGCGGUAAUCGACGAUGACGGCAGAGGCGAUCCUAGAUUGGCGCCGGUGAAGAAAAGGAUGUGUUCUCCGUGUUCUUGAUGUUUCCGGCUGGGGUUCUUGAGGCGUUUUGAAGAGGAGGUUGAGGUGAUGACAAUGGCGCAGCGGCUUUCUCUGAGGUGGAUGAGAAUGGCCGGACGACAACGAUGGUUGAAGCGGCGGCGCUCCGGUGCGUGCUCCAGGGCAUCGUCGGCGUGGUCGCGUUCCGGUGGCUGUGAUACACAAAACGGGAGGUGGUCAAAAGAGAAAUGGUUCGGCACUGUGUGGAGAGAAGGGAACGCGGAAAACCUGGAGAUGACCUUUACCCAAUCAGCGAUGGCGAUGGUCGUCGUCUCCACGGCCGGCGGCAAGGUUUGGGGCGAUGGAGAGGCAGAGAACCUCCUCCCUCGGUUUCUUCGGCUCUGAGUGGUGAAUGGAGAAUGGCGACGCGUCUAGGAGGAGUAGAGAGCGAGAAAAAGGAAACCGAGAUCGACGACACGUUGCGGCCACGCGUCGGCUCGCUCAAUCUCUCCCUCUCUCGGCUGGAGCAGUGGAGGAAGUGAUGGACAGAGCUGAACCUAGCCUAAGGCACUGACAAGUGGGGCCAACUCGAUGGAAACUAGGCCAGGGAGAGAGAUAUGGGUAGAAGACUGGUAAACUGGAUUUUUAGAUUAAUUUUCGGAAUUAUUUUCUCCUCUAACUUUGUAACUACAUAAUUCAAUGUGUGGACCAAAUUAAUUAGUGUUGAUUUUACUGGAGGUAAAUGAUUACACCUAGAUUCCAUUUUCUUUGGUUGCACUCAAAAAUAAUGGGUGGACUGCUCACAGAAAUUAAACAAAGAUGGGCUAUUAGAAAGCUAGAUUGAAUUUUUAGGAGGCUUAAACAGAGAAGGAAAAUUCUAGAAAAAUUACAUUUAUUCAUGAUAACUAAUCUAGUAUUUGAAUAAAUUAUUUUCCAUGUUCACUGAUGUGCAGUUAAAUGUACUUUUGGAUGAAAUAUGGUUUUAGCCGAUUAAAAUUUAAUUUGAUUUCUUUUAGUUGUCUGCUUCGACCGAUUAAUUUGAGAUAUCAACUUGAGUGUUAACACGUUACCAAAUUACGGAGGAUAAGUUUGUGCUAAUCAUUGUCCACAUAAAUUUUUCCAUGAUUUUAUCUUGCACAAAAUAUUUUAGAGAAUUAAGUUGACCUUUGUUUGUAUAUGUGUUCCCACUUCAUAAUUGCAUCUAAUAUUAUUAUAGGGAUUACAUUAAACUUCUUUUAGACUGAGAAGAUGAUAUUUGAGUUUAAUAUUAAGUCCACAUGUUAUUACCCAAGAUUAACUAUAGGUUUGUUUAGUGAAGUAAUUCUUUUAGAUUAUGCUCAUGGGAUCUAUUAUGGAAUGCAAGACCAAAACUUCAAAUGCACAAAGAACUCGAGCCUAGGCAUGCAUUAUGUACAUGUAUGCUUGGUGACAUUUCUAGUCUAAUGUUGGGAAUGAAAAUGUUUUAUUUUGUUCUCAAAUUUUAAUCAUGCAAUGGUUUAAGUUGAUCAUCACCUAAAUUAAAACGGAAAUUUUUGGCUCUCAAAAUUGGAGAAAUUAACCUCUAACUAUUUUGAUAAGAAAUUUUAAGUCCUAAAAUUUCGGGUAUGUUACACCUAGUCUAUCCUAGGUUGAUGAUAUCGACGCUUGUGGGCGCCGUUUCCUCCUUGGAGGUGUCGUCAUGUUGGUUCUCUCUUCCUUCAGGUGAAAACCGGGUUCCUUUCGGAACGGGCGUUGACAGCAUCCUUAAUGUUGUUUCCUUGUUGAAGGCUUCGCUCAGAAGGUAUUUGCUCCACUAGAGGAUGUUUGGUGGUUCUGGAGACCUUGUCAUUAUGUUGUCGAAGCUGCUUGCCUUUUGGUAAGCUCGGUAACGACGACUUCUGUGAGGUCUCAUUAGUUGUUUCUUUUCUUUUCUGUAUUGGUUUUUGCCGGUUUCCCGUUUAAUUAACCGUGCUUGUUUGGUUUUCGGGCCCGGUUUCCCUUAUUAACUGGGCCAAUUCUCUUCUUCUAUAAAUUCCGGCAGGAGAAACUCCUGCCGUCGGUUCCUCGAAAAAAAAAUUCAUAUACAUAUAUAAAUCAUGAUUUGUGAGCCUAUGACCAAAGAUUAUGAUUGUCGUGCUAUGUAUCAUGACUAACAAUACAAGGAAUAAUUACGAGUUUAUUACGACCUUUACACUGGCAAAAUGUGGACAAUUAACUUAUAUCUUAAUACAUCAUGCGCUCAACGAGCUACCUCGAGUUGUCUCAUUAAACAAAUGAGUAAAAGUUCAAACUCAACUCAACUCAUUAACUGCCAAGUCGAGUUGAGUCGAGAAGAGUUUUACACAAAUUAAAUUGGGGCAAUAGCGCUUUUGACCCUGUUCUAGAACCUACCAAUUUGACCAUACUUUUUCAACUUUGCUCAUUUGACCCUCGUUUUUAAAACUGAAGAUCAGGUCUGACCCCCUUCUGUUAAAUCAACGUAACGGUGUGCCCUUCUUAUUCACACGUUUGUGCCGCCUACCUCCUUGUUUGGAACAAACAGGAGAAGACCGCGUCGCCAUCCUCUUCGAAGCAAGAAGGAGCAUCGCCACCACACAUCGUCCUCCCCGUCCAGAUCGAGGAACAGCGCCGCCACCGUCGCCGUCCUCCCGUCACGACGCGGCGCCGCCACGGAUUUACUCCCUCCGUCGCCGCCGCCGCCGCUACCGUCUUCCACGAGCUGGCGUGACCGCUCCCUCUCUCCACGAGCUGACGCCGGCACGGAUCCGCUUCCUCCGUGUCCCUCCGCCGUCGCUGCUGCCUUCCUCCACGAGCCGGCGCGUCCGCUCAUCCGCCACUGCCGCAACUCGCCCCUCCAUGCGCCGCCGCCGCACAGGAUAUAUGAGAGAGAGAAACGGUAGUGAAUGGGUAGGUUAGAUGUGGAUUGGUUUCCUUGAGGGUAGUUUGGUCAUUACAGUAUUUUUUUCUAAAAAAAAUGGAACCUUAACAGUGCGGUGGAAACAGGGUUAGACGGGGUGUUCAUUUUUGAAAAGCGGGUUCAAAUAGCAAACUAGAAAAAAAAAAGCUAGUUUAGUAGUUAGUCUUUCAAAUGAGGUCAAAUAAGUAAUUAUCCCAAUUAAAUUAGCUUACGAGUUUCGAGAUUUUUGACCAACCCCUAUUCACACAUAUCCAUCCAGCAUCAUAGACCCGGUUAAGCCCCUCCUAUUUGGGCAGGCCUACAUCCCGAAAAGGUGCUCCAUGGAAUGCCAAAACGCACCCGUCCCGGUUCCCAUUCCCAUUCAUAGCUAUCUACCACCUUUUUCGAUCGUUACGCAAUGCUCGCGCAAUAACGAAAUCUACCGCGUGCCAUACCGCCACGCAACUAGCUAGAUGCCACUCACUCGAGGUUAGUUAGGCAUGGGCAUCACAUAGCAAACUGGCCAUCCCAUAGCUUUCCUAGCUCCCACGAGACGACCCUGCACCCUGCAUGCGGCAGCACGGCGCACACGCUCCUUUCUUGAUCGUGCGCGUGGAGCCCAGACGUGACCGGCCGGAACGGACUCCGGCUUGGUUCGCCCUUGCACAGCACUGCACAAGCACAACCCGGUCGAUCAAUCGAUCGAUCAGUGAGUGCCGAAUAUUCCGCACCUACACGUGUUCACCGUUAUGCGAUGCACAAGUCUAGCUAGUGCACUUGAGGAAUAAUUUGGAUGCAUGUAUGCUGCUGCUGCGCUUUCGAAUGUCAGGAAAAAAAAACACAUGGGUGAUGAUCGAGUGAACAAUGUGUCUCAUCAAUCAGCUGGCCCUAAACGAACGAACCAUACUCUGAUUGCGUAGCAAGUACCGUGGGUGAUUCGAUUCGUGGAUUUUUCGUUCAAUACAAAGAGCGCUAACUGGUAACCUGGUGCGCUUAGAUAGGAGUAAUCAGAUACCACUGGUUAUCUGGUGCUUAGAUACCACAGGUUGGUCGACAAAUGUCCAGACCGUGUACACACCUGCACGCACCAAUGUGGCAAUGUGCAAAACACCCGGCCUCAACCUGUCGGCAAAUGCCCUCGAUCGGCAUCAAUUCCCUACCACCACGUACACCCCCGGGAAACGGAGAGUGACCGUCGAGCCGCUGGGAGGAGGAAACAACAACCGGACGAGAAGAAAGAACCAGAGCUCAAGCACCCAAACAAACAAAAAGUUCCCGGUUGAAAAUAACCUGCAGUAGCUUAGCUACUAGUAGCACUGUGAGCACUAGCUUUGUCCUGUUCCAAUCCAUGUCGUAGUACCGCUGGUGAUGCUGGUAGGACCGGCUAGAUGCAGGCCGGAUGCACCUACCUUCCUCCCCGUAAACAAACACGUACGACGUGCCAGCCCGGGACCCGAUUCGAUCGACCGGAUCAGGCAAAAAAAAUCAUACCAGCACGAAAAGCAAGCCAACCCCGCGAAAGCGGCCGCCCGGCAACCGCCGCUCCGUUCGCCUGCGGCCGCAGCAGCAGCCGCAGCGACCGUACGCUAGGAAAAAAAUUUUCCGAACGGCGCCAAACGCGCGAAGCUUCCCUCCGACCUCCCCCGCCCCGUCUCGCCCUCCGAUUUGGCGCAUGCCGUGCAACGCACCGGCCGCGUGCGCGUCGCGUCGGGGACGAGACGAGACGUCAUCUCGCCUCGGGUCUAGCUAGCCGGUGCAACGGCUGUUUCGCCCGUGUCCCCUCCCGCGCGUUGGCUUUCGUUCGGGCCAUCUGAUGAUGGGGAUCACGCUGUCACGCAGCACGCGCCGUGCGUGGCGCGGACGUGCCAGAAAAAUGCUCUCGCGUGCGUGCAUCAACGCGCGUUUCGGGUGGUGUGUGCCCGUGUGGAGUACGUAUACAACCUUUUUCCUGGUUCGCGUCAGUGCUUGGGAAGAGAUAACUGUUUUGUGUUACAUCAGGUGAAUUCAGGGUUUUUUUAUGGCAGGCAGCACGUUCACGUUAAUCGGGGAUAGACUAUCACCUAUUGGAAUUGUCAUAUGCGGUGCAUCGGUGUGAAUUAAUAUCUCGGUUCGUAAUCGUGAUUGGCUGGUGCGUUCGUGCUUACUUUAGAGCUCGUCGUGCCGGGACAAGAUGUUUCACUUCACGGUCUUCACGUCCGUGGGUGAUGACGUAUAGAUGAAAGCCUAAGAAAUUUAGCCUUUUAUUGGUCUUUUGUUUAAUCAACGAGGUAGCUGUCGAGCUUUAGGGGUGCCACGUGUACGUCCAACCCAGAGAAAUUUAGCCGUGGAUGUAGAGCCGCUGGUGAAAUGAUCGAUGUUUACUGGAGUUACGACUAGGUCAUUUGUUUGGAAAAGUAACCACUAACCAGUCAAGGUCACUGGCCAUCUGGCUCCACCUGGACAGAUUGGACGCACGCACUUGAAGUUUUGAAUAGUUCAUGACGUCUUUUUUAGUGCUUUCUUCUCUAAAUCUAAGAUGAGCAUAAUAUAUACUGUAAAAUUUGGUCAAAUCACGUGUAGGUGCACCAGAUGAUGUAGGAGUAAUUAUGUAAUGCACCGUGCGUAAUCGGUUACGGAACUGGGUAGUAGGUUUACCGAAUUGCACCAAUCCAUUGUUGGACUAGAUGAUGCAAUCGCCUUGUGAGCUUAUUUACGAACAAUAUGAUCUUAUAUUUUCUCCGUUCAAGUAUAUAAGGGAUAUUGGCCUAAUCCCUUAUCUAAAUAUAUAAGCAAUUUUACAAUCCCAAGACAAUGUUUAUCUUCUAUCCAUCAAUGAACUCAUGCACUAGUUUAAUCCUCACUUAACAACUUUGGUACUACUCCCUCCAUCUACUUUUGAUAGUUAUAUUUUCAAAUCUGAAAAAUUUAUUUUUGAUAGGUAUAUUUCAAUCAAACAACCUAUCAUCUUAAUGGCUUUCUUGGAUUUAAUACGUGACUCUCAAUUCUUUCACAUAAGAUUGGCUCUAUGGGCAUCGAGAAAUGUAAAUAUUAAUAAAUCGCUUGUUUACGAGGAAUGACUAGUAGCAUAUUUAAAUAGAUGAUAAGUAGAAUUAUCUAUCAUUGGUCUGUCUGCCAAGAUAACAUAUGACUAUCAAAAGUAGAUGAAGGGAGUAUUAGUUUAUUUUUUCAACCUUUACCUUAUGUACUGGUUUAUUUCCUCAACCAUCAUCUUUUAUACUAUGAUUUAACCCUCUUUUAACUUCCUUAAUUAUUCUCAAAAUGGCAUAAUACCAUGUAUUUAAAGACAGAGAGUACUUUGAUCGCAGAUCAUUCAGAAAGAAGGUCUAUUUUUGAGAUGAUUCAGGCAGAAAGUUUCUUUUUUUUGAGAGAGAGGAAGGCAGAAAGUUUCGACUUUCGAUCAUCUGGUAGCAAACCCAGCAAAACUUCAGCUUACAAGGUGAGCGUGAACCCGACAGGUCGUCGACCCUUCGGCUGGAUGGAGCAGCAGCUAAUCGCGGUUACACCUUUGGGCCCUUUCCUCGGUUGGGCCACUGGAAGGCCGUAGUGCUGCUCAUUGUAGCCAUUGGGCCAGUGUCACAUGGGCUUACAAUGAAAAGCCCAUGUUCUCCGAAUGAAAAAAACGUACAGAAGCAACGCCGUCUUUUCAGCUCGGAUGUCUGAAAACUCCUAAAACCCCAAAGCAGCCAGACCAGUACACACACCAUUUUGCUUGUCAAUGGCCGCCGCCGCCGCCGAUCCCCUCGUCGCCGGCGCCACCGUCUCCUCCGACUCCGACUCCGACUCCGACGAUCUCCACCUCCUCCUCCCGAAUCUCCUCCCUUCCGCCGCCACCGCCGCAUCAGACGCGCAGCUCCACCACUUCCACCUCCCCGCGCUCCCGUCCCCUAUCACCGUCCGCACCCUCCCUUCCCUCGGCCUCACCUUCCAGCUCUGGCCAUCGGCCUCCACCCUCCUCCGCGUGCUCCCCGCCUCGCCGCUCCUCCUCUCGCGCGCGCCCACCCCGGAGAGCCCGCUGGGCAUCCUCGAGCUCGGCUCCGGCACCGGCGCCGCGGGCCUCGCCCUGGCCGCGGCGCUGCCCGCCCACGCCGUCCUCUCGGAUCUCCCCGCGGCGCUCCCCAACCUCCGCCACAACGCGUCCCUCAACGCGCCCCUCCUCGACGCCCGCGGCGGCUCCGUCUCCGUCGUCCCGCUCCCGUGGGGCGACGCCGCCGCGAUGGAGGCCGUCGCUGCUCCGCCGCCGGCUUCUCGGUUCGACCUCGUCGUGGCGUCGGACGUGGUGUACUACGAGGCGUUGGUUGACCCCUUGAUUGAGACGAUGCGGUUCUUCGUCAAGGGGGAGGUGGUGUUCGUGAUGGCGCACAUGAGAAGGUGGAAGCGCACGGACAAGAAGUUCUUCGCCAAGGCGAGGAAGCUGUUCGACGUCGAGGUGGUACACGAGGACCCGCCGCUCGAAGGGUGGCGCCAUGGCCCGGUGGUCUACCUCUUUACCGAGAAGAAGCGGCGUGACAAGAAGUGAAGAAGCUCUUCCAAAAGGUAAUGACUGCCUGCUCGAUUGUGUUCGUCAUGUGUUCUUUCUGUUUGUUGUGAAAGAUCAUACUGUUAGAAUUCAAACAGAGAAAAAAAACUGAGGGCCAAAACUUGGUUGUGUGGUUGCAUAUGGAUUUGGAUGUGUCAGGUGCUAUCCUUUGUUUUAUUUAUGGAUUCUAGUUAAUUCUCAUGGAGUCACAAUGAAGUUUAGGAUUUCACUAUCUUAGAAUAACCAAUCUAAUAAUAGACGAUAUGAUUAUGAGGUGGUAGUAGCAGUACAGGACUUUAUGAUUGGCAAGGGACUGCCGAAAUUUGUAGUUUGAACAAGACAAAGUUUUUGGUUCUCAAGAACACAAGUCUAGCAUGUCUUCGUACUAGCACUUCAAAUGGUGAUGGACGGUCUCUAGAGAAAAGAUCAAUGGCACAAUUCCUCUGCAUGCAAGGAAGGAAUGACAUAAAACAUUAUGUUACUUAACAUGGAAAGUUUUUUGUUCUUUUGUGUUACUUUUAUGGAAUUGAAGUGGAGGCCCAAGAAUUAUGUGUUCCAUUGCUGCUAUUUUCCUUCAAAUUGUUCAUACAUUUAGUAGUAAGUUCCUUUUGUUAUGGGAAUAAAACUGUAGAAAUCCAUUUACACGAGGAACUGACCUUUUUCUUGUUAACAUGCAAAGCUAUCAAUAUAUUGAAAGCGAGAAAAUCAGUACAUUACAAAUUAACCCCAAGAGAAUGCAGAUACACAGGCUUACACCAUGACAUUUAGCUAUGAAACAAUAAUUGAAUCAGGGAUGUUCACAGCAUUUAGCUAGAGUCAAAUACACGUCUGUUUGCAGUUAAACUUGAGUGCCUCUCAAAAACAGUCAGCACUGCACAAAGGCAAACAUGAUAACACAAUAGGAAUACACGGCAAACCUAGUAACCAACCUCUGGCAACCGAACAGAGGGAGGGGCACAAGAAUCAUUGGUUGCACUGGACGAGCUCGUAUUUCCAUAACUGUUCGGCCUUUCCAGCUCCUUCAGUGUCCCAUUAGAUGACUGUGAAAAUCUGCAGAGAGAAAUUGGUGGUGCAAAGUACAUUGCCACUGGCAUCUUUGGUGGAAGGUCUGGUAAUGGUGCUUCAAACUUCAGUACGCUUAUGACCUGGCGAAUUGAAGGCCGGAUAUUAUAAUCUGGGUGUGCACACCAAAGUCCAACAACCAUCAAGGAAAUAACUUCCCGCUCUUCAAAUUCACCAUCAAGCCUUCCAUCAAUUGCAUUAAGUAUCUCAUUUCUUCCAUAAAGAUCCCAAACCCAUUGAACCAAACUGAUCCUGUCAUUAUCUUCCUUUGGCACAACGGGCCUCCUUCCACAAGCUAUCUCCAGAGCAAGAAUGCCAAAGCUGUAGACAUCAGUCUCUUUGCUUGCUUUCCCAGUAGUGACACACUCUGGAGCCAUGUAACCCAUGGUCCCAGCUAUCACUGUAGUUUGUGAGCCUCGGUCAUGGUCUACAAGCCGUGCGAGCCCAAAGUCCCCAAGCUUAGCGUUGAAUCCAGAAUCAAGCAUCACAUUGCUUGGCUUGACAUCACGAUGCACGACACAUUGUUCCCACUCCUCGUGGAGAUACAGGAGGGCGGAUGCAACACCUAUGGUUAUCUUGAACCGCAAUGGCCAUGCUAACAGGUUUCCACCAUCAUAGAGGUGUUUGUCCAAGCUCCUGUUUGGCAUAAACUCGUAGACUAACAAGAACUCUCCAUGCUCAUGACACCAGCCCACAAGUUGCACAAGAUUCCGAUGCCUUAGUCUGCUGAUGAUCUUGACCUCAGAGAUGUACUCCUUCCUCCCCUGUGUUGACCCUUUUGCAACUCGUUUUAUGGCAAUUUCAAUGUUUUGAUCCUUCAAGAAACCCUGGUAUACUGCACCGAAACCCCCUUCUCCAAGCUUUCUCUCUGCAGCAAAAUUAUCCGUCGCCACUACGAGUUCAUUGUAUUGGAAUCUCCUUGGCCCCUUGCCUUUCUCAAACUCACUGUCAAUGGACUCAUCACAGUCUAGUUUCUCUUUUUCCUUCUCUCUUGACCUUGUAGUCCUUCUAAUCCUUCUAAAACAUAAAAAGAAGCAAACCAAGCCAAUUGAGCAGACCACAACACUACCGCUCGUAGACAAGCUUAUGACCAAUAUACCUUUUGUUUUCUCAGUCUUCAUCAGGUGCACAUCUGUAGAAUCAAAUUCCCAGUAAAGAAUCUGGUGCAGCUCUACAAAUUUACCUGUGGAAGCAGAGAAUCCGAUGGACACUUUGUCAGGGAGAUAUUUGCUGAGAUCAACCGAAUAAGAUAGGCUGGAGUUGCCACUGAAUUGUGGGUUGUCCUGGUACGACAAGAAGACACUCAAGUUCCUUGAAUUUGCCUGGUAAGUUACCCAAGCAUUGGCUAUCCGGCCAUCGUUGAUACUACUUCGCCAUGUCACGUUGGCUACAGAUACAAUUGAGUGGAUGUUGAUGCCUACAUGGUUGCCAUCUGGAUCCCAAGUGUUUUUGUGGCUGUCAAACUCAACAGCCACAAUCUGGUUGAGUGGAUCGCUCUGAUCAUUACUAUUGCUGAAGAGGCCAAGAUAACCAUCCAUGGAGUUAUUGGGGACCACAGAAGGGUAUGAUGAGAGGAAGAAGGCUAGGCCCUCACCGUACGAACUGUCGUUCGUGGGUGCAUAUAUCUUGAACGUGAAGCGGGUUGUGAAGCUGGCUAACUGACCGGUGGUGCUAUCCCAGAGAGGCACUGGAUCGGUGUAGAUUGCUCGGCCUACGCUUUGAGUGAUCUUUCCAUUCAACUCAUCCUUGGUGAGCUUGACCGCCUUGUUGUAGAAGGCAUCCUCCUGGAGCUGAAUUGUGGCUGAUCCAUUAUGAUUUGAUUCAGUGAAGUUCAACUUGAAGGACAGAGGAUUGACAUGGGCAAUUUUCAGGGAUAGGGAAAAGUAGAGAGCCAAGAGGCAAGUAUAUUUGGUUCUUGAUCGCAUGGUUGGAAUCCUGGAGGCUGGAGAGAGAGCAGGAGGGAGAGAUGGAAGGAAGGAAAUGAAAAGACACUACUUUUGCAGACCUGAUAACCUGUAUAACCAUUAACUUGGUCAAUCUCCUUGAUUGUCUCAGCAAUACUUGGUGCUAUUAAAGGGUAGUAUCAUACUGCCGGCCUGUCAAUAGGCCCUGAAAGGACAGAUGUAAGCCACAGGAGAAGCAGCUCAAAUUUGGAACUUAACUAAGCUUUCCAAAAAGCUAGAUGAAGCUUGGUUUGUAUCGUCUUUGCCGGCCAAGAUUAUGAAGUCAAGUAUGUCUCGCCCAUAAUAUGAUUAUGGUGGUUGCCGGCAGAAAAGGAGGUUAUCUCCUCUCAGCAAAUGGAACAUGUAUUUUCUAAGGCAGAAUUGGACUGAGUUCAGACAUGCACAGAAUCUGCCAAAAGGAAAGCUCUUAUCGAUCUUAUAUGCUUAACAAACUGGGUCAUGAUGUAAUUUUUGUCUUUCAUGCGGCAUACAACAAUUUCAUGCAGCACAGGAGAGUUUAUUAAUACAUAUAGCACAAUGAUUUACCUUGUCCUUAGGGAUCAGUUCGAUGACAACUUGACAAGCAGUAAAUAUUUCUUGACUGUAAUCUCUAUUCUGGAGUUGGCACAAAUCUAUUGAGUUAUGGCAACCAAGAUCAGACGGCAGAAGUGAAGUAUAUGGCACUAUGAUAUAUCUUGCUUGUGCACUGAAAAAAGGGUUCAAACAUGGAAAAUUAACAAAGCGACCACAGCUUAUGUAUUUCGCAUAGUGUGUAGUACACAAGGAUCAGCAUCAUAAUCUCAGUAACUAGAAGAAAAUAUACACCAACUGUUCUUUUUACUAGGAGAAUAUACAUCGAUUGUUCUAUUCAUGCAGGGCUACUUAUAUACACAAAUGAUUAACUCAAAACCUGCAAGGAAUAUUCGUAAAGUACAUUAUUGAGUGGAUCUGUCAUACUCAACAUGAGUUUCAAGUUUGCUGCCAUGAAUCGAUCGUUCAUUUCGCCGUGUCGCUGGUGUUUGUGUCGUCCGUUGGCCACGCUACAGUUUCCAUUAACCUCUGACGCAUUAUCUCCAGAUUCUCAUUCGAAAUCUUCUCGUACAUUUUUGCAUGGUCACAUUUCUGCAUUGAUGAAGAGGUAACUAAUUAAAUAAUUUAUGCAUCAAAGAUGUCUCAAAUUACUCUGGAAUAUCUCACUCUUUUUUAUUACCUUGAUCCAUUUGCUGUACAAGUGGAGUCGUGUGAUCAUCACUCUCUCUGCCAAAUCUUGCCUCUCCUGGUGCAUACGAAGUCAAAUUAAUUAGAGAAUGAACCUUGGCACAAUGCUGAACAUCAUAUAUAUUUUUCUUCAUUGCUUAGUAACAAGAUGCAAAAAGAUACCUUUGCGAGUGCGAUGAGGAAAUGUUUGCCCUCCUUUGGAUCGUUAACCACGACGUAGCUGACAAAUCGUAAGUGUUCGUAUUUUAGACGCUAAGGAUGCAGAUUGGAACUGACACCAACAUUAACCUAUUCUACUUAGAUUUCAUUUCAACAUAGCACAAUAUAUCAAUGUGAGAUUUUCUUGCAAUGGGGUGACUUACUUAUACAGCCAAGUAUAAGCAGGUGGAUUCAUUUCAUACAACUGGUGGAGCACCGUGCUUGUGGCCUUGUAAGUGAAGUAAUUCAUGAUUUCCUGCAAAAUGGAGAGAACAAUCUUCAGAGUUCCAUGCAAUCUAAACCCAAUUAACCUUGCAGUUAGAGAAAAUUAACCAUUAUAUUGCUGUCGUUUACAGAUAGCGUUCCGAUUAUCCCCUGCCGGUUCAAAAAAAAAGAAAAUCGAAAUCAGUAGUGUACACGCACCGUGUGCACGUCUUCGAACCCCUCCUCGUACUGCCCGGCGAACUCGUCCACGAUGACGAGGCCGCGGCGGCCGGGCCUCCUCCCCCUCCGCCGCGCCGCCCGCGCCACCGUGCGCCGCCGCCUCACCCCGACGACGACGCCGCGGGACCACGGCAAUGGCGCCGCGCGGCACGCGGAGGAGGAUGAGGACGAGGAGGGAAGGCAGACGACCGCGGCGGCCAUCCGCGCGACGGCAGCCAUCGGCGGCGCCGCGAAGGAGAGCUAGAGAUGUUUUUUUCCCUCCCGACGGCUCGACGCCGGCUGCGACGAUGCGAGCCGCGGCGGGGUUCUGGAUAGGCAGCAGCGGUGGAUUUUUUUUGCUGAGGCUUUGGCUGAUUCUGUCCGCGAAAACAGCGCGUUUCAUGGGCUUCCUGAGGGCAAACGGGAGACCCCACGUUCGCGCCGAUAUUUCGUCCGGCAGCUCGCUGAUUGGUGGCGGAAUGGCGACGAGAGAUGAUUCUAUUUGCCUCUCUGUAUUUUCGCGAUUCCCUUGAUUCUUUUUUUUUUUGGCUUCAGAAGUACAUUUCUCUUUCAGCCUUUUCCUUUUUUUUUUGAGAAUAUUCACUUUUAGCUUUUUGUGAGAAUGUAAUUUGUGGAAUGCAUGACUGCCACCCUAAAAUAUCUUUUCUGAUAGUGAACACCAAAGUAAGGGCACUUGCGUAUGUUUAUCAUAGUGAAAGAAUUCAAGUUCUACAUUUGAUAUUAAUGUUUAUAAGUACAUUAUUUGAUAUUAAUGUUUAUAAGUACAUUAUUUGAUAUUAAUGUUUAUAAGUACAUUUUACUACAAGACAUCGCAAAUUCGUGAUUUUAGUUAUGGGACACCACAUGAAAUCACUUUUGGGGUAAGACACUAUGUAAUCUUGGUUAUUUGCUAACGGGCACGGCUCCCAUUUAUUUAGCGUUUUAGUGUUGACUAUGCAAGAGCUGUCCACUUUUUGAUGCGCUGUGACCAAAUUGCCCCUGCCCAUCCUCAAAUUGACUCACCUAUCGGCUGGCGCCGCUCUUCGUCGUGCAGUUCAUCCAUCUCGCUUCAAUCCUCGAGCUUCGCCUCCACUCACUCCUCACCUCAGACACUGUCACUCCGCCGUCACCGCAUCCUCCCCACCAGCCUGCUCUCCUCCCUCCCGACACCAUAGGCGCCACCCGCACCCACGUUGGUCGAGGCGCUUCCUUCCCCUCCACCACCGCAAACCUCAGUAUUAGGAGCAGGAGACCAGCCUCUACCAUGGUGUUGCUCGCACCCACAUCAGUCAUGGCGCUUCCUCCCCUCCACUACCGCCGUUGCGGCGGUAGAACCAGCAUGACGAGAAGGGCCUCCACCACGGCGCCACAUGCACCCACAUUGGUCGCGACACUUCCUCCUCCUCUACUGCCACAAGACAAGCGCCGUCGCGAGCCUAGCAGGAGCCCAACCCACCGCCGUCGCCCAAGCCCCCUUCCGCAGAGGAGUUGGGCUAGGGUCCACCUACCUCGUGGAGGUCAUGUCGGCGUGGCUCGUCAGCUUCUACCUAGGAGCCUAGCAAGGGAGCUGAGGGGAGCCGGACCAAGCCGCCACAGCGGAGGUGGAGGAGGCGAGGAGGGAGGGCCAGGGUGGUUGCUGAUGGCGAGCAGAGGUGGCACUGUGGCUGGAGUGUGAGAAGGACUGACCUAGGGAUAUUUUUGACGUUUCAUGUUGUUUAUCUCUCCUAUUUAGCCGGAAAUUAAUAUUUUAAUGACUAUGGUGUCCAUAAGAAAAAAAACCACAUUUUGAGAGUGCCUUCCCCUAAAGAUCGACUUUUGACGUGCCCUAGAGUUAAAAACCACGAAGUUACAGUGUCCUACAGCAAAAUUUGCCAUGUUUAUAUGAGCAUCUCAUUUGUACUAUGUUUUGAAAAAAAUCUUGUUCUAACUGAGACUUUAGCUUAGACCCUGUCACGUAGAAUGUUUUGAUACUAAUUUAGAGUAUUAAACAUAGCUUACUUACAAAACUAAUUGCAUAAACGAGAGCUAAUAUGUGAGACAAAUUUUUUAAGCAUAAUUAAUCUAUAAUUAAAGAAUUUUUACGGUAGCAUCAUAUAGGAUAAUCAUGGAUUAAUUAGGCUCAAUAAAUUUGUCUCGCGAAAUAGUCCAGAGUUAUGAAAUAGGUUUUAUCAUUAGUCUAUGUUUAAUACUUCUAAUUAGUAUCAAACAUCCGAUGUGCCAGGGACUAAAAUUUUUUAACCCCAUCCAAACUCCCCCUUAAGAAGCCCAAAUCCGAACACAACGCUUUGUAGCUGACUAGCUUAGACCUGAGGGCCUGUUUGAUAUAGCUCCAACUCCUAAAUAUAAGUCCAGGAGUUUAGUCUGGAGUAGAGUUGUGGAGCUGCCUAAACCCACCUCCACAACUCUAGUAUAUUUUGUGAGAGAGCUCCACCCAACUCCAUUCCUAAUUUUGGUGGAGCUGAAACUGUUUGGCUGAGCUCCAGCUUCAGAAGGGAUGGAGCUGGAGCUGAAGCUGUACCAAACGGGCCUGACUCUGAGAGGAAAGGCCUGACUCCACGGUCCACGCGCACCGCAUGGCGUACGCGCGAAAUGGUUCACGGACUCGCGGUCAUGCACACCCGCGAAAACCUGCGCUAAGCAAAAGCACCGGAAAAGCAACGGCACGAGCCCGUGCCCCGUGAGGCAAUGAACCAAAUUGGCGGCCGCGUCAACCACGCCACCGGGACGCGCGCGACGGCAAGAAAAAGAAGUCGCGAAGUCGCGGAUUCUGCAGGCCCCCACGAGACCACGGUUUCCUACGGCCGAUCUCGCGGGGACGCAGCCGGAGACGACGCGGUCGGUCGCGUCGCACCCCACGCCCCGGCCGGUUAGUGGACCGAUUCCCGCACCGGCACACCGCGCGCGCACCGCGUCUUCUUCUCUAUCGCGACAAGUCUGGCUUGGUCAUCGCGUGAGUCGAUCGCCUCGUUGCUUUCCGUGGCCGCGUCCGUCGCCGCCUCGCGCACCAGCGAAUCCGGACGUCGACCGCUGCCUGCGGAUGUUGUGGACAGCUCACAGUUGGUGUUCCUCUGAAUGCACAGGCGCCGUGGUUCCUCUCACUUGGUGUGCAAUUUACCGUGAAAUCCCAGUGAGAUAUAACCUACGUCUUCGUAACGGUCUCCCGUCUUAACUCCGAGUCUCUGACUAACCGUGAACCUGAUGAUGCAGUUGCUAGCCUCAUCGCGUGCGACGAAAUAUCAAAUGAUGUCGUCCGUGUUUAGAUGACUUCUUUUGUACUCCUGCACUGUCUGUCGAUGUCAUGGCAGUAGGUGCCUCCUUUCACCGACUCCACCUGCUCCAGAACAAAGCAGGUACCAACUGUUACAAGGAAAAAAAAAUCUGUAUUUUCCAAUACUGUCUAUUUUUAUUAUCUUGCUUUGAAUACUAACCGGGUAUUUAUUUUGGAUUAUAGAAAAGAAGUACACACCAUUAUGCACACACUUCAAAUAUUCGUAAGCCAGUAGAAAACGGAAUUGUGCAGGUGGCAAGCAUUCUCUUUUCUAAAAAAAAAAUCAAUAUCAUAAAUCACAUUCAUUUUUCUAAAAUAUUUAAUUUAUUAUUAAAAUUAAAUCAAGUAGAUAAUAAUACAUGGUAAUAAUUCAAUGAAUAACCCAUGCCAAAUAGAGUCAACAACAUUGUUCACGUUUUCGACAAAAACAAAAUGAAAGCCACCAAAUUAUAAGGUUUCGACGUUGAACACAAGCAGAUUCUAAGUAACUUUUCAAAUGAUUUUCAAGAAUUUAAAUUUGAAAUAAUAAAUUUGAUUGGAAUUUAUCAAGGUUCAUGAAAACCGUCAUAAGAUCGGGAUCCAAUGCUCAAUUGAAAAUGUGAGACCCUGCCAACAACGGCUGUGUUUAGAUCCAAAGUUUGAAUUCAAACUUCAGUCUUUUUUCAUCAUAUCAACAUGUCAUACAUGUAUAACUUUUCAGUCGCAUCAUUUUUAAUUUUUUAAAAAAAUUUAACUUUACGCUGAACUAAAGACAGCCAACGAAUCAAAGAGGGUUAUAGCCAUCCCGGCCGUUUUCGGCCCGGGUCAAAACGUUAUGUAUGCUACUCGAUUUCGUGCCCCCACACCCUUGACGAGCGAGCCUUGCCCUCUUCUCUUCCCUUCUCUCCUACCGGCGGCAACUACCGGGAAGCCGCCGCCGACCGCCGGAGCGGAGUCGUCGCGGCGGCGAGGGCGAAUCGGUAACCCCCCCCCCUCCGGAGUUCCGGGAUGGGGACGCCGGAGUUCCCCAACCUGGGCAAGCACUGCAGCGUCGGCGACUGCAACCAGAUCGACUUCCUGCCCUUCACCUGCGACCGCUGCGACCACGUACGUCUUUCCCGUCUCCUCCCCUGGCCGUUUUCGUGUCUCGGUGCCUCGUUGCCGAAAUCGGAUUUGCUGCUGCGGUAGUUUUUAAGGAAAUUUGUUCUUCUGUAGAUUGUGGAACCAAAGAACUGAUUCUUCCUGGAAUUUUUGCUUGAUAUACGGUUUCUUGAAGUAGAUCUUGGAAAGCACCUAGUUUAGGGAAAAUCUCGUCUGGGCUUUAGCCUUUAGGACAGUGAUCCAUCACAAUCGAGGAGAUGGAGAAGGGAAAUUCAUGCCAAUGCCUAGGCAGCACGAAUGGAGAUCUUUUUUUGACCGUUUGGUGGAUGAGAGUUGAUGUGUCUAUCGUUGACCGAGAACAUGAUGACCCUUUCGGUGAUGCUCUUGCAGUUUUGCGCCCUUUUGGAUAAUUAGUUUCAUCUACUAAUUGAAUGCUAUGUAGCCAAUCACAUAAUUGGUCAGAAUUGUUGCUUCAAUAAGAAUGAAAUUGAUCUCAGACAAAAUCUGAAACUGGGCUUAAGAAUGCAAUGGGUAUGGUUUCAAAUUUGGAACGGGGAAAAGGAGGAUUUAGUUGACAAGGAGUCCUUCAUUGUUAGCUUGUUGCCUAUGGUUGAAUGCACAUAAUGAUAGGAAAAAAAGAACUGAAAAACAGUAGUGGAAGUGUGGUAUUUAUUCACAAUGCCAUUCAUAUCUGUAUUUUGUGCCAGAAACAUGCCCUCUAGUCAUUGUACUGUUUCUUUGUUGCCCUCUAGUUUCUUUCGUUGACAUCACAGCAUGCAGCUCCACUGGAAUCAUGACACUCUGGAAUUACACACCAUAUAGGAGUAUGCGUUAUUGCAGUGUUCAAGCAUAACUCAUCCUGAGUAGCACUCCAAGGUCUUGAGUUCAAAUCUCCAUAGGAGCAAAUUUCAGAUUGGGUUAUUUGAGGGCUAAGUUCCCUGUUUGAUAGGCUAAGUUCCUAAUUUAAAAGGCUGCAUAUAUCCGGUUGGAUGUAGAGGCCGGAUAAAAAAUACCCUUCUCUAAAAAAAAAAGCAUAACUCAUAGACAUUUUGGGUUCAAAAUUUUUCCAUAAUUUAUUAUUUUUGAAUCCUUUCCACUUCAUGGCUUCCCGAAUGUAAAGUAACAUUGCAUCAACAUCCAAUUGGCAGCACUGACAUGGUUAUUUGAUCAUUGUUUAGGUCUUUUGCCUUCAGCACCGAAGUUAUACAUCGCAUCAGUGUCCAAAUGCAAAUCAGAAGGAUGUGACUGUCCUCAUCUGCCCACUCUGUGCUAAAGGAGUUCGCCUGAACCCGAACGAAGAUCCAAACAUCACCUGGGACACCCAUGUCAAUAGUGACUGUGAUCCAUCAAAUUACCAGAAAGUAACAAAGAAAAAGAAAUGCCCAGUGCCUGGGUGCAGAGAGACACUGACAUUUUCAAACACAAUUAGAUGCAAAGAUUGCACCAAAGAACACUGCCUGAAGCAUAGAUUUGGACCUGAUCACAAGUGUCCAGGGCCAAGAAAACCGGAAUCUACAUUCCCCUUCGGAAAUAUGCUUAGGAGAAGUCAGAAAGCAGAAUCAUGUUCAAAUUCAAACAGCAGUAGCACUAGUUCAUCCUGGUGGAGCUCUAGUCUUCUUACCGCAGCAACGAGUUUCAAAUCAUCUGCUGAAGCUGGGAUGCAGAAAUUGAGCACAGCAACUACCCAAGCCAUCCAGAAGGCUAAGGAUGGGAUCUCGACAAGCAGCAGUAACAGCGGUGAUCUCGUGGAGCAAUGUGUUCAGUGCCCAGCAAGAUUUUCCACCGUGGGGGCCUUAAUCGAGCAUUGCGAAAAGUCCCAUCAGAGCAACUCGCAAUCAAGUCGUAGCAGAGUGACGGUCGAUGUCUGCCCGAAAUGCAGCAAGGCAUUUCGAGAUCCAGUGUUGCUUGUGGAGCAUGUUGAGAGGGACCAUGGAGGAACGUCAAGAGCGUAGAUCUGCUUAUGUUUACUGUACCUGUGUAACCUGUAAUUUGCUUCUCAUUGGUCAAUGGUCAUCACACUCAAUAGGAUUUGGUUGGAUUGUGCUCUAUUAUUACGGUUGGGUUCAAAAUGUGCCCAUGAAAGAAGGUAUAGUUUGUUGGCUGUUUCAAGGCAAGCCAUUGUGAAUUGAACCUCAUUCUAGACACCAGGAAAUCAAAUUUCUGAUUAGUUAAAACAAUGCGUCGUUUAGAUGGCUAUGCUGUUGCAAGUUACAAAUAUUGCCUUCUACCAGUUUGUUAAUGGUGAAAUGGAAUUCAUAACCUCACCGUGCAUGCACAGGAAUCCACUGUAGUUACAUUACCUGUCACCAUUGACAACCCUUGCAACAGGGAACAUCAUCCUUUGGUCUGCUGAAUAAAGGCGAAGGAUUAUUUUCACAUGGUUUGCAUCCCAGAUGCUAAUUGAACACUGAGAGAAACGUGAGUUUCCCAAUGGUUAAAACCACGUAAGAAAUUUCGAAUUUGUCCCUAAAUUGGACGUCUUUUAGCCGUCUAAAAUCCUUUUUGUUCAACGGAUUUGGUCGAGAUAUAAGCCGAAAAACAAAUAGUGAAACGCGUUCCUGAAGCCCAUCAAAGCAAACCUGCCUCGAACACCUUGGAUCCUGUGACCCGGCAUCGUUACGACGCUCUAGGAAUUGCGAAGACGAAUGGCCAUGAUGUUGUGGUGACGAACGGCUGCUGUUGCUGUAAAAUCAAAUUGUUUUUUAUUCUUAUUCUGCGAUGAACAAUUGGCAUCUGAGAUUAUUGAUUUUGACAUUUGAAGAUUAUUGGCGAAGUGGUUUUGGAAAUAAUUGAUUUUCAGAUGAUGAACAAGGUUUGUUGUUUUGUCGUGUCCGGUCAGACCGGCCAGGUGCUCUGUGUCGACUCUGUGUCGACUUCGGGUUGUUUGUUUAGAAAUCCGUGGAUGUUUCGUGUUUAUGGCUUCUAGAUGGAUCCUAUGUGUAUGUAAUACUGUUGUUUGCUAACAAUGAGUCAAGUUGAAAAUAGCUUGGUCUUGGAAUAUGGUUUCCUUGUUUGAUUCAUGUGUAGGUGACCUGAUGCCUCAGAAGAGUAUAGUCGGUGAUGGAUCGGGAGUCGACUUGGAGAUAAGGCGACGUCCGGACGAUCGGAUAUCAUGCGGGAUACUUAGGCUAAAGAUCAAUGCACGUGGUUGGUGAAUAUUCCAUAUGACAUACGAUGGAGAUAUUGUGUGCGUAUGGGAUGCGGAGGCCAUUCCAGGGCUGUCGAACCGGGCGGAUCUAUACCGGUCAGACCGGCGGCACAAGCACGAUCAAACUGGCAGAUCAACCUCGAUUAGACCGAUCUAUAUCGAAAUUGAGGGUAACUUUUAAUUCCGCUAAAAAUUUUGGUUUUUGGGUACACCAACCAUUCACCCCCUAUGGUUGACUUAAUUCUUUCUACGGAGUUGCUAGAAAUAUGGCGUCAUAUGCUACAGUCGAUUUUUUUUCAGCCACUUACACAGUAGUUACACCUCAUUUACAUCCUACUUACAUAUGUAAUUACUAUGUAAUUUUUGAAUUUACAUAUGUAAUUUUAGUACUUACACAUGUAAUUUUGAGACUUACAUUGUAAAUACAUUAAAAUUAGAUAUGUAAUUUAGGGACUUACAAUGUAAAUACAUGCCGACUAUUUUUUUUUGAUGAAAAUAUAGUGCCAUAAAUAUAGCUACACCCUUCUUUCUAUUCGAUCCUACAGUUGUGAGGGUGACGCGCGCCGAUACUGGCGGCAAGCUAGCAAAUCAGAAGUCCGGCGAUGGCAUCCAAGCGGGAAAUCAAUGUCCAAAAUCCGGCAACAAGGACAAUAGAAAGGUCUUGGUUAGUGUGCUUGACUAGGUUGCCGUUGAUUUGUGUUUUGACUUUUGAAAAGACUACUGUUACUAGGUUAUUCCCCAUAGUGUGUGCAGUCGCAGCGAGGAAGAUUGGCCAUUUCUUUGCGUGGCUCAGUCAUUAGUUAGUGGAUCUCAGGAAGAAAGGGGAGUGUUCUGUACAGGGUGAAAUUACAUCAACUACUGAAAAAAAAAAUCCACCUCUCUGAAUACGCCCGCCAUCUUCCAUCUCCUUGAUGUCCCCAAACAUCCGAAGUGGCGUUCGCGCUUUCUGAUUGAAGAUCAUUUCGUUCCUUUCGUUCCACACCGCUCAGGUUACCAGCGUCAAGUUACAUUUGUUUUGGACCUCUAAUUGUUUCUUGAAUUCUCUUCUCCUAGUCAGAUAUCGCUGCCGCCAUUAAUUUGUUCCCCCCUUUGGGAAAAAAAAAUAUUUUGAGCUUGUGCCAAGUUAGUCAUGGGUGCCAAGAGGAGCUCAAUGAUCCCCGCACUCUUGCUCCUCGCUUCCUUGUCCAUCUUCAAGCUACCUUGCUUCUCCAGAUCACUCUCUUUCAGCUACGAUUUCUCCAAGCCCACCACUUUCAAUCGUUCCGACAUCGCAAUAGAUGGAUCCGCGAGUCUCAAUGGUCUCAUCGAGCUCACGCAGAACGCUGACCCGAAACGUGAAGGCAUAUACGACACGGUGGGCCGAGGGUCCUACGGCCAUCCGGUGCCGCUCUGGGACGAGGCCACCGGCGAGGUGACGAGUUUUACGACGCGCUUCUCGUUCGUCAUCAAGUUUAACUAGUCAGACAAGGCCAAGUACGCACCCAGCGACGGGCUUGCCUUCUUCCUGUCACCCUAUCCGUCAAAGAUGUCUCCACUCGACGGCGGUGGAUUGCUCGGCGUCUUCACCAACAGCACUGGCAUGAAUCCGUCCGCCGCCGCCCCGAUCGUCGCGGUGGAGUUCGACACGUUCCAAAAUGAGUGGGACCAGAGCAGCGACCACAUCGGCAUCGACGUCAACUCCAUCAACUCGACCGCGGUGAAGUUGCUGUCUGACCGCAGCCUCUCCAACGUCACCGAGCCGAUGGUUGCGUCGGUGAGCUACAACAACAGCACAAGGAUGCUGGCCGUCAUGCUGCAGAUGGCCCCCCAAGAUGGCGGCAAGAGGUACGAGCUCAACAGCACGGUUGACCUCAAGAGCUUGCUCCCCGCGCAGGUGGCCAUCGGAUUCUCGGCGGCGAGCGGGUGGUCCGAGGAGCGGCACCAAGUACUCACCUGGUCUUUCAAUUCGACAUUGGUGGCGUCUGAAGAACGGAGAGAAAACGCAACGCGAGGUAGGCCGGCCGCUGCGGUGCUUGCAGGUGUCGUUGUAGCAUCCGUCGUCGUCGUCGGGGCCUCGAUCUGUUUGUUUGUAAUGAUCAGGCGGCGUAGGAUAUCUCGCCGGCGGACGAGAGAAGAGUACGAGAUGGGCGGCUCCGACGACUUCGACAUGAACGAUGAGUUCGAGCAAGGCACCGGUCCGAGGCGAUUUCUGUACAGCCAACUGGCCACCGCGACGAACGACUUCUCCGAGGACGGGAAGCUCGGGGAGGGUGGCUUCGGGUCGGUGUACAGGGGCGUCUUGAGCGAACCGGCCGGCGUCCACGUCGCCGUCAAGAGGAUCUCCAAGACCUCCAAGCAGGGGAGGAAGGAGUACGCCUCCGAGGUGAGCAUCAUCAGCCGCCUCCGGCACCGGAACCUGGUGCAGCUCGUCGGCUGGUGCCACGGCCGCGGCGACUUCCUCCUCGUCUACGAGCUGGUGCCCAACGGUAGCCUCGACGCGCACCUCUACGGCGGCGGCGCGACGCUGCCGUGGCCGACCAGGUACGAGAUCGCGCUCGGGCUCGGCUCGGCGCUGCUCUACCUGCACUCCGGCUACGAGAAGUGCGUGGUGCACAGGGACAUCAAGCCCAGCAACAUCAUGCUCGACUCCGCCUUCGCCGCCAAGCUCGGCGACUUCGGGCUGGCGAAGCUCGUCGACCACGGCGACGCCUCGCAGACGACGGCGGUCCUGGCGGGGACGAUGGGGUACAUGGACCCGGAGUACGCGGCCUCCGGCAAGGCGAGCACCGCGUCCGACGUCUACAGCUUCGGCAUCGUGCUGCUGGAGAUGUGCUGCGGGAGGAGGCCCGUGCUGCUCCAAGAACAAUCCAUCAGGUCCCGCCUCCUCGAGUGGGUCUGGGACCUCCACGGCCGCGGCGCCAUCCUCGAGGCGGCCGACGAGCGGCUGCGCGGCGGCGAGCUCGAGCUCGACGCGAAGCAGGUGGAGUGCGUGAUGGUCGUGGGGCUCUGGUGCGCGCACCCGGACCGCGGCGUGCGGCCGUCCAUCAAGCAGGCGCUCGCCGCGCUCCAGUUCGAGGCUCCGCUGCCGGCUCUUCCUCCGACGAUGCCCGUGCCGACGUACUCCUCCUUGCCGAGCCUUGCAUUGUACUGCGACGCGGCGGCAGCUAGCUCGUCGUCAUCCAGUGCAGGGUUUUCUUCUUCCACGAGUGGCGAGCGUUCGUCGACGAGCUCCUCUGCAGCAACCGCCGAGUCGUCGUGGCUACUUAAGCACAACAACAGGGGCAGUGAAAAAAUAGUAUUAGGCAACAAUUGAUUAGAUCAUAUCUUUAGUUUGAUGCCACCUUGAUGUUGCUUAGCUCUUCGUUGUUUAUGUGUAUUGUUCUUCCUUGGGCCGCCGUGUCAUUUGUGAUAUGUACCUCAAUUCAUAUCUCCUUUUCUAUAUAUGCGUUUUCAACUUUCCUAGUAUAGCCUGCUAUCUUUGAUCUUAAUUGAAUGUCACAAGCCGAGUCACUGUUUCGCGAAACGACAUAUUUGCAAACGAAAAGUAAUUUGUGAAUAAAACUUUUAUAUACGUGUUCUUUGCGAUCUAAAAGUAAAGGCUAAAAAAUAAUUUCGAUGAAAAAAAUUUCUCAAAAUCAGUUUCAAAUUUAAGGUUGAAAAUUCAAAUUUUGACUAAUAAUUAUAAGCAUAAGCGAAAAGACGAGGAGCAUAAGCAUAAGCAAAAAUUCAAAUUUUGGCGGGACAAAGGAUUGCGAUCUCGUGAAGGUGAGCUAACUCCAAAAAUCCGUCCUCGGUUCGGAUUGUAGGUUGCAACUCAUUUGCAUGAAGCAGGAAUCGCUAGUAAUCACCGGUUAGCCAUACGACGGUGAAUCCGUUCGACACAACGCCCGUCACACUAUAGAAGUUGACUAUGUUUGAACUCAUUAACCUUAACCAUAAGAAGGAAGAUGCCUAAGGCUAGGCCUUUGACUAGAGUGAAGUUGUAACAAGGUAGGGCAUGUCUGGGGGAGCUUCUGGCAGCUGUAGUUUCUCUCAGAAUCAGAAGCUCUACCUAACAAUUCAGUUUUUUUGUCCAAUUUCUGAGAACCUAUAAUUGUAGAAUCUAGAAAAAUAAACUAGAAGCUAGAAGCUGAAAAACUCCAGACUCUCAGAAGCUGGAAAACUUCAGACUCUAAGAAGCUGGCUAUGAACCAGCUGCUUAUAAUUUUAAGCUCCCCAAACAGGCUCAUAGUCGUACUGGAAGUUGCAGCUGGAUCACCUCCUUUUUCAUGAGCUAAUACUUACGUAUUUUGGUUUGACAUUAAUUGCUUCAUGCCCAAAAGGAAGGCAGCUACGUUUGAGCUAAAUUUGGAUAUGGAAGUCUUUUUUCGUUUAGGGCAAAGUACGACCAAGCUCAUGAGCUUAUUAUCCUAUAUCGGAACAAUUACUAGUUGAUAUUGAUAGGAUCUCCUUUUUAAUGGCCCCACACCCUCCUGUGUGGUGUGUGCGGUGUGGCAGAUGGGGAUAUCAAAAGGAAAGGGAUAGAGUUUUUCUCGUUUUUGGUAUAGCAUACCUUCUUUUGGGAGGCCUGCAGCCCCACACAAUGAGCUCCCUCAUAAUUGCGUCGUUGUGCCUAGGUAAGGAAUUUUGAAUUUUUUUUCUCUGAAUUGGACAUCUUUAAGCAGUAUAAAAUCUUUUCUGUUCAAAAGAGCCGAAACAAAAACUGUUCGAGAUAUGAGCCGAAAACCAAAAGUGAACCCGUUCAUGAAGCCCAUCAAACGCAUGCAGCUUAACCUCGCCUGAUUCAGCAGCCCAGUUGAAGGUCUUCAAAUCGUAGGAUUUGAACCCUCGUGAUGAAUCCACAAGGUGAUCUCCCGUGUGUGUUAGACUGUUAGUCACCCUUGGUGCCAGCAAAAGGAAAAUGAAAAGGUCAUUGUACAAGGGCCCAAAAAAUAUAAGAACAGUUGAAGCAGAGAAGUAUGAACAUAUAUCCACAAAAAGUUCCUUUAAGAAUGAUAUAGAUGAUCGUGAUUAGAACCCACAAAGUGAUCGCCAGGAGAAUUGAAAGGUCUAGGCUUGACUAGUGUAUCGAAAGAAAACUGUGGAAAUAUAGAUGUAUCAACAUAUGCCCACAAUAAGAACGAUCGAAAUUACGUGUAAAGAUUAUUCUUUCGAAAUUUGCAAGCAUAAAAAAAAAAAAGACCUAUAGCUUCAUCUGACCAACACCUCCCUUGAAUGAACCGUAUAAAGGUCUCGACCUCCUGAAGCUGAAUAUAUCGGUUAUUUGAUACGAGUGCGGCUGUGGCUCAUCGUGAACUAUCUUUUCGUACUCGGAGGAAUGGAGACCGCCGUAAACUUGAAUGCUAAGAAUUUUCUUUUGUGGUGCAUUAACUUUGACAUGAUUAUUGAAGAACUCAAUCAACUCCUCUUUAUUGAGAUCCCUCAGUGCAGCAACCUGCAGCAAGAGAACUCCAGGUAUAAAAAAAAAUGACACCAUAGGGACAAAAUUACAGAAAUAGAGCAUACCUCCGCCUCUUUUCUAUCAAAUUUCAGAGUUCCUUCCGAAAUUUCUUUCCAGAAGAACGCUGAUUCCUCUCUUAUAUUCUUGUAUUUCUCCAGCUUCAUGUCAAUGAGAGCAUUCACGUUGCUCUGCAGGUAACAGAAGUGACUGUUUACUCUGUAUAAUGUCAAGUAUACAACCAUACAAUAGAGCUACAGCAACCUUCGGCCGACCCGGCAAAAGAGCUACAGCAAGCUAUAACAGAAGCCAACAAAUACUGACAGCAAUCAUCUUACCUUGAACUCUUCAUCAGGCAUUUGGUAUAGAGUCCCUUCAAACAUAUUAAGAAAAGCUUCCACUCUGUCAUCCAGGUUUGAUGGAUCCUGUUUAAGUAACUUCUUAGAACAGGAGAUAAAAAUGAUCCAGCAGUUGAAAUUGCAUUGGAAAAUAUAUUUACCUUCACGGUUGACUGAAUUAUGAAUUGCAAUCCCCGAACACCUGAAUCAUUUCUGGGUAAACAAGAUAGUGUGAACAAAGAUUUAGAGGAGUUGCAUGAGCAUGACUACUAAGUCCCAUUACCACAUACCAAUGCAAAAAAGUGCUGCACAUCCUUUUGCAAUAAAGAACACAAUUAAAAUAAAGGCAACAUCGUACCUUUGUGUAAGCACUGUUAUGUAGCCAAGUUGCUCAACUGAACGCAAUUGGUGAAAAGCUGGUUGCUUAGCAACAAGAGCAAGCAAUUGAAGUAGAACAUUUUGUUUGAGAUCAUCCUGAUGAAUCUGUGCAGUGGAAACAUUGUUAUAGCAUUGAAAUGUGUAUUGCAGGUAUCUUCCAGGAAAAACUAGAUAUGGUUGAUGAGAGGCUAGAGUAAGAAAAAAAACUGGAUGUUCAGGUAUUCUUCUGUAAAUGCAAAAGAGGUCCACAGAGAAAACAUCAAAGAAGUGCAAAGGCAUACCUGAAUAUAAUGCAGGAUGGAAGAAUUUUUUUCAUCCUGGUGAUUUAGGCACAAUGCUGGAUAAUAAUACCUCCAACCCCUUUCAAGUUUUACAAUUCGCUUUGUAAGAUGCUGUGAUGGGGGUAAUGCUUUGCAGAAACUGAUGGGUGCAUUGAAUAAGGUGUCUUCAACAUGCUGUAUAACACUUUUUGCUUCACCCGGUUCCAUGUUCCCUAAUAUAGUAAUAUCGAUCACAUACAGAAUUAAGAACAUAAAAUAAGUACACCCUUCUUAAUGAGAAAGAAUCAAAAUAAUGAAGUUAGUUAUUAAACAAACCAGCAAAAUAGCAUUCAAUAAAUGUCUUGCCCAGAAGACGAGGCAAAAAAAUCUGUAGAUCGCUUGCUUCAAUAUGAGAAACUGCAGCAAGUUUUUCAUCCCAUGCCCAAGUUUGUUCCUCUAAUAUCAAUGAACAAUAGUAAAAUGCCUGCUCAUAUGGUUGUCGAAAUUUGAAAUUCUCGUAGUCCUUUAUUAUAGUUUCCUGAUGACAGCAACAAAAUAUGAACACACGCAGCUCAUGUAAUGUAAAAUGCAUAGAAUGCUAAGUUAAUAUUGCAUAAUCAGGAAGAUAGAAGGUACGCUAGACAUCCUAGGCAGACACUCUUUUGUCCUUCAAGACAUCCUAGGCAGAUAGAAAGUACGCCAUAUUUAAUCCAAUUAGAAUUCUAUAGAUAGAAAUGCAUAUAUUAGGAAAUAUCACAACUGUUGUUUAUAGCUUUUUAGUCCCGUUUCUGCACUGUUUUUUCCUAAAUGAAAGUAGCUCAUGCUUCUGACAAGGAAUCUCCUGACUGUUUUAUACAUGUCCAAAUGACAACCAAAACAAAAAUUCUAGCAGGUCUGCAGAAGAUAUUUUAACAAAGAACCACAUGUAAACUGAGCAUGGCCGUUACCUUUAUAACAGCAAAACGGUCAACCUUCACUUCAAACUCAGCAAUUUUUCCAAUGACAGUAUCCAGAAGGGUUCUCAUUUUGUCAUUAUAACCGACCAUAGUUAUCUGUAAGGAAAUCAUAAAUAUUGGACGGUUAGAAAAUAAGAAGAUUUCAUAAGGAAAAGUCUCAUAACACGCCAUGAAUUAUGACUCGUUUAGAAGGAACAGUUGAGUGAUAGAUCGCAAUUUACAAACAUACAUAACAAAGUUUUACAAACAUGCAACACACCAACAGUGUCAGCCACUCAGCCUGCUACCACACAGUAUACAUGAAAAAGUAACAGGGAUUAGGUAAUAUUGACCAUUUAAUCUAAUAUAGAAUAUAAUGCCAUUUGUAUAUGCACAUAUGAAAAAAGAAAACAAAUGGAGAAAAAGCUGCUGUAAGACUGUAACUUAUGAAAGCACAUAGCCAUGUACAUCUUCUAAUUACAGUACUAAUGAUGUCUUUAUUGCAAACUAGUCCAGUUAAGAAAAUGUACAUCUGAACCAAUAUGUGGAAAAUAGUUCCAAGUGUCAAGACUGAUGAUAGCCUACUUCUUGCUUCUAUAUGCAACAGGAAUCAGGAUUUUAAUAUUAAAGAUUAAAUGAGAAUCGAAUGGCAAGCAUCUGCUUAUUAGUAACACAUAUUACCAUUUUUUUCAUACUUGCGCAAAUACAGUAUGUGUUUAAUUAGGAGAAACAAAAAAGUUUGAGUAUAGAAGCGCUAUCGGUAUUGAUACAUAUUGACUGAAGAGCUUGGUGUCAUGGUGUGCAUCAUGCAUGGGUUAUGCGCAUCAGAUGGAACACAUUGUAUGAAUAUAUGAUGCAGGAAGGCCUGCACCAUAGUACGAUUGUCACAUGACAACCAUAUCAGCAGCAUGCAACAAGUACCAACAUAGAUGGGUAUAAGAGUGUUCGUACUGGUUUAGGUGAAAACAUGGCUAAAGGCAACUAACAUGAUGAAUAAAGUAGGUGGUAUAAAAUUAUUGUGUAGUUGGCAAUGGGCAUGUGGUAUGUGCCACACCACACAAGUUUAAUGUCAGUGGAAAACCUUUUAUUUGGUAACUUCCAAGCUGCGAUGCAAUAACCCUCGGGCAUUUGACCAAGAAUAUUUUUCAAAAAUAUAUGCACUUUGUGAUCCCCAGGCAUAUUUCCCCAAAAUACCCCUUCUGACUGUACCUAUCUCCGUAUGUUUCAGUGCUCUGUUGAUUGUGAGAUAUUAUUAAAGGGUACUUUCAUUACAUUCUAAAUAAAUUGUUUUUUCGUUUUGAGAGGGUAAGCCAGUAGAUUGUAAUUACUUGGAUAUAUGCAAUUUAGUCAAAAGUAAUAAAUAUUCAAAGUGGAGGGGAGUUAACUUAUAUCAAUGCAACAGUUCAAUUUCCACAACAACCAGGAAUUCCUUCUGAACCCGCAGGAAUAUCAUAGAAUUUUCACAUAAAACAGGAAUCGGGGAAAAUUCCGUAUCCCAAACAGAGCCUAAGAGAAGUAUGAACAGCAGGACCCUCUUUACUAAAAAUAAAAAGAAGAUUCAGCAAGGACAAUUAUUUUCAAUAAUCCAGUAUAAUUAAUGCUCACAAGGAGUCAAGUUAUUCAAUCUUUUCUGAUAUAAUUAGUGUGAUGUUUCCAUCAACACUGCAUCAUCUGGAUUAGCAAUGAAGAUAAACAAUCAAUUAUGUCAUGCAAACUGUACAGCUAACCUGAAAUCCAGUGUCACUUGGCCUAAUAAAGUAGUAAAGACCAGCAAUUUGAGCAUCAUAAGCUGAAAGCAAAACAAAGUUGGUGGAUUAUUGCAACAGAUAAAUGAACCAAAGGCAAACUAACCAGAGGAUGACCAUGUCCUUAGUCCCUCUAUUUUCUAGGAUUGAUAACUGUAUGUGGAGAACGAGUUCUUGUUUCGGCCAACAAAAAGAAUUUUCCAACUUCUCCAUUAGUAUAUGUCAAUUUUAUGAUAGAACAUUGUAUGAAGAGAAGUUUGAAAUAUACUAAACAAUUUCAUGAACCUGUGCCAUAAGAAUCAUAAAAUAUUGAGAUAUCUCAUGUAUUACUACAUACCAAAAUCAUUCAAAUAAUCCAUUAUCAACCUCGUGAACAUAUCAGUAAGAACUGUCGAUUCAGGAGAGCUAUUGGACAGUGGACAGUGGAAAUCCAUCUUGACGUAGGCCUUGGGUGUGAAGAACAUUGUAUCAGGCUUAUACCAUACUCUUGAAAACAUUGUUUUCCUAAGCAUACAAGGAAAACUUCCCUGGAUAAACCGAAAAUAUCAAUAAAGUUUCACAAAAUAAAAUUAUGAGCAUUUUUUUUUAAUAAAAAAUACCUUUUCCUCAACAUUUUUCAAUGAAAGAUCACUUGGAAUGAAGAUAUUAGGUUUUGGAAUGUGCAAAUCUUCCAUGGGAGCCAUAUUUACCCAUUUCUGUACAAAUUAUGUUAGAAAUGUGUACAAUUCCAAAUAUAUUAAAUUGGAGAAUAUGAUAGGAACAGUAACAUCCAAAUGUACACCUGUAUGAUGGAAGGAGUGACUGCUUCAACUGAAUAUGAUGUACCAUACCAAGGCUCUGUUAAGUUUGUUUGCCCUUCAAACUUUUUUGAUUCCCAGAAUAUUCUGAAGGAGAUGAAGAAGAUAACCCAGAAGUAUUAACACCCGUAAGUAAAAGUCACAAUGAAAAUAAAAUCUAAACAAACAGAUCAAGUGUGUGAAAGGAAAAAAUAAAGCAAAUGGCCAUAAGAGGAUCAACGAUGAGUGAGGAGCCUGUUGCUGCUUUUUGGAAGUUAACAAUAAAAAAAAUGCAAAGGGACAAGUAAUGAAAUUUCUUCCGCUUUCUCUGAGAAAAAAAGCUCAAAUUUAUGAAAAGUAGUGAAAGUUCUCUUGGCUGUGCCAUCCUUCUAGAAGAGCACUAUAGUGUUUUAUAAUUGAUUAGGCCAAGAGGAGUGUGAAGCGACAGCUAAAUGCAAAGACCGAUCAUUUUCCAAACUACAUGCAGUAGUUGAAGAGUCACAAUAAUAAGCAUAUGCAUACAUUAUACUGUUAUUGCUGAAAUGAACAACCAACUCAAAUUGGCUAGUCCCCAAUUCUGUAUGAUAACAUUAAAUGCAUGAGAUUACUGUCGUGAAUAGAAUACACAUUGUUGUAUCUUUGCAGUCUCAUACUGAUCCGAAAUUUUCCAUUCGAAAUUGUGGGAUACAAGAUGUGCUGGAAGUGCUCCUGAAAAAUCCUAGGAAUCAUGUCUAACCUAAGUGUACGGGAAGAAGCAUAUGAAGAUUUUACAAUGUGGUACAUGAACCAUUCAAGGCAUCAAAGAUAUGUAGCACAAAUGAAUUAAUAUAGAUAUGAGUUUCCUAAGAAAGUAACUUUUGAAAUACUCCAAAAAAGAGAGUAUAAUACAUAAAAUAUAACUUUUCAACAAACAUGUGCUGAAUAUUAAAACAUAAAAAACUAUGACUAAACCUUAAAACAGAACAGGAAAACCCAACAAGGCCAUAUGGCCUGGAUGUACUCAAAACCUACCUAACAUUAUCUGGAGUCAAGUCAUUUAAUAUAUUCUGAAUAGCAUCUGGAGAAAACUUUGAUGGCACAGAUGAUGCAAUCAGCCAAUCUUCCGGCGGAAAGAUCUAUAAUAGAGAGAGAUCAUGAGAUGGUGAUACUGAGCAGAAUUAAUUUGCAAUUUAUGAACAAACAUUUUGGCAUAAUUUAUUAGGAGGAACUGAUCAUUUCAUUGUUCAAUGAAAUAUCAUGAGCUGGCCUUCUUGUUAAUUUCAUUUUGUGUAACGAAACAAAGUAGCCUACAAACAUAAGUUAAGAAAAGCUAAACAGUUUUUAGAUAUGCCACUCCACUUCCUCCCAGUCAUACGCAUGUGAAUCUAUGGGGAAUGCAGAUCCGCUCAUGUAGAAAGCUUCAAUUUUGUGAAUUUGGCGAUAUUCUGUUCAAAUUUGACUAAAAUUUGUUCAAAAUUUUGGUAUAUCAGCACCCUCCAAUAGAAACGUCCAAACCUAAAGAUUAAACCCUGGGGGGGGGGUGCAUAUGCAAAAAUUUCAGUCUUUUGGGCCUCUGAAAACUCGGAUAUUUUGGUCAAACUACAACAGGAAGCAUGAAAGGAUCAUAACCUACACAGAAGCCUAGAGCCUCAUUAGUGGAACUAUGCCCCACUGCAUCCUUGCUGACAGGAUCACGUUUUCUCUCAGGGAAGUGUUAUGGUAGAUGUGACUAUCACCUCCAAAUUUAUCGAUAUCAUUCACUCAUAAAUUAAGAGGCAACCCAUAUAAUAUGUCACAUUUAGUACACAAGCCCAGCAAAAAACAUUUAGUACACAAAUACAUUGUAAUAUAUCUAAUACUCUCACACCCUUCUUGAAAUUUGUGUGGAGGUUGCCUCUUGAUUUAGGGGUAGCUCAUCAUCUCUCUCCUCACUUAUCUCCACCAUCUCAUCACUUAAUCCAAUGUGGCACUCUUAGGGGCAGCAUAUGGAGCAUUAUAGUACUUGCCCUCAGCGACUUCUCCCUCCUCACCGUGAUCCAACUUACCGCUAGUCGCUAGAGAGUACAAGUAUCUAAUGGCUAUGACUAGAGAUUGCCAAGCUGAUCCAGGCAUUACCACAUUGGUCUCUUACCCCUAGAAGCCACAUUAAUCACCUUGACACAUAAGACAGUCGUGCAACAUGGAGUCAGUGACAAAUUGCAGAAAGAAGGGAGUUAUCUGGUGGCAUAUAGUUCAUAUUCUCACUUCAUUUGUGAGGGAUCCCACCUAAUCACAUCCCUAUGAAUUCAACCGAGUCUUAUCCAACAACUCAUAGGAGUAUCAAGUUACAAGGUUUUAAAGUAGCACAGCAAUAUAGUUUUGCACUAGAUUCUCUCAUACAAACAUGUCACUGACAAAAUAUAAUAAUAAGGUGCAGAUUGAUAGUAGAAUUAAUGACUGGUCAUUCUUGACUUUUGCAUGAGCACUUUCAUGCCUUAUCAAAAGUCACAUCUGUCUAAUCAGAAAAUAGUUAGGUAGUAAGAUUUUAAAAAGUCACUUUCUUUUAUAAGCAAAGAGAAGUCUGCUUUCUGCCCUCGAUUCAAACUUUUAUGAGAAACAGAGAUGGAAUACUGUUUCUCGUAAAAAAAAAAGAUGGAAUACUGUGAUACCACCACCUAUCAGGCCCGACGAGCGGUCCACUGUAUAGGAAAAUGGGCAACAAUGGGACUCCUAACUCUUUCUUGAACAUGCAGGAACAGUCAAUUGCAAUUAAAACAGAUGCUAUUAUUGCUAACUUCCUUUUAAAAUGAUGACAAGACAUGAUAAAGAUUAUUAGUUGGCAAUUAUGGACAUGCAAUACAGAUGCCCAAAGCAAUGACUAAAAUAUACCUGCAUGUUUGAGGAAAUAUUGACAACAUAAUGGAUAGGAGGACUCUUGUCUCGGUAGUGGAAUCCCAUCUCAGAAAUAGCUACAAGCUUGACAAUCAAAACAGAGUGAGGUAGUUAGCUGUGUGCAAUGCUAAAUGGACUUCAUGUGCAUCAUUACAAUUUACAAUGUCGCAAAAACACAUAGACACUGUCAUUAUCGUUCACCAGUUAGACAAUUAUACAAAUUCCAAGCAUUACUAUAGUAGUUGGACAAAAUAGAAUUUGAAGGAAGCACGCAAAAACAAUGUGACCCUUUGACAAGCAUUACUGUAGUAGUUGGACAAAAUAGACCCUUUGAAGGAACCUAAUGCAUGCAGCGUACACAAAAACAAUGUGAGCAACUUGAUGAUAUGGUCACAUACUCAUGUUUCAUGAUUCAUCUUGAAAAGGUAAAGUAUAAUUAAAUUUAAAUAUUAAAUAGUAGCUCCCUAAAAUGCCAUUUAUAGAGGGAUAUUGGGUGAUAAGAAAAGGUACUGGUCAAAUUACGACAAAUUAGACCAAAGAUCUUAUGUACAAUCCUGACCAAAACAAUAAUCCAAUUUAAUGACUUCAUUAAUGGCCUGAUUGUUUAAAUUUCGAAGUAGCGGUAUCAGCCCAAGAAAAAUUUGCAAAGCUUAAACGGAUGUCACGUACAGCUUACAGUUGAUUUUGGUCAUUAUAAAAAAAAAAUCUAUUCCCAAAAGGUACACAAAUCCAAAACCAAAAUUCACCUCAUCAAAAAUCCACUGACGAGUUCCAGAGGUCUGGAGCAAUGCUAUGUAUCGGAAUAACAGUCCAAUAAUGUCCUCCAUGUGCUCUAUCAUCAAUGAUAUGAAAUAGGUAAAUAUUAUAUACACUGUAAAUCUUCAGUACUUAAAAGUAAAAUUUGAUCUUCCAUCAAAAAAUAGUAAAGUUUGAUCAUAUACUAUCCACUUAGAUUGAAAUUAAGGAUUUACCCUCCUGACUCUCAUGUGAGUGACCUUGAUUACCCCACGUCUUUUUUUUAUGCAAGAGAUUACCCCACAUGUCAUUGGCACAGGAGGGUAAAUCCUCAAAAAAUUGUUGUUAAAAAGGCCCUUCUUGAAUGAAACUCACCAUAGCCUACAUCUGUGAGCUGUAUAACAACAUUGAAGAAUGAAAACUCAUAACUCCAGUCACCUUCCCAUGCAUACAAACUCAUAGCCCAUCCUGAGGAAUUUAACAAAGACAAAGUUAAAAACAACAAGCACUAUGAAAGAUAUAUACACACACCCAUACAUAGAGAGAAAGGGAGGUGAUCAGGUGAGGAUGAUACGUGGGUUAUGUCCACCCAUUAAGCACAGUCAAGUCACUAUUUAUCUUCUUUAUUUUGUUGUUGUUUAUUAUUGAUUGUUAUGGUGGCAUUAUCACUAUUUUCCUACGUAGACUCCACAUAGGUCACCGAGAGACACCACGGUUUAGGCACAGAGGGGACAUGUGGACACUUUCGAAAGUUGAGGGACCAAAAUCAGACCAAGGCCAUAGUUUAAGGGACUAAAUGUGGACCUUUUCCUUUUCUUUAUUGUGUAUUGUUUGCCUGUUCCAUUGAAACUUUACUUUGAUUUUUCCUUGACAAACCUAAUGUCAUUUUUACAUAACAAAGUCAAUAGCUUCUUGUAUCAGUAGCCAAUUUUUUUGAGGUUUGGCUGCACAUAAUCUAAAAAUGAAACCUAUUUGAGGAAGGAGGUCGCAGUGAAUUAUUAGCACACCACCUAAAGAGGAUAUUGCUGUUAUACCUAAAUAUCCUCGAAUGAAACAUUAAAUAAAAGCAAAGGAAUAAGAUUUCAUCUCCAGAUUUUUCCUAUAUAACAGUACGGAAGAACCAUACAGAGAUAAAAGAGUUGAAAACACCACACGAAAGCAUAUACAUAGAAAACACAAAAGCAUCUGGAUAUGUGCACUACAAAAUGGCAUCUCAAUUGGAAAAGCAAAGUAAGACUAAUUAUAUGCAUUUGGAUAGUAAUUAUAUCAGACCAAGAACCAGCUCAACACGUCACCUCGAAAGAUGGAUAUAAACUCCAAAUCAGUGAAUCACAUAACACAAUCUAAAGUAGCAUUCUUGAAUUAAAUGGCGCUAUCAUGUCUAAAUGCUUCAUCAAAGUGCGAGUACAAUCCUGUAUUAAGCUGACAAUAAGGUCAGAUAUUCACAUUAACAGAAAUACGUAAUAUCUUGAAGCAAGAAGCAUAGAACCAGAGGAUUUUGUAUUCAUGUUACACCAAAUAGCCUAUGGACUGACCAAACAGCCCCAAACCCGUCCACCAGAAAAGAAGCUGAACUUCUCAUAUAUAGCUUACCUAAAUUUUUUAGCACGUAAAAUAGAGACCCCUCUCCUUCAUGGCCAACUAGACGACUCACAUACUUGCAAGGCCCUUCCUUAUAGUGCUGAAUAUUUGGGGUGAUUGGCCACUGUAUUCUCAAAGUGUGGCCUUCUUUUAUGGGAACCGCUUUAACAAUGAUCUGCAGGUCAUUAACUACCAUAUUAAAACAUGUUAAAGUAUCCUUACAUUUCAAAAGAAGUGCCAGAUCCAGUGGUGCACUUGACUUAUCAACCUAUUUUUAGCAAAUGGAAAAUAUAAACCUGGAGAUGUUCACUUGAACAUGGAUGACCAUGAAAGGAAAAACUUUCCCUUCCAGUAUUCCUGACAUCAGAGAACUUAUUUUCAACAAGAUUUUGAAGGUUGUCAAGACUCUCUGCAUACACAAGUUACACAACAGAUAAAAGAAAAAAAAAUAAUUUGAAGAAUUUGUACACAAAUGAAAAAUAUAAUGGUGUAAUUCAGUUUGAUGAAAACCUUUGCCAUACACAACAAGUUGCAUCAAAUUAGCUGAGUAAUGUGAAUUAUAAAAUUUAAUAAGCUCUUCCAGUGUGUCCAAUCCUUCCUUAUUUGGAUUAACCAGCAAAGUGUCCAGGUUUCCUAAAAUAAUAGAUGAUCAGAAUAUUAGUGAAAAAAAUAGUCGACCUUUCUAUCAUGUAAAAAAAUAGCCUCUUAUUUGGCUCAAGUUAAAACUCCCACAGGUUUUGAUUCCAGAGAAAUAAUAUCUAAAAUAAUUUUAAGGUGUAAAUACUCCCUGUCCUGUAUGUUUGUUAGACUUCAACAAAGUAAUCUCCAAUUCACAUAUUUGGCCAGUGACUUUUAGUGGUAGUUUAAUUUUGACUCCACUAUUCUGAAACAACAUUAUUUUUUAAGAACAAGCACGAUACUGACCAACAGAAUAAAGUAGAAUCAGAGGGCAGGCAUCAAUUAUUCUCAAAGUAUAAGAAAUGUCAAAGUACUUCAUGUACAAACUUGUGAAUUCAGUGCUUGUUCGAGCCUAUGUGGUCCUCGCCAAGAGAGGGACUUGAUGGGUUAGAAAAAUAGAGGUGUAUUUGCCAGAUCUAAGAGUUGCACAAUCUUUGCUCAUUCAUCACAACCUUUGCCCAUUCAUAUAACUACCAUGCCUCACCACCAAAUAAAAAAAGGGAUACGAUAGGUGGUGCUGAGAAAGAUCAGCUAGAUGCCGAGUAAUCUUAGUUAGGUUGUGCUGGAAGGCAUGGGCCGACACAAGGGGAGAUGCAAAACAUUUGACUGACAAAGGCACAAUUUUACGUGUUUCUAUGUCCUUCAUAUGCUAUUGUUUCAUUUGUGAAAUCAGUGUUUUUUCAAAUGAUCCUCAUGGUCCACAUGGAUCAAUAUCAAUACAGAAGAACUUCAAGAAAAGAUGUGUGUGAGCCUUGGAUGACAGAAUAAACCACAAAUGAAGAGAAUCCAUCAUGAAGAUUGAGAAUACCAUAAAACAAAUGGACCAUCAGGUUUACAAAUGCAGCCUUUUUCCUUUUGGAAUUUGGAAGGAUAUAUAGUGAGUUUUUUUUUCCCCAUCAUGAGCAAUAUAAGGGCAUUCAACUAGUUAAAAACUUAAACUCAGAAGUUCAUAUGACAUGGAUAUUUUCUGCAACAUUACAAAACGAAUUCUUGACUUCAGCAUGCAAUACUUGUGAGUUGUGGCUAUAAAAUGAAGAUAGAAACAUGGUACCAAGCAUAUAGUUGCAACAUCAGACACUACAAGAAAAUGAAAUGAUGACUAAAACACACACCAGUGCUAAACUUGUGAUAUGGAUGGCUCUCCGAGCAAAAAUGUUUCUGGAGCUGAAACCAAAAGAUUAUAGACAACGAAAUUAUUAUAGCAUGAAAGAGCAUGGUAACAUAAAUGAAUUUGACAGAAACAAUUGUAAUAAAUCAAAAAAAAAUCAUAUUACACCGCUCAAGAAGAAAUGUAAAAUAUAAUUAAAUUAGGUAGAAACAUAGAUUUAGAUGUCAAAACCACUAUCAGAGCUGGGUUGCAUUGCUCUUUAAUUUGGGGGGACGGGAUAUUUUUAGUCGGUUUUAUACUUUUGUUAGUUAAAGUGUGAUUUUUAGAUAAACCCUAUAAAGUAAGGGGUGUAAUAUAGAUUUAUCCCAAAAUCAAAAUAGAAUAUGAGUAUGAUACCAUUCAACUAUAACAGAAAAUAUUCCACUGCGUUGAUGUUUUUCUAAGAUAAAGGUACCUGACUCAUUCGCAAAGGAUCUGACAACAAGUUUUUCUUAUUUUCUGCAGGUGAAGAAAAAAAAGACAGAAAUUAGAAGUUAAUUCUCUCAGCAGAAAUGUCAGUUCCAGAUAAGAGAGAAGCAAUAUAUACCAGAGUCAACAGCAUUAAUUUCCCUUAGAGUUGCAUCGGGUGAGAUCAAUGGCUUUAUAAAAAAUUGUGCAAACCUAAAACAACAGACGAGAAGCAAAAUGAAUCAGAUUCUGCAAAAUAAGAACAAAGGUGAAAAGAAAGAAAGCAGUAGAAGGUACCUAUCCAAAGCAUCAUCCAGGCAACUAUUGUUCACAUCAAAAUAAAAGUUUGUACGUUCACGACAUGUGAAGGCGUUGGUUGAACCACCAUGCUAAAAGAAACAUCCAUAUCACACAAUUGAUGAUUUCAAAGUAGAGAAGAAAACUUAAAUACCAUGAUAUUCUUUAUAUGAAUUUAUGAACAAUUAUGCCCCCUAUUCUUUAACUAUAUCAGAGGCCAGCCAGACGAUUUGGUUUUCCCAAUUAGUAUUGUUAAUAAUUUAAAAGGCUAAACCUCUGCUUGCAAAUCUCCAGUAGCAGCAUAACAUUGGAGGAACCCAUGGUUCAAGGCUUGAAGCACUGAAGGUACAGAGCUUCAUUGGGGCCAAACUUGGCCUACCCAAUGAUUGUACAGUCUAUAUGAUACUUCCUCCGUCCCAAAAUGUAGGUAUUUUUUAGGUUGGCACGGUAUUAAGAAAGUAGGUGAGAAUGAUUGGAGGAAGUGUGUGGUUGGUUGAAAAGAGAAAGUAGGUGAAGAAGAAUGGUUGUGAUUAGUUGAGAGGAGGAGGUAGGUGAAAAAAAUAGCUUCAUUUUGGGACAAGAUACUGUGCUAGAAAUAGCUACAUCUUGGGACGGAGGAAGUAAGUACUUGUAUUUGGGGCAUUUUACUUAUUAAGCUUCAAAUUGGUCCCAUAUGGAUUAAGCCACUCGUGCAUCAUUAGUGUUGAACCACUCUCACUCUGCCACUGUAAGCACUGGUGCACCACCGCAAACUCGCAGCAGUAAAUAUAUGAGUUUACUCACAAGUCACAAGCUGGAUACUAUAGUUACGUGUGCCUAUUAUACUGUUACCAACUGACAACUGGUACUCUAGGGGCAAAAGGGCAGUAACCAUGAUUAAAAAAAUUAAACUAGAUUAGCUCUACAGAUACUGAAUUUCUCUAAUCGCACUCUGCUUAAAGUACUAUAAAUAUAAAACCAAACAAGUGGCAUCUAUUGGCAUAACAGGAAGCAUCCAAGAACCCCCAAAAUGUGGUACAAGUCUCUAGUCAUUGCCAGUAAAUUGAACGUAGACUGGACGUUUUGCAAAGAAUGCAGUAUGCUGAAGUUCAAUUGUCCUUCCAAUUGUUCUGAAGCAUUUAGAUUAAGUUUUGAGAUCAAUUUUAGUUCGAUCUAACAAAUUAUUGACCACGACAAAUCAAGAUCACUUACAAAUGUCCUCUUCAAAUUAACAGAACAGAUAAGAAAUUGGCCAUACAUACCUCUGCAAUAUACUUUGAGUAAUCGUCUUCCACAGGGUAUUUCUCGCUAGCAUAGAAAAGCAUAUGCUCUAUAAAAGAAGAACCAAGCAUAAGUGAAUCAAACAAUACAGAGACACAUACAUGUUAAUUACUGCAAAACACAUGCCAUGAAGCUCUCUACAUGCGAUAGUACAAUCCAACCAAGAUAAAAAAACAAUUCAAUGAGGUUUGAACAGUGCCUGGUGAUGCAUUAAAACUCUUUAAAGGUACACACUAGAAAAUAUAUAAAAGAGCAACAUACAAAACAAGGCAAAUUAAACAUACACUAAGCACAUCGAUAGCAUGACACACAGUGACACAAGAAAGUUGUGCUUACUUUAUCUGUCCAAGGAAAAAUAGUUACAAUGACUAGUGAGUAAAUUAAUUUUCUAAUUGAAUAACAGUGUCUCCUUAGAUUUUUACAAUCACCUUAAGUAUCCAAAUAAUAUGUUCGAAGCACUCUGGUGUCGAAAUGAACCUCCUAUUAAUAUAUGCCAUCCAUUUCAAUACAGAGGCAAUAUAGCAUGUAUAUGUAUUACAAUAUUAGUAUAAUAGUUUCAAUCACGAAUAAAAUUUCUGAAACAUCUGAUCCUUCAAUGAACCCGUGAGUUUCAGAUAAGUAAGCCAUUUUAAGGCCCAACUGUAUUUUUCUCUUAAUGCCCUUUCACAUGUGGGCUUUGACAUCUUUGCAGAUUAAUCAAGUAAAUGAUUAGCUCAUAUACCUUUGAAGGUAUGGGCCAUUGUCGCUUAUUAGCUGGAUAUUCUGACAGCACCUAUCAGGAGAUAUUGAUACUGAAUUGAUACAUUGAGUUGCACAUGUGAAUCAAUCAUCUGUAUAUUUUCCUGGCCAUGCUAUACUUGUUUUAAUCUUCUCAUCCAGAGAUACUCAGCAUGAUGCUGGAAAUUCAUUUUCAGAUGUUUUGCAUAUAUUUGUGCACAUAUUUUACUUAUCCAAAAAAAUAUAUGAAAAAGUAUAUUUUCCUUGCAUAUUUUCUAUGUGACAGGGGCUGUGAGAAAAAUAUGCAUACCUAAAUUUCGACCUUCUUCAUCUUUAUUACAUUAUCAAUUCAACAAUUAAACAACUAAAAAGGGACAUGUACAUAUUGUAACAGAACCAAGCCACAACCUCAAACAGCUUGGUGUAAAAAGCCAGCAAAAUUGUAGUGGUAGGCUAAUAGCAGGCCUGACACUGCAACGGAAAUGCAUGGAGAUGAUAGAGAUCAAUUGCAUAGGCAUCAAGGCCCGAACGCACUGAGAUUAUCAUUACUAACAUCAUGUACAGUGAGAGCCACUUAAACGGAAGCAGCUAACUACAACGGAAAUCAUACUAGCAUCCGUUCAAGCCAACAAAAAAAGAAAAUCAUAGCAUCCACGAUUACUAAUUUCUCAGAGGUUUUACGCAACAAGUCAAAACAGGAAGCUCACCAAGGAAAUGUGCAAGGCCAGGGAGCCUCUCGGGAUCGCAGAAGUAGCCCACCGAGACAUUCAUCGACGCCGCCGCCUGCAAACAAACAAAGCCGGGAUUCACCCAUUCAAGCCAAAAACCCAGGAGGCAGGCACCAAAACCCCCGGCACAUCCCCGAUCGAAGGAGCCAGCGAAAGCACGGAGACCUUGUCGGUGUCGGGGUCGCUGACGAGGAGGCACUCGAGGGCGUUGGGGAGCACGACGCGGCGGUACCCGCGCUUGUCGUUGCGGGGCCUGGUGAUCUCCGCGUCGCCCUCCGCCGCCGCCGCCGCCGAGGGUGCGGCCGCGACCGCGCCGUCGGACGACGGCUCGGCGGGGGCGUCGGUCGUCGUCUCGCGCGCUGGCCUCGAACCCGCCAUUGCGGCCGCCGCGGAUUCGCCGCCGCUGGCGGUGGGUGGUGUUGGAGUUGGAGUGGACUGCGUCCGCGAAGACGCGAAGUUGGCUUGGCAGUUGGAACGGCGAGUAACAAGUUGUCCCCGGAGACAACGCGAGAGAGGGUGGCACGGCAGCAGUGGGUGGACCUGCAGCGCGGGUUGGUGGACUUGGUAGUUGGGCACGUCAGGAGUGGGCAAAUGGGCUGGGCCGGAAUGCCGGAUUUGUGCACGGCGGCGUGCACCGGGACAUCUUUCUGUUUGAAGUCCGGCGUGUACCGGGACAUCUUACUGUUUGAAGUUCGAAGUCAAGUAAACGUCUACUCGAACGUUCGGAAUUUUUACGGAAUGGGAAGAAAACUACUCCCUCCGUUUCAUAAUAUAAGCCAUUCUAACAUUUUUCACAUUCAUAUGGAUGUUAUAUGCGUAGAUUCACUAACAUCCAUAUAAAUGUGAAAAAUGCUAAAAUUACUUAUAUUAUGAAACAGAGAGAGUAGCUAGGUGUGCCAUAGCAGAUGCAGCAUACAAAAGAGGCAGCGAGUAGAAAACUGAAACGCAGCGAGGAAUGUGACACACAUGCAGAGUUUUCAAGCAAAAUAUAAGCGUCGCCUGCUUCGGCAGCUUUGCUAUACUCUCCAUGUGUAGAUUGCAGUGGGAGCUGAAUGUAACUUUCUCGCGGCACAUGGUUCCAUUUUUCAGGAAGAGAUAACGUCCAAAGAAACAACAGCGAGCUCACUGAAACGGAAAUAAAAUUUGGAGCUAAACUAAGGAUCUGUAGGUGGAACCGUGGAACUGUGGAAGCACCUCUGCUCUGGUGGUUACGUCGUAGGGUCUGAGCCCACGUAAUGAGAAACCACAAGGUGAUCUCCAGUCGUCAGUCACCCUUGGUGCCAGCAAAAAGGAGAACGAAAGGUCGUGGCGAUAGAAAAUGGUGGAAUGGAAAUGCAGAAGUAUCAACAUCUGUCCACAAAAAAGUUUCUUUAAUAAUGAUCAAAAUUACACGUAAAAGGAUUAUUCUUUUGGAAUUUGCAAGAAUAUCAAAAGGGUUGACUUAUAGCUUCAUCUGACCAACACCUCCCUUGUAUGAACCAUAUAAAGGUCUCGACCUCCUGAAGUUGAAUAUAUCUGUUAUUUGAUAGGAAUUUGGUCGUGGCUCAUCGUGGACUAUCUUUUCGUACUCCGAGGAAUGGAGACCGCCGUAAACUUGAAUACUGAGUAUCUUCUUUUGUGGUGCAUUAACUUUGACAUGAUUGUUGAAGAACUCUAUCAACUCCUCUUUCUUAAGAUCCCUCAGUGCAGCAACCUGCAGUUACAGAACUCCAGGUUUUGAAAACUGAUACUACAUCAGAGGGAUAAUGUAAAUAUAUUGAGCAUACCUCCACUUCUUUUCGAUCAAAUUUCAGAGUUCCUUCCGAAAUCUCUCCCCAGAAGAAAGCUGAUUCCUCUCUUAUAUUCUUGUAUUUCUCCAACUUCAUGUCAAUGAGAGCGUUCACGUUACUCUGCAGAUAACAGAAGCCACUGUUUAGUCCGCAUGAUGUUUACAAGUACAAAACCAUGCAAUUUAGCUACGGCAAGCUGUAAUAGAAGCCAAUGAUUAACAGUGAGUCAGUGACAUCAUCUGUCCAACCUUGAAUUCUGUAUCAGGCAUUUGGUAUAGAGUUCCUUCAAACAUCGUAAGGAAAGCUUCAACUCUAGCAUCCAAGUUGGCUGGAUCCUGUCAAAUCAAUAUAUUAGAAUAGGAGAAUGAUUGUUUCAGCGGGUUUGAAACUGCAUUGAGAAAUAUAUCUACCUUCACGGUUGACUGGAUUAUAAAUUGCAAACCACGGACACCUGAAUCAUUUCUGGGUAAACAGGAUCAGUGUCAAUGAUUUUACAGGAAUUGCAUAGUCUACAUAUAGAACACCAUUCUUGCCAACCAAGGCAAAAAGACCACUGUACAUCCUAUCAAUUACGUGAAGGUUGUACGUACUUUUGUCUAAGCAGUGUUAUGUAGCCAAGUUGCUCAACUGAACGUAAUUGGUGAAAAGCUGGUUGCUUAGCAACAAGAGCAAGCAACUGGAGUAUAACAUUUUUUUUGAGAUCAUCCUGAUGAAUCUGCGCAAUGGAAACAUUGUUACAGGAUAGUAAUGUCUAUUAGAUGUAUCUUUCCAGGGAAAAACUAUAAUAAUUCAAGCUAGAAAAGAAGCUAGAGUAAGAGCAAGGAAAAACUGUAAAUGCACAGAAACAACACCCAAGAAGUGAGGCACACCUGAAUAUAAUGCAGAAGGCAAGAAUUUUCAUCCUGGUGAUUUAGGCAUAAUGCUGGAUAAUAAUACCUCAAACCCCUUUCAAGCUUUACAAUUCGCUUUGUAAGAUGCUGUGAUGAGGGUAAUGCUUUGCACAGACUGACAGGUGCAUUGAAUAAGAUGUCUUCAACAUGCUGCAUAACACCUUUUACCGCACCCGGUUCCAUGUUCCCUAAUAUCGAUUAUCAAUUACAUAAUGAAUUAAUAACAUCAACAAUGCAGAGCAUUCUCUAAAGAAGAGAGUAGUGUGGCUACAAAAGUCAUUAGCAGCAUUACACGGUAAUUUUAUGAAAUGACACAUAUUCAUGUUAGUUACUCCCUCCGCUUCAUAUUAUAAGUCACUUUGGGUUUGUCCUAAGUCAAACCUCAACAAGUUUGACCAAGUUUAUAGAAAAAUAUAGCAAUAUUUCCAACACAAUAAAUAUGCUAUAAAAAUAUUAUCGAAUGAUGGAUUUAAUAAGGGAGUAUUAAACAAACCAGCAAAGUAGCUCUCAAUAAAUGUUUUCCCCAGCAGAUGAGGCAAAAACUUCUCGAGAUCGCUAGCUUCAAUUUGAGAUACUGCAGCAAGUUCUUCAUCCCAUGCCCACGUUUGCUCCUCUAAUAUCAAUGAACAAUAGUAGAAAGCUUGCUGAUAUGGUUGCCGAAAUUUGAAAUUCUCAUACUCCUUUGUUAUAGUUUCCUGAUGACAGCAAUAAAAGAUUCACACCCUCAGUUCAUGUCGAAUGCAUAGAAAUAUAGCUUAAUAUUGCAUCAUCAGGAAGGACCACAAAAUAUUGUAGAACAUAAUAUAUACUCCCUAUGUCCACAAAUACAAGGGAUUUUAGAGUACUAGCUGUCUAAUCAAUCACCUCUCAUUCAAAUUUCUUCCCAUCUUACUCCCACCCACCCCACCCAACCCUCAUUGAACAUGAGCAUCCUAGUCUUUUAUCUUCAUCCUUGAUCUCUCCAAAAACAGAGGGAGUAUGCUCUUUCACCUCUCCAAGAUAGCAUAGCCAUAUAGAAACUAUGAUAUGUUUAAUCCAGGUAGAAUUAUAUAGAUGCUUAAAUAUCCAUAUGCACCUGGAAACAGCUCUCCUGCUGUAUAUAGCUGUUCAGUCCCAUUUUUGCAUGGGAAGAUAGUAAUGACAAAAAUGUUGCAUGUGUAUGCCACUAAAUGUUUUGCAGAUUUGCUCAGAUUCCUUUGAAUUACUUUACCUCCAGGGAAAACAAUUUCAGAAGAUAGUGAGGCAAAUGUCUUCUUUUAUAGGUUUUUACCUGUGUGCCAUUAAAAAACAUGACCCCUGCCUCUGUGCCACUAAAAAGUUCGAGCCUCCCUCUAUGCCAUCGUCGAACUUUAUCGUGCCCUCCACACCAUUCCGUCGCUAUUCUGUUAGGGUCUUAACCGUUUGGCAGCACUGACAUGUGGGCCCGGACAGGAAAAAUGUCGCUCUGGCCCUUUCAGUCGCGGGCCCCACCUCUCAUACUCUCACCUCUCUCUUUCCCCUCUUCCCCUUUUCCUCUUUCUCUCUUGAGUAGCGAUGGCCGGCAGCCGGCGGCGGGCACGGCGCCCACCCGCAGGACGACUCGCGCAACCUCGUCCACCUUCCUCGCCGGCCACCAACCUACCACGCGGGUGGGGCCCACAUGUCCGAGGAGGACGACGACUAGCCGCCGCUGCUGCCGGUGCAGAAGCGGCCGCGCGACGCGCGCCGGACCAGGUGCUCGACAACGUCCUGGAGACGGUGCUGCACCCUCGCCGUCGCCUCUGCACCCUCGCCACGCCCGCCGCGCACCCGCCGGCGAGCUCGCACUCCUCGGCCCCGCCGGAGAGGCCGGCAGUCGAGGCGACGACGAGGUGGCGCGGCGAGGUCGGCGAGUAGGGGGGUCGUCGUCGGGGAUGUGCCGGCUCCUCGCCGCCGAGGAGGCCGUGGCGUCCGCAGCCGCCGCCGCCACCGUCGUCCCGGCGCUCUUCAUCGGUGGCGCCCUCCGUCCUGGCUCUCUCUCUCUCUCUCUUUUCUCUCAACCCUAAGGGCAGCAAAGUCAUUUGGCUACGCUGUUUGACACCGUUAGGACUAAAAACGGACGGAAUGGUGUGGAGGGCGCAAUAAAGUUCGACGAUGGCAUAGAGGAAGUCUUGAACUUUUUAGUGGCACAGAGGCAGGGGCCAUCUUUUUUAAUGGCACAUAGGUAAAAACCUCCUUCUUUUAUCUUUGUUAGAUUCAAACAGUUCACUGGAGACAUCAGGGAAAUGAAAAAAUGUAUAGACUGUACAUGUAUAUUUUGAUUUCUGAUCAACAAUAAGUAUUGUCUACACAAUACUUACUCCCUUCAGUAAAGAAAAAGGUAAAUUGUGAUUCUCGGAGUCAAGACAAUGCCCACUUUGACCACUAGAUUAUAACAUCAUAUGCCCUGAGAAAAGUACAUUGACCACUGAUAUCAUGCAAGUACUUUUCAUACAAAUUGACCAAUCAAGGCAAGAGAUGUCAUUUUACACGUUUACGCCAAUCUUAAUAAGAAUACACACCAUUAUCUAAAGCAGACAUGCCCAAUUGUCCACCCAUGAAUGCAAACUACCGCUUUUUCCUAAACAGAGGUAACUUGUGGCUAACAAGGAACCUCCUGAAUGUUUAUACUCAUCCAAAUAGCCAAAUAUCAGGCCUGAAAAGAUAUUUGGUAACAACAAAUUACAAGUAAACUUUAGUGUGGCCAUUACCUUUAUCACAGAAAAACGGUCAGCCUUAACUUCAAACUCAGCAAUUUUCCCAAUAACAGUCUCCAAAAGAGUUCUCAUUUUGUCAUUGUAGCCAACCAUGGUUAUCUGUAAGGCAAUCAUAAAUAUUGGAGUAUUAGAAAAGAAGAGGAUUUUAGUAAGACACGUAACAUGCCAUGGGGUCUAACUUCUGGAGAAGGAAUAAUAUCAACAUCACAAAACAUGCAUGAUGAAAAAUCAGGGUUAUGCAAUAUUGACCAUUUAAUCUAAUAGAGAGUAUAGUACCAUUUGUAAUCCACAAAUAAGAAAAAAAGAAAACAAAUGGAGAUAAAAGGCCCUGUUCUAUUCUUCAACUUUCUCGUUUUCUGUUAGCACGUUUUUCAAAUUGUUAAAUGGUAUGUUAUUUUAAAAAAUUUUCUAUAAAGAAGUUGUUUAAAAAAGCAAAUAAAUCCUUUUUUCAGAUUUAUAAUAGUUAAUACUUAAUUAAUCAUGUGCUAAUGAGGUUUCUCGUUUUGCGUGCCAUAAAAAUCUAUCUCCAAAACUGGAGAUCGAACGGGGCCAGAUGUAGCAACUUAUGAAAAGAUUAGAUCAUGUACAUCUUAUAAAUUAAGAUCAUGUAGUAAUGAAGUAUUUACAAACCACUCUCAGUACUUAACUACAUCUAGUUAAAAAA
This 93653-nucleotide long non-coding RNA is filed under the name Oryza sativa (Asian cultivated rice). RNAcentral's name for it is "long non-coding RNA (OSAT_LNC001384)". The stretch from base 70988 to 71350 matches the Rfam family "Bacterial small subunit ribosomal RNA", at positions 874 to 1520 of the family's 1533-position model. Lineage: Eukaryota; Viridiplantae; Streptophyta; Magnoliopsida; Poales; Poaceae. The record is from RNAcentral.